AAUUUCAUCAUUUUUUUAACUAAAUCGAAAAAUUAUAUGAAAGGCAAAAUUAAGAAGCAAAAAAUCAAUAGUCGGGGCUAUGGCUGAGGCUGAGUGGCUGACCAGCUGUGAUGGGCUGAUGGUAGAGUGAUGGUGGUUGAGAAAGUGGAGAUGGUGGCUGUGACGGCCAACGGGCUGACGACGGUAGAGGUCGCACAACUCACUGUUGUUGGAGAUGGAGCAACCGAACAAAACUGCGUGCCAAGCCAAGUCAGCAACCGAGAAGAGAUGAUCCCGACGGGUGACAGUGGGUGGUGGUUAUUGUUAGGUUGGAGUGUUGGAGGCGUGAGCUGCACGGCAGCAUUGCUGCUUAAGCUUUUCAAACUGUCGAUAAGGAUUAGGGAAUUAGGGAUUUGGCAAUUUGGGUUGGGUACUUGGGUAUCUAGGCUUUUGGUAUUGAGCCCGGAACCGUGCUCGGAAAUGUCCAAGUUUGAGAAUUUCAUGCCCGGAUCCCUUUUUUUAGUGUAUGCGGUUUGGGUUUUGUUCGGACCGGAUUAGCCAAGUCUGGUUUGAAUCUGGCAUGAGCGGGCAUUUUUGACACCUCUAGAAAAUAUGUUAAAAUUGUGUGGUGAUUAAAUGAAUAUAAGGCAAAAUAGUGUUGGUUAUUGGUACAAUGAUAAUUAUACUAUUUUUUUUUUUCCUUUUUUGAAUCUGAGCAGUUUCGCUAGCCACCUAAGGAAAUACGACGACGUAUUCAUUUACUCUGAGAACAACGGAGGUCGAUUUGGCAGUCACGUGAAGUUAAAUUCAAAGCUGAAAACAGCCGAUGAGAGGACGAGAGUUGUUGGAGAAGUGAUUAAAUGCUUGGCCGAAGAAGAAUUGAUUCCAGAUAUACAAAAUGAGGUACUGCUAGCUUUACUUUUGAUGCUUAUAUAGGAAUUGAAUAGAUUUUCUUUCACUUUUGAAUACAUGCUUCGUGCUUCUGACUAUGUCCAUAUAAUGUGUAAUUUCUAAUUGAUAUUUGAUUUUUUUGAGAUUGAUUCAUUUUGGAUUUCAUUGGUUUAUAAUCAGCUCUAUCCUGUAGCGUCAACCUUUGGUUCUCCGAUCUUCUUCUCGCUGGAUCGUGCCGCUGCUCCUUACUUUGGGAUAAAGGUGAGUUCAUGACUUUUGCUUUGCAUCAAUGAUCUUGUAUUAUUUUUUGUGGAAAAGAAGCUUAGACACGUUGUGCAUAAAGUUUGAGAUACAAUAAGUUAUUGAUUAUGAGAUGUUUAUUGCGGAUAUGAUCACACGAAACAGUUGUCUUAUUGAGUGUCUAUGAUUGGAUCUAGUCACUGUCGAACUUUGUCUAUUUUAUUACUUUGUAUAUUACUUUGCUUUCUGGUAAAUGAAUGAAUAAUAAUUUAUUUGGCUAUUGAUGGUUAUAUGGCUGAUCCUUUCUUCCUGAAUUUGAAAAUAGGCUUAUGCAGUUCCCUUGAAUGGUUAUGUUGAAAAAGAUGGGCAAAAAUUUCUGUGGAUUGGAAAACGAAGUCAAGUCAAAUCUACUUAUCCAGGAAUGCUUGAUAUUCUAGCUGGUGGAGGAUUGGUUUGUAAUAGUAACCUUUCAUUGCUUUUCUUAGGUUUAUAGUAUUGGAUUCUCCUUUUGAAUUGUAUUGAGUUUACUUUUGUUUCGAAAAACACUAAAGUCGUCAGCUGAUUCUCCUAAGUCCUUUUUGUGAUCGGACAAAAGUGCCAAACAUGUAUUGCAUCGGUAGGGCACAGCUGGAUCCUCAUAUACUUGAAAUUCACUGAUGACCUUCUUUUGAAAUUGGAAUAGGUUGCUUACUAAGAAAUAGAUUAAUAAGGUUUUUCUUCGGCAGAUGACUCCAAUAUGACUGCAGUUGAUUAUUGUAACAAGAUUGACUUCUGAAGUGCUACUAAGGCUUAAAAAUCAAUUAGUUCUUAGAAAUUCUCAAAAUAGUAGGAAGAAGGCACGACAUUACCCAAUGGUUGUUUGUCAUUCUGAUUUAGCUUUAUGCUUUGCUUCUAGAAUAAGAGGGAAGAGGCAAAAGGUCAUUCUGAAAAAUGCCAUUUCUAUGGUGCCAUUUAUAAAGCAUGCAAGCAAAAACGUAGGGGGCAAGAGAAACUUUGCGGACAUUUGUUUCUUGGUUAUUUUUCGGUUGGACUGAUUUAUCUCUUUACUAGCUAUAUAUGUGUUAAAGUUUAAACUGAGUGGUUUGGGCAGCUUGCAAAUAUUUGUCCAUGUUAGUUUGUAAUGAGAAAAUGAUCUUGAAAAGCCUUUAGUGAACAUGGAAACUUGAGCUCAGAACAAAUAUCACGUGGGCAGCAAACCCUGUGCAAUUGGAAAACAUUAGGCGUUCCUCCUUGUUGCAAUACUUGGAGAUUCCAGUUCAGUUGCUGCAAUUGGACAAUAGAAUUUAUAAUAGUGAAAACCAAGGAUUCAUUUCAUUUAAAAAUGUGUUCUCUAAUCUUUAUGCUCAGUUAUCCGAGCCAACUCUUCAUCUAUAUAAUUGUGAUGGUGAUUGCAGCCCCAUGGUAUUGCUUGUGGGGAGAAUAUUAUCAAGGAAUGUGAAGAGGAAGCGGGAAUCCCUAGAUCCAUAUCCAAUAGGUAAGAUUUCCUCAUGCCACAUUGAUUCUAAAUUUUAGGAUUAAUUGUAUUAACUAUAUUAUAUUGGCUAAAAAUGUGAACUUUGCUAAAGUUCCACUCCACAUGUCAACAUUCUGAUUAAACCAUGCUUCUUUUGUGGAUGAUUGGUUGUACUAAUGGGUCCAGAUAUACAUCUUUCACAGAGCUAGACCAGUGGGAGCUGUUUCCUAUACGGACAUUAAUGGGUUUAGUUACAAAAGAGAUGUUCUAUUUUGUUAUGAUUUGAAGCUACCUGAAGAUUUUGUUCCUAUGAAUCAAGGUAACUGUAUUAAAGCUUGAUCACACUGACGCUCAUUUUCUUCCUUCGUGAGAACAAGGUAUAAAAGCAAUGUUUCUUGAUCUACAAACUAAUUUUAGCAUUCCUACUGUUAAAUAUUUGUACAUUUCAAUCUAUAACAUACAUCUGCUGCAGUUUUAGAAGAGAAUUAUAUCUAUUCAUUGUAAUAGCUUUUAUUAAACAUGUUGCAGACGGAGAGGUAGAAAGCUUCCAGUUGAUCCCUGUGGCACAUGUUGCAAAUGUCAUACGGAGAACAGAGUUCUUCAAGCCAAAUUGCUCCCUAGCCAUCAUUGAUUUCUUGUUUCGACAUGGGUAUUAGCACUUUUCUUGAUUGCUUCUUGUAUCUCUCUCAGUUUGAGACUUUCAGUAAUCAGUUAAAAAGAUUAAAAUAAAGAAAGAAAUAAAACUAGCAUAUGUGACAGCCGUAUGAAAAAUAAAUAAAUAAAUAGAAAGCAUAAUCACUUCUUUCUUUCUUUUUUAAUUAACUGUCAAGUUGUGGCAAUGGUUGCUACUUUUCUUAUGAUAGUGGACUCUCCUGCCCAGUAGAAAUGAUAAAAGCAAUGGUGUGUAAUUGUAAUGAAUCUUAAAUAUUUGCUCUCCACUACUGAUAUUCCCAUGUGUUUCUCUUUAGUUUUAGGAAUCUUUUAGAUGUCUUUGGGUUUUCUUUUUCAUGAUUUCAUACAUUUAUCAUUUAUGCUGAUUAAAAUUGUUACAUAUUAGGCUUGGCAAAUUGCUCCAGGAUUUUAUUUCUGACACUCAUAUGCACUUCCAACAAUUUCAAUGAAUCUCGAGAUAUCUCUUUGAUUUUUCUUGUAAUGUCCAUACAUUGAUGCUGGUUGAUAUUAGAUAUAUUUGAUGGGAUUCAUGCUCAAAAGGCGUUGUUGUAGUUCCUUUGCUAUUAUGAAAAAUUCAGCUAUAGCAUAUCAAUCCAUCCCAGUUUGAUUCUAAUCUUUUACCAUAAUGCUGCAACUUGUAGGUACAUUCGUCCUGAAUAUUUUGGAUACUUGGAUCUACUACAGAGUUUGAGAAGGGGAGACUUCUCCUAAUUAUUUGUCUUCGUGCCUGUCUUUUUUUUUUUUUUUUAAUCCUCCAAAUAAAUUGGAUUGACUGAAUGACAACUGGUGUUAAUUAAAAGCUUUAUUUUCCUGUCGCGAAAGAUAUAAUUUGGGCAUUACACGAAUUGGUUUUAAGAUAUAGCUUCGUGCGCAAAGAUUGAGAUAUGGUGAAAUCAUAGUUCUUAAAAUGAGACUUCUGAAUGAAACUAAACACAUAAUAUGUAAUUUAGGGUUAAAAAAAAAAAAAAAAACUGGAAUUUACCCCGGCUAUACCCGGAAUCUUGGCUAUUAAUCUAGUUAUGCCCUCGUACUUCGAAAUUAUCAUAAUAUGCCUUUAGAGAUGAGUAAUGUCUAAAUUACCCUCAAAUAUCUCCAAUUACAGACGCGUUGCUGAGUACUCAACUGGCCUCGUUCUUCUCCUUCAUGAGAUUUGUUCAUCCUCCACUUUGUCAUUGAAUUUCUUCUCCGUUGGCCGCAAUAGCUUCAUCGAGAUUACCCUUAUCAACCAGAAUAAUUUCUCUCUUGUUGGUGGUGACCUAAACAAUUAAGUAUAGGUCAUAGUUAUGACGAAAAUGAAGGGCCAGAAUUCACAUGAAUUAUGCUUAAUUACCAUGGCUGCUAACUAGGCCAAAAUUAUCAUGACAAGAUCAACAGAAAGAUAAACAUAGAAGAACUGUCAGAUGCGCAAUGUUAUAUGUGUCAUUCCAUGUACCUGAAAGAUGAUUGCUUAUUCAUAAAAAAUUGUCCAAAUAGAAAAUGCAAAAAUUGAAGAAUCCCAACCUAAUCUGGUAUUAGCCAUUGUGCCCACCAAUUAGACUUACAUCUGAAUGAUGCUCAGAUUUAUCACUAUAAAUACCAAAGCUUACAGAAUCUUGAAUGCUUAAGUGAUAACCAGUAGGCUUUUUUUUUUUUUUCUCUUUUUAAUAAGAAUUACCAUAUGUUUGCUUUAUAUAUUGCCUUGGGAUGAUAAUGUCCAUCAACAAAUUGAUAUCCAGUUCCAUCCAUAUGGACAUGUAGAUCUUCUUACUCUGUACCAGAAUAUCUGUGGAAAGUAAGUAGAAUAAAUUCAAGACCCAAAGUUUUACUCUCUAGGCUCUGGUUUGGUUAAGUCAUAUAAUUUUCGGAGAAUACCACAUGUACCAAAAGCAACCCUGUCAAGUAAACUCCUCUAUUUACAUUUCAAUGAAACCACAUAAUUGAUCUAUACAGGGAAAACUGAUAGAAUUACCUCUGCUGUGCAGGAAAAUAAUAAAGAAGACGGCCUUUGUGACACCGGGAGCGAAGAAGUAUUUGUUCAAGGCCCUCAUUCUCUUUCAUUUUCAUUCCUUUACAUACUGCUCAAGAGCUCAUAAAAAAUAUUGUAAGGGUCUUAUUCAGCCACAUAUACAUAAAUAAUUCUAGAUUGUGAAAAAGUUGAAACUAUUUACUUUUAAGGAAUGAAGCAUGCAUCGACAAUGUAGUUAGUUGAGACUCAUGAAUCCUCAUUUUAAAUCCAGUGAGAAACAUUUCCCAAAACUAAGAAAAUUAUUUUUCUACUUCCAAGAAAUCCUUUGAAUACUUCUACAGAAUGAUAAGUAUUUUUCAGGGCAAAAAGACAUGCACCCAUAGUCAGCUGUUAGUAUAACAUAUCUAAAAUAGAGCCUAGAAAUCACAAUAAUCAUUUCCAAUGUAUGUAAAAGCCACAGUGUCAUGCCUAAGGAAGUACCAUUUUGGUCGCAGUCAUAUGCCAACAUCAACCCGACAUCUACAAUCAGCUUUCCAAGGGCUUUGAAAGCUAGACACCAACAAUUAACCUUCAGUAAAUGUAGAAAAUAAUUGAAAAGUGAAUUUGAAAAAUAAAUAAAUGAAUAAAAAAUCCAACAUAGACGAAAACUGUGAAAGGAACACAAGAAGAUGAGAGUGGAAGACAAGUGUAGCACCAAACAAGAAUUUCACUCCCACUUAUAGCUUCAUUUUCGAAAAAAUUGGCGGAGACUCGUACCAAAAGAUUAGAUUACUCUGAAAAUAUGCUCAUAUAAAGGAAAAAUAACGAAACCAAUAUCUGCUUCAAAAAUCGGCUGAAACUACUGUCAGUUUAAAACAACUAUUCCGAUAUAGAAUAGAAGUUGACAAUGUAAAAAAAGUGUAGACUGCAUACAAAGAAGUUUCUUCCCGGCAGUACACACUUGCGCUCACACAAAGACACAAAAAUAGAGAAGCAUAAAUUUGUUUAACUGUUUAAAUACAAGCUCUCAGAUCAUGAAUCCAAGAAAUCACAUAACUAUGAUAAACAAACCUCUCAAGAGACAAUUUCCAGCAAGCAGAACAAGUCUCUCUUAAAAGCCAAUGAAGGAAUAGAGUAAUAUUUUGUGAGAAUACCCACUCAAGUUCUGGCAGUGCACUAUGAGGCCAUAUAUUCGAACCACAAUAUGAUGGAUACCUAAAAGACAGACAACGAGAAAUAAAUAAAGCAACUAACCACAUCAAGAUUUUGCAUAUCUAAUCUAAAUAUGAGCAAAUGAACAUAGGAUGUAUAUAACACAUAUCUUUCAAAAGUAAAAAAUUCAUCCCAGCAAAUAUAUUAUAGUCUUCCAAAGAAUGUAUCAUAUGAAGAUAGAUAUAACACAAAUUUUUGUUAUCCACUUUAUCCACACACUAACAAUCAAUUUUGCCUGCCAUAAAAUCUCCAGGAACAAGGGAAUGACAGUCAACAGUACGAGCACUUGAAAUGCUGUUAAUAUCUUUUACAUUUUUAUUAAAUGGGUCUCUGUUGUAGGCACGUCUAACAAUGGAUUCGCAUAGAAGGAGCCCUUCAACAUAUCUGCACAAGAUUAGAAUUAAAAAGGUUAAGACCCUACUAGCGGGCAUAAACUGACAUGAGAAAUAUAAAAAAUAAUCAUACUAAGGCAUAGAACACCAACACUUCCUAAUAAUACGUAUCAACAUGAACCAUAUCCGAAGGUAAACAAAGAUAAUAUUGCAUUAUAACUGCAGUCUUGUCUAGCUGCCAGUGUUCAAUCCAUUUUAUGUUUCAAAAUUCCUCAAAACUUCAAAUGACUCCAUCCCUCCAUGUCCAAACAUAGGAACUCCCACUCUAUUCAAUCAUUUACAUAAAUAUCAUGGGAACGUGAAUUCUGAAAAAUAUACAGACUGCUCAUAUUAUGCCGUAUUUUAUUGAUUGCAAUAAUCACACAACAGGUGAAAUAUCUGAAAAUUGAAAUCAGCUUGGCCUGUGUUAGAACAAGAUGACCAAACUCAAGAACCUACAUCCGAAGUUUUACCUACAGACAGAGAGUGAGCGGAAGAAACAAAGAGUUAAAGCACCUCAUAUACUGUGAGAUUAUGAACUCGGAAAUAUAUUUCAAUUCCAAUGCAAGAAUACCACGCCUUCCACAAACAAAAUCACCAGAAAAAAGGUUCUAGUUGUUUUCAACUGAUUUUGGGGUAAGAAAAACCAAACCAAUCUAGAACAAUAAAUUUGUUAUUUUGAGGGGAGAUGGGGUACCUCACUGGUUUAUUGUGUGUUGGGCGGUGUAUCUGAAAUUCGUGGGAGGUGAGAAGGGGAGAGAGAGUGGUAACAAUGGUGGAAGGUCAGAAACAAGAGAUGUGUCCUUCAAAACGAGCUUCACGCCUGCAAAACAGUGAAAUAGAGGUUAGAGGUGAAGCCGGGGUACCCCGGCGUUCACACUUCGACGCUCAAGUUAGCAAACUCAAGCUUUUAUGGCAAAGAGAGCUAGCUAGCCCUCUGUAAAUUAGGGUUUAAGGUUGAAGAAAACCUAUUUUUUGGAAUGUGAGUGUUCAUGGUGAGUGAGAACAUCCUGGAGAAUGAAACAUAGGCACCUUUAUAUAUGGAGUACCUCAGCUGCCACGUGGCGUAUCCUUUUUGGCUAACGUCCUUUUACCUUUUUAUGAUUUUUGGGCCGUUAUGUGCAUGUUCGCGGCAUAUCUCACCCUUUGGAAACGUGGCGCGCGCUGGAGAGUGGUCCAGGGUACCUCUGCAGUAACUGUCGGGUAGGCGGCUGAGGACCACUGUCCUUGGGACAGUGUCCUUCACUUUUGGCAGAGGUAGCAGGCGGCUGUCCCCCCCUUUUGGUACGACGUUCUUGAUUCCUAAUUCUGACAAAAUCGAAUAAUAUCUUUUAGGAGGUGGAGACGUUUCUCAUGGCGGAUAUUUUCGGAGGAUUCUCUUGCAUCUGAUCUGCCGGGUACCUCGAGUUACGUGGGGUACCUCAAUUUAUGUGGGGUACCCUUAAUUGUGCGGGGUACCUCUAUUUGUGUGGGGUACCUCGUAUCAUGUGGGGUACCUCUAUUUGUGCGGGGUACCUCUAAUCAAGCAGGGUACUUUUAAUUACGUCGGGUACCUCUAAUUGCGCGGGGUACCUCUAAUCAGGCCGGGUACCUCUAAUCAUGCGGGGUACCUCUAAUCAGGCCGGGUACCUCUAAUCACGCAGAGUACCUCUAAUCAUGCGGGGUACCUCUAAUCAAGCCGGGUACCUCUAAUUACGCCGGGUACCUCUAAUCAUGCGGGGUACCUCUAAUCAGGCCGGGUACCUCGAAUUAUACGGGGUAUCCCAGUCUAUGCGGGGUACCUCGAGUUACUCUGGAGUUAUGCGGGGUACCUCUGACCGUGUCAGGUACCUCAAAUCAUGGCAGGUACCUCUAAUCGUGCGGGGUACCUCUAAUCAUGUCGGGUACCUCGGAUUGCACUGAAGUUAUUCCAUUCGUCGACACGUGGCGUUCUGCUAUCUUUCUUAUUUUUCCCCCAAACACUAGUUAUUGAUGAUAAACACAGUACUUCCACGGGCUGCAGGCCAUGCUAAGUAUUGCUGUUAACAGCUUUAGGUAGGAUUUAAGGAAAAUAUACUGUUUACUUUUUUCAUCAAAUAGAAAAUAUGGGACAUGACCAUAUGAGGAAAGAGAUACUUGGGUAAGGCCAUGCUAAUCAUCUAUGCGAUCAAAAGACCUAACGAUCACAGAGGAUAAAUGGCUAAACUCCAUCACCUGAGUUAAGUAGCAUAUGAUGCACUCACGAGGAGGACAUAACCAUGUGAAGACAACAUUAUUCUACUGGUAUGGCUAUCAAGGUUGGUGAGUAGAACUCUGAAUGGCAUUAUCAUAUGUGUCAGGACCUUCUGGAAUCAAUAAAGAGUUCAACUGACAUAAUACCUUUCGAGUAAGAAAUGAAAUCGUUAAGUACCAAUAAGGUGAAAGUUUAUCUUUUCAAAACAAGUCUAAGGAACCCAAUUGGUAUAAAGGGAAUAUAGAUAUAAUAAGAUCCUUCCCACAUAAGCCUAGAGCUAUCCAGAGCAAUUUAACAAACCUCUAUGCUAAGUGGAGGCCAAAGACACAUCCAAAGCAACCAAAAUAAGCCAUCAAAGGGAAUAAAGUAAAUAAAAGAAGAUGAACAGUGAAAUCAAACAACAAUACAGGAGCUAGGGGAAAGUAGAAUCAGACCUACUGUGAUGAUCUUCAAGAUCCUUCUUCACAUCUUCAGGAAGGUUAGCUAAUCUGAUAAAACAGAAUCUUGUGAACAACUUAUGUAAAAGUUACUUGUCCUAAAUAAUAUCUACCCGCAAGCUCAACCUGAGCAUUGAAAAUCUAGUUCGAAUCUUAUACCUAGGUGCAAGAUGCAGGAGAUUUUGACGCAGUGAAGAAAAUCCAGGAACCUAAAACAAAAACAGGUCAACUUCAAACAGGUAAUACAAGCAUAUUGAAAGCAAAAUGACUGACUAAUUCCUGAACAAAGACACUAGUUGUCCAAAUUUCAAAUGUAAAGACACAUACAAAAUACAUAAAUAUAGAGGGGGAACAAAAAGAGUUUCAAAAAUGGGAAGGGGACUUCAUCAAACUUGCUACUCCAUUUUGUGUUACACAUUGCCACAGGUUUCAUCAUAUUCAAAAGUUAUACUCGUUAUACCAUACUUGGCAAUGAAACUAUACAAAGCCAAUGGGCAUCUCAGUUCCGAUUAUGUACUUAAAGUUCACAUGUCCACAAAAACUUGGGCAUUGUGGAUGGUUGUUCGCCAGUCAUAACUUUGAAGUUGGGUAAAGACAAACUGGUAAGAGUAAUAUAAAUUUUUCAUCAAACAGCUGUGGGUUAAAAUCAACUUAGCUUUCAAAAGUCAGAAGAAAAUUGAAAUGUUUACCAGAAACUAAAGCUACUUUGCUUUGAAAGCACAGCUGUUAAACAACAAUACCAAACGGGGCCUUAAAUGACCUAUUAAUCUUCCAAUGUUCUUUCACAAGUUAACACAGAGUGACAAUAAUUGUCAGGAUAUAUCAAAUUCAGGUAUCGCUAUAAUGAUAUUCCGCUUAAAUUUCAGUAUCAGUUAUUUGUCAGCCAAACAGAACAUUGAAAGACUAAAAUAUGAUCAAGUAUAUACAUAUGUGCAAGUGCAACAAAAUGGACAAAUAUAUAUGAAAAGAAAAAAAUAGAAAAUUCAACUGCAAAAUUUAUUUCAUACGUCUGUAACAGAUAGAAUUCCGAGACCGUUGGGUCCAAACCCUUGUUCAAUCUUCAUCGACAAGUCAGCAUUCUUGUCCUGUUUCAAUCAAUUCAAACAACCGCCAGUAAAUUUCAAACACGUGUGUUUCACACUAGCAUACGCAGCAAGACUUUGAGAACUAACGUCCGAAGGUGAGUUGCGUAAGUCGUUUCGUUCCUAUUCGCCGUCGUUCCCGCUAAACAUUACAAAUUUAUAAUUCCCCGCAAUUAAAAUUACAAAAAAAUAUUCACAAAAAGACAAGAAAAAAGUGAUUUAUACAGUUAAAGCUAUUAUUUUAAUAUAAAAACCAUCAUCUAAUUCCCUAACUUUUCUUCUUUUAGUGUAAUACCAAAAAAAUAUAAAUUUCGGAUUAUCCUGGAUUACGUUUAAGUUACCUUUUACAUUUAAAAGCUUUAAAUUAUUUUACUUUUUGUUUUAAAAAUAAAGAGCAAAUAAUUGUAUAUUGACAAAAAUUAUUUUGUCUUCUUAACAAAAAGUAUGCCAUAUUUAGAUUUAAAAGUAAAUAAGCGAUUUAAAAAUAGCAAUUUUAAUAUAAUAAUUCUUUUAUUCAUUAAACGAGAGAAAUUUCAGCUUGACUCCUCGUGUCUGUUUUGCUAAUUUACGAUCUUUACUAGUUGAACUAAUUAGUAGAAUGGCAAUGUGUGUCACCAUAUAAAAAUGAAAUAAAUUUUUGGGUUAUUAUCAUUUUACUACUUUAAAAAUUGUCAAAUAUCAAAUGAUUAUAACAAAUAUUGUCUCCUAUCAUUUUCCUACUAUAUCUUUAUAAAAAUAUCAUUUUACUACUUUUUCGUUACAACAAAUAUCAUUUUACUACUUUUCCGUUACAACCGUUAGUUGACUCGUUAGUUUACCAGUUAGUUGACUAACAAAAUACUAAUUUUACCUUUCAUGAUUAAAAAUAAUAAUAAGACAAAUUUGUAAUCCAUAUAUCAUAAUUCCAUAAAAAAGAAUUAUGUUGGUAUUAUAUAUUCAUUUUAAUAAAUAUAUUACAAAUUUAUUUUGUAAAUAAGUUUCAAGUAUUUUUUUUUUUAAUCAUGAAAGGUGAAAUUGGUAUUUUGUUAGUCAACUAACUGGUCAACUAACGGUUAUAACAAAAAAAGUAGCAAAAUGAUAUUUUUAUAAAGAUAUAGUAGGAAAAAUGAUAGGAGAUAAUACUUGUUUUAGUCAUUUGAUAUUUGACAAUUUUUUAAGUAGUGAAAUGAUAAUAACCCUAAAUUUUUUUAUGAUUGAAUUGAUAUAAUCUGACUUAUUAAUAAUCUUAUAUUUAAUAUUAUUUGUGUUGAAUUGUUUAUUGGUGUCAUAUAUGUUUUCUCAAUUCAUUUUAUAACCAAUUUAACAAUAAUUUUGAUAUAUUUAUUAUGUAUUAAAUUCAUCUUUAUUUUUUAGUAGAAAAAUGACCGAACAACUUUUUAGCCUCUUUUUCCUUAGCUUUUAGUUAUUUGAUUCCUAAAAAAAUAGGCGUAAAUGUUAUAUUUUGAUUCUACCCAUCCCUAGGUUUUUCUUUCUUAUUAAGGGGCAAAACUAUCUUACCCCCGAUGCAACGAACACCAUUUUGGUAUUUUCUUUAGCAGUCCCUAUAGUUUUCUGUAAAUAAUAAAAACUAUAAGUUUUAAAAAUUUUAUACAAUAAGCCCCAAUUAAAAUAUAAUAAUUUCAAAAUUCUAAACAAUUUAUUGGGCAUUUUCUUCAACAAUCCCUAUUGCUUUCUGUAAAUAAUAAAAACUAUAAUUUUUAAUAAUUUUAUGUAAUAAACCCAAUUAAAAUAUAAUAACUUUAAAAUUCUAAAAAAAAUUAUCUCUCUAUCUCCUUCUCAAUCAAUUUUAAAUUUAAUUUUCAUUCUUUAUAAUUUUAAAUUUAAGUAAUAGAAUAAAUAUUAUAUAAUUUAUUUGUUUUUAUAUUAAAUAAACAAUUGAUCGGCUUCAUACGUGGGAUAAAGUAUAAGUAAUUUUACAUAAUCUCAAAUUUACUCAUAGAAAUUUAUUAUUUUGAAAAUAUUAUUUAUAAACUCUAUAAUGAAUUUAAAUGACUAUCCAAGCAUUUAUUUAAUAUUUAUUUAUUUUUCAUUUUAAUAUUGUCAAAAUUUAUAUAAACCUUAUCUAAUUUUAUGUUACACUAAAUACAAAAUAGUAUUAUUAAAUAUAAUUGGUAUUUUAAGUAAAUGGAAGUGGAGAGUAUUUUAGCAAGUUAAAAUAAUCCAUCCAUAUUUUUAAUAUAUAAAUAUGUUCAUUUAUUGAAUUACUUUUGAUAAUAAAAUAUUUAACGGACCAAUGUGUCAAAAUUUUAAAAUUUAAUCUUUUCUUAUUCUUUUAGUAAACAUAAGGGACCACAUCGUUAAUAACCAAAUGAUAACAUCUUAGCCAUUAGAAUAGCCUUUGCAACUCAUGGGUUGGAUCCAAUAAUUGGAUCACAAAAAGACAAAAAAAAAAAAGGUAUGAAACAGCAGUUGUAUUGUAGCCGAACCCUAACUUAAGCAUAUAUUGAAAGUCGAAUUGAACUCUAAGACUAAGACCUUUUUUUUUUUAGGAGAACUAUUGCUCAUGAUAUCUACAACCAUACAAAUUACUGAGAUCAGUUUAUAUGAACUUUAAUAUGACACCGCUCAGAUUUUCUUAACCCUCUUAAAUAUUCGAGGGACGUCCAACUCCCCUCCUGAGAGAAAAAUUAUCUUCACUCAAGCUCUGGAGUUCCAAGGAAAGAUAUUUAAAUUAAACUCCUGCAAUACAUCCGCGGGGGCUCGAAGCACUUCCCUCACACUUGUGAGGGAGUGACUCUAACCACUUGGGCCAAGUCCUAGUGGUUCUAAGACUAAGGUGGCGUUUGUUUUUUCGUCUGAAAUCUGAAUAGACCUGAAUUAGUCUGAAUUCUGAAUAGGUCUGAAUGUCUGAAUCUGAAUAAUAUGUUUGUUUUUUCGUCUGAAUCUCGGAAAAUAAGUAUUAAGUUGUUUGUUUUUUUCAACUUAAAAAGCUGAAAAUAUGUACUUUUACAUUUGUAUCCUUAUUAAAUUUGAAUGUCAAAUAAAUAAUAUAUUAAAUACCAUAAUAUUUUAACAUUUAUAAGUAAAACUAUAUUCAAGUGAAUACAUAAUUAUUUUGGAAUUUUAAUAUAUAAAAUACCAUAAAUUUCAAAUUUUAUUGUAUAUAAUAUAAGAAAGAAAAAAUAGGGAUAUUUUUAUGUGAGGUAAAUAUCUAUGGGUGAGUUUUGGGAUAGACAUGAAAAAUAAAUUAUAAAACAGGGAUAUUUUUGACAUUAGCAAGCAAUUGACUUAAUUCAUAUUUCUCCAUUAAGUAAAAAGCCAAAAAAAUUAGCUUAUUUUAUUAAGUCAAAAUUAUCUAAAAAGUCUCAUUAAGUUAUAAAAACAAACACCUCUAAUUAACUUAAUUAAUUAAGUUAAGUCACUUUAAGUCAUUAAGUUAAAAAACAAACACCACCUAAGACUUUAAAUCUUAGGAAAACAACUUUUUAUGCGCAUACUCAACCCUACAUUUUAAAAAGCACAACUAUACACAUUUAAAAAAAAAAACAUUAACCAUUAAUACUAAAUCUCAGUGACAUAUACGAUCAAGGAAGAAAAAUGAUGGGAUGUGAUUAUAUGAACAGUUGAACAUGUUCAUAAUUGACAUGAUCUGUGUCAUUCAUUUAUAUUUUAUUGCUUUCUACUAUAAUAUGGUUGAUGCUACAAUGCCGGGCACUGAAGGCCCGGCACCAUGCCAAAAAUGAAAAAAACCAUUGGAUUCAAUCUAAUUGAAUCCAACGGUUGAGAUUAAAUUUAUAUUAAAAAUAGAAAAAAAAUGGGUGACCUAGUAAACCAGUUCCCUGAAAGGAAAAUCCCACAAUUUCCUCUCACUUCAAUCCGAUUUCUUUGCUUUCUCAAAAGAAAAAUCCCUAAAAUUUCAUCUCUUUUUCAAGUUCAUAGUUUCUCUCAUCCCAAUUUUUUCACUCAACAAGAUCAAAUCCACGGUCUCUCUCCACUAAUCAACCAAUCGGAUCCAUCUACUCACGUAUUUUGUUUGUAUACGAGAGGUAGAGAGAGGCAGAGGCAGAGCCAAAUAUCGCGCGUUGCUUCUUUUCCAACCGUCCACUGUUACCUUCGUUGCAAUGUUGUCUACAACAUGAACUGCCAUCGAAUGAGCUGCAUGAAGCUUUUAGGGUGGCGUAUCCUGGAAUGGAACCAAAAAAAGAGUUGAGGUUUAUGUUUGGAGUCAUUCUUGGACAGGAAGAACAGCGCGAAUGAGUUGCAGGAAGAGCAGUUUGGCUCGAGGUAACUCUUCUGUUCUCGUCAUGUAAAUGACCUAGUGUUGUGAUGCGUACUAGUAAGCCCUAGUUUUUUUAUUAUCUUUGAUCAUUUUGCAUUUCCUCACUUGUAUUCUCGAGAUUUUUAUAUGUUUAUGAGUUAUGUUUAUUUGAGUCCCAACGACAUCCAUCGGUUUUUUUAUAUUUAUCAUCAAGGAGAGGUGAAAUUAUUAUUUAAUGACUAGUAUUUUGUAUAUCACUAGCAUUAUUCUUAAUUUUUUGUGAUUUUGCUUUUUAAUUUGUUUAAUUGGGUGUAGCCAUUAUAUUGUGCCUGAAUUGGUAGUUGACGUGAACUAAUCUUAUGCAUCUUGCAAGGCUAUUCAAGAGUAUAUGAAGGGAAAAUCUCUAAGUUCUCUUCAAAAUAUUAGAUUUCCUGAUUGUGUAAUGUCCUUUUUUUCUUUUUCUUUUAUGCAAUGCAGCUUGGUGUGGAAAAACACAAUGAGAGCUUAUAAACAGAAAGAGAGCUAACAAAAAUUUUAAUUUGUUCCUUUUUCUUUUCCAGCCGUUCAACCUCGAUAAUCAUUACCGAAAUCAUUACUGUGAAAGCCGAAGUUGUGACGAAGCUCCUCAAAAUAGCCGAAAGGUUUUAUUUAUAUUUUUUUUCUCUAUAAAUUUUCCUGAGAUGAUUAAUGGUUUGAAGAGAUGAUUAAUGGUUUGGAAGCAUGAAAUUGGCAAGAAAAACAUGAGAAAAUGGUGGGUUGUAGGGAGAGAGAGCGUAGGUUAUGAGUUUUAGAGAGAGAAGAAGAAACUAAAAAAAGUUAUCAAACACACUUCUGUCUGGAAAUACACUUCCUACUGGAAUAUAUCAGCUAACCGUUAUCAAAUAAACGGUGAACCGUUAUUUUCCAGAGUUAGAAUAAUAUGUUUAUGGAAAUUGUCGGUUCACCAUUAGCUCUUGUUAUUGUCUAGAAUUGUAAACACCGUUAUUGUUUAUCCUUUAGCUCUCGUUAUAAAUUCAAUUGAUACUCCAUUUAUGUAUGGUCUAUUUCAGGAUUUGAACCAUAACAUACAAUUAUAAAAUGGAGUCCACAGAAGCUAGAAGGGGAAGACCUGGUCAGAGAGCAUGGAUACACUUUUUGUAAGUAUAAAAUUAUUGCUUUGAAUAAAGUUCUUAUUAUAACUAUCAAUUAUGUUGACGUAAUUAGCUGAACUAAAAUGUUGUGUACAGUAAGCAUGAAGCAGAAAAGGUCAGGCAAGAAGGGAUAAAAAAAGUUUGUAGGGCGACAAUUGUUGAAAAAUGGAAGAAAUUAACGAAUGAGGAGAAGUGCCGAUUUGGUACAAUGCAUGAGGACCCAAGUUCAAAUGUUGGUGAAAUGAGCAUUGAAAAAACAGAUGAAGAACAAAAAAUUGAGGAUAAGCAUAGCCAAUGUAAUUUAUCUCGUUGUCGUGUCAGUGCAUUCACUAAGGUCGUUUCCACACUGUCGCCCAACCAACAAGCUACAAUUAGAGAAAUUGGCUUCGGAAGCAUGCUAGAAUUACGAUGUGGUCGCCUGAGAUAAGACUUAUGUGAAACACUUGUCCAACAAUGUGAUACAAAGAGGCAUUGUAUAGUUUUACACGGGAGAGAGUUUUGUUUAAACCCUACAACCUUCAGCAUCGUAAUGAGGAUCAAAGAUGGAGGGGAACCAGUAUACAUCCGAGAAGAAGCGGGUGAUAUAAUUGAACUGCGUGCCAAGUAUAGAAUGGGUGGAAGAGGAAUUGAAAUAGCCGCAGUUAGUGAAAGAUUGAUAGCUAGUGAGAGUAGUGAUGAUGACUUCAAGAUCAUGUUUUAUUUGUUUCUUCUAGGGACUGUAUUGUGUCCCACAAGUGCCAGCUCCAUCAAUCCAAUGUAUCUACAUGCCCUAAAAGAUGUGUAGUUAAUGAGGAAAAAGAAUUGGGCUACAUGGUGUUUCAACUUUCUGUGGGAGGGCAUAGCGAAGUAUAAAGAUCAUUAAGUGAAGUCAGUUAGUGGUUGUGUUGUGUUUUUAGAGGUAUAUUUAAGAAAUCUUAGAUGCUAUAAUUAAUUUUCCAAAUACGAAAAAUAAAAUGACGUAGUAAUUGUUUUUUGAAUGAACAGUUGUUCUACUUUAGUGCUGUUUUGUAUGAUCGGUGUUCCAUGGACAGAACAAUUUGCCCUGUUAGUGUAUGGACCAAGGAAGAGAUUCAGCGCUUAUUGAAUUGGCAGAAAAAGUUUGGGGACAUGACAAGUACUGAGGUUUGUUUUAUUUUUUGUCUUGUUCACACAUGUAUUUAAUUUUGUUUACGGUUAAUUGAAUAUAUUUUUAUUGUCAUUAUGUAUGAUUGUUGUGCAUAUUUAUUUUAGGUUCCAAUGCGUGAAUCAAAUUUUCUGCGCUCGAAAGAAAUUUCCCUCAUUUUGAACAAACCGAAGAUGCUGGGCCGAGCACUGUUAAUAUGGAGGGAGCUUUUAGGGUACUCACACAGUGUGUCCACAGAAUUGAACACAAAAUAGAUUUGUUCAAUGUGAGAAUGGAAAUGGUUGAGAAGUCUUUGGAGGAAUUGAGAUCCAAGUCUCCGGUUGGUGCACCAUCAAAACAACCAUCUGAUCCAUGCCCGCCAUCUCCGAGCUUGAAAAUAGUAGAACCAACAUGUCCAGUCAGAAAAACCGAGCCAACCACUGAUGGAAAAAACAAAAUGGUAAUGGAUAGCGACGAGGACUCUGUGGAUCGCAGAUUGAACCUGAGCCUCGAUAAAAUAAUGGGCUGGAUGGGGACAAGAGAAGGAAUCGGUGAAUUUCGCAAAGAUCUUACCCAUUUUGUCCCUAUUCCACCACCUAAUCUUCGAGAUGAGGUACAGUUUUAUAACGUCUUUUUCUUAAAAUUAUUUCAAUGAUAACUCACUUAUGAAGUAACUUACAUAUAAAUUUAUUUUUUAUAAAGGCUUACUGGACGAAACCGGAUAACCGGUUGUGAAAUCCGGUUAUCCAGAUUCGAAGGACAAGCUUGUUGUCCACAACCGGAUAACCGGUUGUGAAAUCCGGUUAUCCGGCUUCGAGGGACAUGUAAACCCAAUUGAAACAGCUUACUGGACGCAACCGGAUAGCCGGUUAUGAAAAUCGAAAAUUUGGAUUCGCGUGGCCAGGUCACUGCCAACAACCGGUAAGCUGGUUAGGAAUUUCUGGAAAUCCGAAUUCGCGUGGCUAGGUCACUGCCAACAAUCGGUAAGCCGGUUAGGAAUUUCUGAAAAUCCGGAUUCGCGUGGCUUGGUCACUGCCAACAACCGGUUAGCUGGUUAGGAAUUUCCAGAAAUCCGGAUUCGCGAGUUUAUAUAUUGUUCAUCUCCUCAUUUAUCUUUCAGUAAACCGGAUAGCUUUCUCUCUCUAUAACCGAUUAUUCCUAUCUCAUUUUCUCUCCAAAGUCCAUCAUUUUCACAUGUUUUUUUGUAAAUGGAUCCAUGGAACUUAUUUCCCAUCCGUUCUUGUAUCCAAAAUCAUCCUUCAAACCCUUUUUCAACCUCAAAAUCAAUAGAUCCGAAAUCCAUUCUAGGGUUUAAGCCGAAACUUCUCUCUCUAGAUUUCUCCCUCUGAAGCCAUUUUUUAUCGAAAUUGCUUCUUAAAAUCUCUUUCCAUUCUUAUUAUCUCCCUUCUCAUUGAUUUAUUUCACUUCAAAUUAAUCAAACUCACCAUGUCAAGCUCACGGCCGGUUCGAAGAAAAGGCAAAGAACCAGUUCAACAUACCAACCGGUCACGACAAGCAGGGGGCACAUCCAAUCAAGCCAACUUUGAGGCCACACACAUUCAGAACCACAAACAUCUAGCCAAACAAUUUCACCAAUAGUUCAUGACUCGUGAGGUACUCCAAACCUUUUUUGUUUUACCGGAUUGGUUGAAUAAUCUUAGUAUUAGCAAUAGAACUUUAUUGCAAUUGUUGGAAGAUGUUGGUUGGCUUAAUGCAAUUGUUUUUUAAGAAAAUGUAUAUCCUGACUUGGUGAAAGUGUUUUACUCGAAUAUGGAUUGUUCCGCGGAGAAAGAGAAUCAAGUAAUCACCACAGUUGGAAGAGUUUCGAUUGAGUUUGAUGAUUCAGAGUUGAACUCUAUCCUAGGAACUUCCGAUGAUGGCUUAGAAAUUUUUUUACCUAAGAAACCGCCUGAUAUUGAUGACUAUGUUCAUAUUGAUGCUGUUAAGAAUAUAUGUCGUCGUAUUGACCUUUCGGAUGACGAUUGUACUAUCAAUUUUCGCACCUGAUGUCUUUGUCUUCAAACUCGGAUAUUACUUCGUUUUAUUCAGAGUAUUGUGCUUCCUAGAUCAGGCCAUUUGGAUGAGGUUUCUCAUAUGGAUGUUGCCUUGAUUGAUUGUAUUCUUAGACAUCGUCCAGUCGACUUAGGAUACACCAUUAUCCGAAACAUGCUUAGUAUACCUAAGUUGAUUACUCGUUCCCUUCCGUAUGGUCAUUUCAUCACCCGAAUCCUCAAAUACUUUAGCGUCCCUAUCCAAGAACCAUCAUGUAGGCCAUCUAAGAGCAUUGGAGAUGAGGCUGUUAGUUCUUUAGGUUUUGAGUGUCGUAAUGACACUUGGGUGAAAGUCGCUGAUAAUAAGUUCACAUUUCUUGCUCCAAGUGAUGAUCGGCCACUUAAUGCUGUGGUUCCAGCCUAUCAGCUGCCUGAUUUUUCGCUUUCAUUUCAGGGUCAGCGUAGAGGUCGAGCUCCUUCAGUGUCUCCCUCAGCUCCUGCACCUACUUUACCACAUCCCGAGCCUCCUACUUCUGAAGAAGUUACUCUUCAGCAGCUUAUGGAUGAGGUGAGGACACUCUCUGUGCGGCAGACUGAGUUUCACCAGCAGGAGCGGCUUAUUCAUGGACAACGCCUCCUCUUUAAGCACUUCGGCAUUCCAUAUCCGUAUCCACCUCCAUCACCACCAUCCUCACCACCUCAGUAGUAUCUUAUACUUGUAUUUGGACACACUUACAUUUCAUUAUGAUUUUGGAUUAUGUAUUUGUUUUGAAUGAUAUGGAUUUGUUUUGAUUGUUUGAUAUUUCAUGGAUAAAUUAUUGUUUUGAAUUUCGAAUUUAGACCUAUUUGAAAAUAUCUAAAUGUUUUCGGUCAUUCUAUAAUUUAUGAUAUUUUGGAUCAUAUCUUAAUUUCAGAAAGUUUUGGCUUUAAUAAAGUAAUAAUUAGAAUUUCUGAAAUUGGACCUAUAUGAAAAAUUUUAUAACGCUUUGGGUCAUAACAUAGUUUCAUAUAGUUUUGAGGUCAAACUGUAUUUUAAAAACAUAAUUCAUUGUAACACUUCACGUGGAAUAUACAACUUAUCACGUCAAGUUGGCAACAUGGACGUCAAACAUGAAACGGCCAAGAAUAAUCGAGAAUUUUGGCUUUAUCCAAAACAUGCAACAUUGUAGGUCAAACAUGAAAUCCUACUGUCAGACAUACAACAACUGACGUUAAACAUGAAACUUGCAACACUUCACGUGAAAUAAACGACUUAUCACGUAAAGUUCGCAACAUGGACGUCAAACAUGAAACAGGCGAGAAUAUUCUUUAUUUUGGCUUUAUUGAAGACAUGCAACCUCUAACGUAAAACAUGCAACCGUUACGUCGGACAUGCAACAACUAUCGUUAAACAUGAAACUUACAACACUUCACGUGUAAUAUACGACUUAUCACGUAAAGUUUUCAACUUCGACGUCAAACAUGAAACAAACGAGAAUAUUUCGGAAUAUUCUUUAUUUUGGAUGUAUUCAAUACAUGCAACAUCUUCCGUCAAACAUGAAAUCCAACCGUCGAAUAUGCAACAAUUAACGUUAAACAUGAAACUUGCAACACUUCACGCGAAAUAUGCAACUUAUCACGUAAAGUUCGCAACAUGGACGUUAAAUAUGAAACGGGCGAGAAUAUUCUAGAAUAUUCUUUAUUUUGGCUUUAUUCAAGACAUGCAACCUCUAACAUAAAACAUGCAACCGUUACGUCGGACAUGCAACGGCGGACGUUAAACAUGAAACUUGCAACACUUCACGUGAAAUAUACGACUUAUCACGUAAAGUUCGCAACAUGGACGUCAAACAUGAAACGGCCAAGAAUAAUCGAGAAUUUUGGCUUUAUCCAAAACAUGCAACAUCGUACGUCAAACAUGAAAUCCUACCGUCAGACAUGCAACAACUGACGUUAAACAUGAAACUUGCAACACUUCACGUGAAAUAUACGACUUAUCACGUAAAGUUCGUAACAUGGACGUCAAACAUGAAACGAGCGAGAAUAUUCGAGAAUAUUCUUUAUUUUGGCUUUAUUGAAGACAUGCAACCUCUAACGUAAAACAUGCAACCGUUACGUCGAACAUGCAACAACUAUCGUUAAACAUGAAACUUGCAACACUUCACGUGUAAUAUACGACUUAUCACGUAAAGUUCGCAACUUCGACGUCAAACAUGAAACAUACAAGAAUAUUUCGGAAUAUUCUUUAUUUUGGUUGUAUUCAAUACAUGCAACAUCUUCCGUCAAACAUGAAAUCCAACCGUCGAAUAUGCAACAACUAACGUUAAACAUGAAACUUGCAACACUUCACGCGAAAUAUGCAACUUAUCACGUAAAGUUCGCAACAUGGACGUUAAACAUGAAACGGGCGAGAAUAUUCGAGAAUAUUCUUUAUUUUGACUUUAUUCAAGACAUGCAACCUCUAACGUAAAACAUGCAACCGUUACGUCGGACAUGCAACAACUAACGUUAAACAUGAAACUUGCAACACUUCAUGUGAAAUAUACGACUUACCACGUAAAGUUCGCAACAUGGAACGUUAAACAUGAAACGGGCGAGAAUAUUCGAGAAUAUUCUUUAUUUUGGCUUUAUUCAAGACAUGAAACCUUUAACGUAAAACAUGCAACCGUUACGUCGGACAUGCAACAACGGACGUUAAACAUGAAACAUGAAACUUGCAACACUUCACGUGAAAUAUACGACUUAUCAUGUAAAGUUCGCAACAUGGACGUCAAACAUGAAACGAGCGAGAAUAUUCGAGAAUAUUAUUUAUUUUGGCUUUAUUCAAGACAUGCAACUUCUAACGUAAAACAUGCAACCGUUACGUCGGACAUGCAACAACGGACGUUAAACAUGAAACUUGCAACACUUCACGUGAAAUAUACGACUUAUCACGUAAACUUCGUAACAUGAACGUCAAACAUGAAACGGGCGAGAAUAUUCGAGAAUAUUCUUUAUUUUGGCUUUAUUCAAGAUAUGCAACUUCUAACGUAAAACAUGCAACCGUUACAUUGGACAUGCAACAACUGACGUUAAACAUGGAACUUGCAACACUUCACGCAAAAUAUGCAAUUUAUAACGUUAAGUUCGCAACUUCAACGUCAAACAUGAAACGGACGAGAAUAUUCCGGAAUAUUCUUUAUUUUAGAUUUAUUCAACACAUGCAACAUCAUACGUCAAACAUGAAAUCCGACCGUCGAAUAUGAAACAACUGACGUUAAACAUGAAACUUACAACACUUCACGCGAAAUAUGAAACGUAUCACGUAAAGUUCGCAAUUUCGACGUCAAACAUGAAACGGACGAGAAUAUUCCGAAAUAUUCUUUAUUUUGGCUUUAUUCAACACAUGCAACAUCUUACGUCAAACGUGCAAUCAAUACGUCGGAGAUGCAACAACUGACGUUAAACCUGAAAUACUAUUUUUUUCAUUUUCAAUUUCUUUAUUUUUUGCCAUUUUAUUUAAUUAUAUUAUAUUGUAUUAUAGGGUUUCUAUUAUAUUAUUUAAUUUUUUUAUCUUUUGCUAUUAAUUAUAUUAUAAAAAACUAUUUUUGACAUUUUAUUUAAUUUUUCAUUUUUAUAUUGUAUUUUUAAUAUAUUUUUUAAAAAAAAUAUGGUGCAACCGGUUUGUUAACCGGCUGCACCAAGUCUUUGGCUGCCAAAUGGCAGCCAAAGACAGCCUGGCUCUCUUUUUGAGAGCCCGGCAUGGUGCCGGGUACAAUGCCAAUGGCACUGUAGCCAAACCCUAAUAGAAUUUCGGGUUUGGCUACAAUGUCGUUGGCAUUGUAGCCGGCACCAUGCCGGGCUCUCAAAAAGAGAGCCAGGCUGUCUUUGGCUGCCAUUUGGUAGCCAAAGACUUGGUGCAGCCGGUUAACAAACCGGUUGCACCUUUUUUUAAAAAAAAAAAUAAAUAUUAAAAAUACAAUAUAAAAAUGAAAAAAUUAAAUAAAAUGUCAAAAAAAUAGUAUUUUAUAAUAUAAUUAAUAGCAAAAGAUAAAGAAAUUGAAUAAUAUAAUACAAUAUAAUAUAAUUAAAUAAAAUGUCAAAAAAUAAAGAAAUUGAAAAUGAAAAAAAUAGUAUUUCAUGUUUAACGUCAGUUGUUGCAUGUCGGACGUCCCGGUUGCAUGUUUGACGUUAGAUGUUGCAUGUUUUGGAUAAUGACAAAAUAAAGAAUAUUCUCGAAUAUUCUCGCCCGUUUCAUAUUUGACAUCCAAGUUGCGAACUUAACGUGAUAAGUUGUAUAUUUCACGUGAAGUGUUGCAAGUUUCAUGUUUAACAUCAGUUGUUGCAUGUCGGACGUCCCGGUUGCAUGUUUGACGUUAGAUGUUGCAUGUUUUGGAUAAUGCCAAAAUAAAGAAUAUUCUUGAAUAUUCUCGCCCGUUUCAUAUUUGACGUCCAAGUUGCGAACUUAACGUGAUAAGUUAUAUAUUUCACGUGAACUGUUGCAAGUUUCAUAUUUAACAUCAGUUGUUGCAUGCCGGAUGUUCUGCUUGCAUGUUUGAAGUUAGAUGUUGCAUGUUUUGAAUAAAGCCAAAAUAAAGAAUAUUCUCGAAUAUUCUCGCUCGUUUCAUGUUUGACGUCAAAGUUACGAAGUUUACGUGAUAAGUUGUAUAUUUCACGUGCAGUGUUGCAAGUUGAAUGUUGAACGUCUGUUGUUGCAUGUCCGACGUCCCACUUGCAUGUUUGACGUUAGAUGUUGCAUGUUGAACGUAAAGCCAAAAUAAAGAAUAUUCUCGAAUAUUCUCGUUCGUUUCAUGUUUGACGUCGAAGUUGUAAACGUUUCGUGAUAAGUUGUUUAUUUCACGUGCAGUGUUGCAAGUUGCAUGUUUAACGUCCGUUGUUACAUGUCCGAUGUCCCGCUUGCAUGUUUGACGUUAGAUGUUACAUGUUUUGGAUAAAGCCAAAAUAAAGAAUAUUCUCGAAUAUUCUCGCUCAUUUCAUGUUUGACGUCCAAGUUGCGAACUUUACAUGAUAAGUUAUAUAUUUCACGUGAACUGUUGCAAGUUUCAUAUUUAACGUCUGUUGUUGCAUGUCGGAUGUUCUGCUUGCAUGUUAGACGUUAGAUGUUGCAUGUUUUGAAUAAAGCCAAAAUAAAGAAUAUUCUCGAAUAUUCUCGCUCGUUUCAUGUUUGACGUCAACGUUACGAAGUUUACGUGAUAAGCUGUAUAUUUCACGUGCAGUGUUGCAGGUUGCAUGUUGAACGUUUGUUGUUGCAUGUCCGACGUCCCGCUUGCAUGUUUGACGUUAGAUGUUGCAUGUUGAACAUAAAGCCAAAAUAAAGAAUAUUCUCGAAUAUUCUUGUUCGUUUCAUGUUUGACGUCGAAGUUGUAAACUUUUCGUGAUAAGUUGUAUAUUUCACGUGCAGUGUUGUAAGUUGCAUGUUUAACGUCCGUUGUUACAUGUUCGACGUCCCGCUUGCAUGUUUGACGUUAGAUGUUGCAUGUUUUGGAUAAAGCCAAAAUAAAGAAUAUUCUCGAAUAUUCUCGUCCGUUUUAUGUUUGAUAUCUAAGUUGCAUACUUUACGUGAAAGGUUGCAUAUUUGACGUGAUAUGUUGUAGGUUUCAUGUUUAACAUCAAUUGUUGCAUGUUAGACGUCACGGUUGCAUAUUUCAGGUUAAAUGAUGCAUGUUUUGAAUAAAGGCAAAAUAAAGAAUAUUCCCGAAUAUUCUGGCCCGUUGCAUGUUUGACGUCUAAGUUGCAUACUUUACAUGUUAAGUUGCAUAUUUGACGUGAAAUGUUGUAGGUUUCAUGUUUAACGCCAGUUGUUGCAUGUUUGACGCUAGAAGUUACAUGUCCUGAAUAAAGUUAAAAUAAAGAAUAUUCCCGAAUAUUCUCACCCGUUUCAUGUUUGAUGUCAAAGUUGCAUACUUUACGUGAUAAAUUGUAUAUUUAACGUGACUUGUUGCGGGUUUCAUGUUUUACGUCUAUUGUUGCAUGUUGGACAUCGCAGUUGCGUGUUUGGCGUUAGAUGUUGCAUGUCUUGAAUAAAGCCAAAAUAAAGAAUAUUUCUGAAUAUUCUCGCCCGUUUCAUGUUUGACGUCAAAGUUGCAUACUUUACGUGAUAAAUUGCAUAUUUAACAUGACUUGUUGCGGGUUCAUGUUUUACGUCUAUUGUUGCAUGUUGGACGUCGCGGUUGUAUGUUUGACGUUAGAUGUUGCAUGUCUUGAAUAAAGCCAAAAUAAAGAAUAUUUCUGAAUAUUCUCGCUUGUUUUAUGUUUGACAUCAAAGUUGCAUACUUUACGUGAUAGGUUGCAUGUUUGACGUAAAAUAUUAUAGGUUUAUAUAAAAUAACUAAUUAUAAAAUGAGAGUGCAUUUCAAAAUUCCUUGACAAAUCAAGUGAUAAUUUAUAACUAAACUUAUUUUUUCAAAUUUUUUAUUAUUAAUUAAGCCAAUCUAUUAAGAAACAAAUGAAAAUUAAAUUAAAUUCAACUUUUACCUAAUAAAUAUAUUUAGGAAUAUAUCUAAUUAAACUGGUACACAAAUUACAAAUGUUUUCAUGAAAUUACAUAUAUAAGUUUAAUAGUCUCACUAUUUUUUACAUGAUUGAUAAAAUGAUGGCUUUGGAAAGAACUUGUGAUAUGAAAAGAAAAAUCUAGUUAAUUAUAAUAAAAUUACAUAUCUAAUCCAACCUUUUUUCCUUAUUUUAGUCAGAUAAUAGUUUUGAAAAUAAUUUGAUAAUUCAAGUGAUAAUGUCUAUUCUUAUUUGUUGUAUAAUAUUUUUUUAGGUGCAUUUCAUUUCAUUUUUAUUUUUUUAGAGAAUCUAAUCAUGGUGGAUAUUUUAAAUUACUAAGUCAUGAAAAUUUUGAAUUCAAUUGAAAUUUACAAUCUUUUAUGAAUGAAAAUAUACAGCAAGACAAAAAAAUUGAGAUAAAAAGAAAAUGUGGUAGAAAGAAAAGGCAACAUCAAUAUGAUCAUUUUCUAAGAAAAAUUAAGGCAAAAUCUUCCAAGUAAUAUGGUCAAUUUCAAUAAAAUUACAACUUACUAGAGUAUAUCCAUCUACUAAACAUCCAAAGUUCACAACAUAAUUUUUGAAUAUCACCAAUAACAUCCCCAGUCCUAAAGAUUGCAACAAAUUCAUGUAACAUUUGAGAGUAUUGUUUGGGGGUAAAAACAUCGUGACCAGGUACGCAUAAGUAGAAUGCGCACCCCUCAGUCGGCCUAAGGCGACUCCUUGAGGAAAGUCUUCCCCGACGAGUUGAGCAUUGGAGGGUUUAUGUUAGAAAAUCCUCCGACAUCCCCUGACUAGUUGUUAUGAACGCAAGCAUCCUUGGAGAAAGAGCUUGAGGUCCCAAGAGCCUAUUCGAUAAGAAAGAUAGAAGUACAAACCGACUCCCCAACAACUACUAAUUUAAGUGUUGGCGUGGUUGUCUGGUCGCUUCACAACUCGACCAGAAUUCAACAUCAACAGAUAUUUUAGAAUCUAGUGUAUCUUCAAUAAUUUUGGAUUAAAUUGUAUGACACUUUUUUCUUUCUUUUUUUUUUGUGAAAACAAAUUUUAGUACACUUAUUUUAAAAGAAAUUUGUUAAUGAAAAACAAAAUAAUGACAAUGAAGAGCACUCAUUUAUAAAAAUAAGCUACAAAUAGGAAAACAAAAUUCAUAUAAGUAGAAUCUCCCAAAAAAUAAAAGCAUUGUCAAAUUGAGUUACAAACUAAUAAUAAUUUCAUCAAAGUUUGUAAACUAAAGAUUGUCCUAAUAUCAAAAAGUUUCCAAUAAAACACUUAUGCCAGAUAAUUUAUAGAACCUAGUAAUAUCCAACUGAAUUCUCCCCUGCAAAUAAUUAAAAUUUUCAAGUUAGUCAAUAAGAAAAAACAGCCAUCAAUCAUAAUAAGAAGCAACAACAAAUUACACUAAAAAAAUAGCAGAAAAAAGCACCAAAACAACAAAUAUAAACAAGAAACAACAAUAAAAAAAAAACCCAAAAAUGGCAAAAAGAGAUGCUCAAAGCAGCAAUAAAUUUAUAAAAAAUACCCUAAAAUAGCAAGAAAACUACCUAAAACCAGAAAAAAAAAAUCUAAAAUAGCAGCAAAAUCUUCCAUUGCCAGAUAAAGCUAUGAAAGAAAAGAAAUAAAAUUCAUAAAGAGUCAAAGCUAACAUACUGACCACUUGCUAGAAAUUAAGCUAUAAAUCCCAAAUUUUUACACAAAUUAAUAUCUGAAACAAGAUUGGUUUGAUAUAUGAUAGUCAAGUAAAAUACCUAUAAAGUAGUACAAAAUCAGCAAACCUAAUGGCUUCACUCCACUCAUUUUCUUAAGACUCCAGUGAUGAGAAGCUGCCAACAGAAUGAUAAAUUGAGGUUUGACAGGAAGCACACAAACUAAACAAGAUACAUAACAACUUUGUUAUCCAUGUUACACCCUAGAACCAUUUCUAGGAAUAUUUGUUAGAAUAGCCACCAUAACAGUUGAUGAGCAACAUAAAACAGAGACAACAACAAAACCAGCAACCUGCAAAGUGCCAAUUCUUCCAUAAUUAAAUCAGAUAGACAAUAGAAAUAAUUUACUAUUAAAAUCCCAAAUUCAUUUUAUCUUCUUCCUGCAUUUUCUCAUCAAUCAAACAUAAAAGAGAGCUCCUAUCGACAUAUGCAAACAGCACCCACCAUCUUGUCACAUUCAAACACAACCCAAGAUCACAAAAGUUAAUUUUCCAGAUUUAGUUAACCAAAGAAAAUAUACCAUCAAUUGGAUCACCUUAUAAAUCAAAUACAAUUACACGAUAUUACCAACCUCCCAAAAAAAAAAGGCACAAACUUUAAAAUGAAAACAACACCACCAUGAAAAAUAAGCAAAAGUGGGUAUUUGAAUCAAACAUGAUAGAAUGCAACAAAAGCAAAAAAGCUUUCCAUAGAAGCCAGAGCCAGAUUGGGUACAAGCAAGCUAGGAUGUACCAAUUAAAGAUGCUUCAUUCAAGAACAGAAAAGCUACCAGAAUGAUAAAAGUAGAAAAAAUGAAACAAUAAAUAGAAAAUUGGGUGAAGCUGCAACAAUAGUUUCAAUCACUUAACAGUACCAGCAAACUUAUAGUCAACUUUAAGAACUAGAUGUUUAAGCCACAGAUAACGGGGACGUACCCAUGAGGAUAAAGACACAAGCGUGAGACCAGCAAAGCCGCCCAUCCUUAACUUGUGCAGCAGACAAAGUCGAAUGAAAAAGGAGGCAACGACGGUAGCGACGGAAACGGCUGGAUCGGAAGCGAACAGCUCAAGAUGAAAGCAACAAGUUAAUGGAUUGGAUUGUGUGCGCGUGAUGUGGCUUCGUUUUUAUUUGGUUAGUCAAGAAAUCGAAGAGAGAAAUUUGUGAUUUCUGAGAGAGAGGCAAGAAAUUGAGAGAGAUUGGGCGCGGUUGAAACACCUAAAUUAUUAAAAUAUAAAUUUUGCAGCGUUUGGGAACUGGUUGCUUCGGUUGCCCUUUUUUUGUUUUUUUAUUUCUUUUCAAUGUCAGCCGUUGGAUUCAUUUUACUUGAAUCCAACGACUGCAUUUACAAGCCAGCACAAUGCCGGGCCUCAAUGCCCGGCAUUGUAGCUUUAGCCUAUUAUUUCAAUAUGUAGUUUAUUCAAGUUUUCAAGUUUUGUUUUUAAAUUCACACCCCUCUCUCUCAUUCUUCUCUCUCUGUGUGUUUGCUGAACUCUCAAUGGCGAGCAACGUUCAGCACCUCACCCAAACAAUCCGACUCUCUUUCCCAUCUCUUCACAAUUUCAAAGCUUCUGAUGCUUUUACGAAUAAGAGUUUAAUUACCACAUUUCCAGUACGUUUCUCUUUUCACAGCUCAGCAAAAUUAACUACUUCUAUUCGCUCUUUACCAGUCGCUACCGCUAGCAUUAGCUACAGAAGCAGCUGUACCUUCACUUGGGACGACGUCGUUCGAGUUUCUCAACCAGAAUACUCCCCUGACGAUUCUUCCGAUCUCCGUGGCUACUUCGAGAAAAUCAAAAUCUGCAAUCGUGGCUCAGUUACUAUUUCAAAUUCCUCAUCAAACAAAUAAAUUUUGCAACCUUUAUUUUGCUGCACUUAAUUCAUUUUCUUAUCUUUUAAUUAUUAUUAUUUUUAAGGAAAUGCAAUCCGAGUUUUUUCCUUUUAUCAUCGAGGACCAAGUUGUUGGUUACACACAUAAUCGGUACAAUUUCUUUAUCCUCAUAAUAGAAAAUAGAUUAUGUCUAUUUAUUCCUGUUAGGGAUUUUAAAUUCUGAACAAUUCUUUUUUUCUUUUUUGAUUCAUUUUUGAAUCUAAGCAGUUUCGCUAGCCGCCUGAGGAAAUACGACGACGUAUUCAUAUACUCUGAAAACAACGGAGGUCGAUUUGGCAGUCACCUGAAGUUAAAUUCAAAGCUGAAAACAGCCGAUGAGAGGACGAGAGUUGUUGGAGAAGUGAUUAAAUGCUUGGCCGAAGAAGAAUUGAUUCCAGGUAUACGGAAUGAGGUACUGCUAGCUUUACUUUUGAUGUUUAUAUAGGAACUGAAUCGAUUCUCUUUCACUUUUGAAUAUAUGCUUCGUGCUUGUGACUAUGUCCAUAUGAUGUGUAAUUUGCAAUUGAUUUUUUUGAGAUUGAUUCAUUUUGGAUUUCAUUGGUUUAUAAUCAGCUCUAUCCUGUAACAUCAACCUUUGGUUCUCCGAUCUUUUUCUCGCUGGAACGUGCCGCUGCUCCUUACUUUGGAAUAAAGGUGAGUUCAUGACUUUUGCUUUGCAUCAAGGAUACUUGUGCAUAAAGUUAGAGAUACAAUAAGUUAGUGAUCAUGAGAUGUUUAUUGCAGAUAUGAUCACAUGAAACAGUUGUCUUGUUAAGUGUCUAUGUUUGGAUCUAGUCACCAUCGAACUUUGUCUAUUUUAUUACUUUGUAUAUUACUUUGCUUUCUGGUAAUAGACUGAAUUAUAAUUUACUUGGCUAUUGAUGGUUAUAUUGCUGUUCCUUUCUUCCUGAAUUUGAAAAUAGGCUUAUGGAGUUCACAUGAAUGGUUAUGUUGAAAAAGACGGGCGAAAAUUUCUAUGGAUUGGAAAACGAAGUCAAGUCAAACCUACUUAUCCAGGGAUGCUUGAUCAUCUAGUUGCUGGAGGAUUGGUAUGUAAUAAUAACCUUUCAUUGCUUUUCUUUGGUUGAUAGUAUUGGAUUCUUCUUUUGAAUUGCAUUGAGUUUACUUUUGUUUUGAAAAAAAGGACAGUCGUCAGCUGAUUCUCCUAAGCCCUUUUUGUGAUCGGAAAAAAGUGCCAAACAUGUAUUGCAUGAGUAGGGCACAGCUGGAUCCUCAUAUACUUGAAAUUCACUGAUGACCUUCAUUUGAAAUUGGAAUAGGUUGCUUACUAAAAAAUAGAUUAAUAAGGUUUUUCUUCAGCAGUGGACUCCAAUAUGACUGCAGUUGAUUAUUGUAACAAGAUUGACUUCUGAAGUGCUACUAAGGCUUAAGAAUCAAUUAGUCCUUGGAAAUUCUCAAAAUAGUAGGAAGAAGGCACAACAUUAUCCAAUGGCUGUUUGUCAUUCUGUGGUAGCAUAAAAGAAUAAGAGGGAAGAGGCAAAAGGUCAUUCUGAAAAAUGCCAUUUCUAUGGUGCCAUUUGUAAAACAUGCAAGCAAAAACGUAGGGGGCAAGAGAAACUUUGCGGACAUUUGUUUCUGUUAUUUUUCGGUUGGACUGAUUUAUCUCUUUACUAGUUAUAUAUGUUUUCAAGUUUAAACUUAGUGGUUUGGGCAGCUGGCAAAUAUUUGUCCAUGUUAGUCUGUAAUGAGAAAAUGAUCUUGAAAAGCCUUUAGUGAACCAUGGAAACUUGAGCUCAGAACAAAUAUCACUUGGGCAACAAACCCUGUGCAAUUGGAAAACAAUAGGUGUUCUUCCUUGUUGCAAUACUUGGAGAUUCCAGUUCAGUUACUGCAAUUGGAGAAAGAAUUUAUAUUAAUGAAAACUAUGGAUUCAUUUCAUUUAAAAAUGUUUUCUCUAAUCUUUAUGCUCAGUUAUCUGAACCAACGCUUCAUCUAUAUAAUCGUGAUGGUGAUUGCAGCCCCAUGGUAUUGCUUGUGGGGAGAAUAUUAUCAAGGAAUGUGAAGAGGAAGCGGGAAUACCUAGAUCCAUAUCCAAUAGGUAAGCUGUCCCCAUGCCACAUUGAUUCUAAAUUUGAGUACUAAUUGUAUUUAACUAUAUUAUAUUGGCUAAAAAUGUGAACUUUGCUAAAGUUCCACUCCACAUGUCAACAUUCUGAUUAAACCGUGCUUCUUUUGUGGAUGAUUGGUUGUACUAAUGGGUCCAGAUAUACAUCUUUCACAGAGCUAGACCAGUGGGAGCUGUUUCCUAUAUGGACAUUAAUGGGUUUAGUUACAAAAGAGAUGUUCUAUUUUGUUACGAUUUGAAGCUACCUGAAGAUUUUGUUCCUAAGAAUCAAGGUAACUGUAUUAAAGCUUGAUCUCAUUGAUGCCCAUUUUCUUCCCUAGUGAGAAUAAGGUAUAAAAGCAAUAUUUCUUGAGCUGCAAACUAGUAUUAGCAUUCCUACUGUUAAAUAUUUAUACAUGUCAAUCUAUAACAUACAGCCGCUGCAGUUUUAGAAGAGAAUUAUAUCUAUUCAUUGUAAUAGCUUUAUUAAACAUGUUGCAGACGGAGAGGUAGAAAGCUUCCAGUUGAUCCCUGUGGCACAUGUUGCAAAUGUCAUAAGGAGGACAGAGUUCUUCAAGCCAAAUUGCUCCCUAGUCAUCAUUGAUUUCUUGUUUCGACAUGGGUAUUAGCACUUUUCUUGAUUGCUUCUUGUAUCUCUCUCAGUUUGAGACUUUCAGUAAUCAGUUAAAAAGAUUAAAAUAAAUAAAUAAAAACUAGCAUAUGUGACAGCCAUAUAAUAAAUAAAUAAAUAGAAAGCAUAAUCACUUCUUUUUUUUUAAUUUUUUAUUAACUGUCAAUUUGUGGCAAUGGUUGCUGUUUUUCUUAUGAUAGUGGACUCUUCUGCCCUGUAGAAAUGAUAAAAGCAACAGUGUGUAAUUGUAAUGAAUCUUAAAUGUUUGCUCUACUACUACUAAUAUUCCCGUGUGCUUCUGUUUAGUUUUAGGAAUCUUUUAGAUGUCUUUGGGUUUUCUUUUUCAUGAUUUCAUACAUUUAUUGUUUAUGCUGAUUAAAAUUGUUACAUAUUAGGCUAGGGAAAUUGCUCCAGGAUUUUAUUUCUGACACUCAUAUGCACUUCCUACAAUUUCAAUGAAUCUCGAGAUAUGUCCUUGAUUUUUCUUGUAAUGUCCAUACAUUGAUGCUGGUUGAUAUUAGAUAGAUUUGAAGGGAUUCAUGCUCAAAGGCCUUGUUGUAGUUCCUCCUUUACCAUUAAGAAAAACUCAGCUGUAGCAUAUCAAUCCAUCCCAGUUUGAUUCUAAUCUUUUACCAUAAUGCUGCAACUUGCAGGUACAUUUGUCCGGAAUAUUUUGGAUACUUGGAUCUACUACAGAAUUUGAGAAGCGGAGACUGCUCCUAAUUAUUUGUCUUCGUGCCUAUCUUCUUUUUCUAUUUUUUUUUAAUCCUCCAAAUAAAUUGGAUUGUCUGAAUGACGAUUGAUGUUAAUUAAAAGCUUUAUUUUCCUGUCGCGAAAGAGAAAAUUUGGGCAUUACAUCAAUUGGUUUUAAGAUACAGGAUCGUGCGCAAAGAUUGAGAUAUGGUGAAAUCACAGUUCUUAAAAUGAGACUUCUGGAGGAAACUAAACAUAUAGUAUGCAAUUUAGGGUUAAAAAAAAAGGAAAAAGAAAAAGGAUUGGGCGGCGCUCGCAUUAGCUUCCCAUCACCCAGGAUUUGGGCCCUAUUUGAUAUCCAGGUUGACCUUUAAAGGUUACAACACUAAGGGCAGGCCUGCCCGCCCAGCCCAUUUGCCAUACCUGUGGUACUAUUGAGAGAAAGGAAAAUCGGUUAUCAAGAACAAAAGGCCGCGCAAUUAACUGGUGGAAUUCUAUUUUUACCCAAUAUUCUUCUGCACUUCAAAAUGGAUCGAGAGAAAACUAGACAAGAAAACAGUAAGAUACCUUAACUGUGCCAAAUGGAAAAGCAUUUGUCUAAUGCAUAAUUAUUAUAUUUCUUGAAGAUGUAAUUUUUUUUCCAGUAAUAGAUAUCUAGGAUCCACUUGCUUAAGAUGUAAAUAUUGAUCGAUAGAUAUCUAUGUUCCAGGCGCGUAACUAGGACUGCUCUGUAUUAGAGCCUCACACUUUCAAUUCUUCAACUCCUGUGCCCAGUGGUUCAAAUAAAGCUUCAACUUGACUUUGGUUGACUUCCUCCAAGCUUGCUGGGUUCCACUUAGGAUUCUGCCAAAAACAUGAUAAUCCACUGAGAAAACUACAUGCGCAUUACCAUUAUGGGCCUCAAUAAGUUUAUCCGCUACUAUGCAUUACCAUCACAGGCCUCCAUAAAUUUAUGGACUACUAUGUGUUUAUGUAAUUUAGUCAACACCUAUUUAAUGAUAUUUGGAACUUGUUAAGCUUUAGAACGGGAGAAGCAUUCUAUAAAGGGAAAGAUUAUUUGCACCAUUAGCUAGUAUCCUCCUAAUUUCAUCGAUGGAAAGGGAUGCAGAAUCAGUUCAAAAAAUUUAUUCAAGUUUUAAUUGACUAAAGAGAACCUGAUCCUUGUCCACCAAGACUGCUCGAACACCUUCAGCAAAAUCACUUCGCAAAGAAGAUCUUAAGGCAACUCGAUAUUCAUAUUUCAUUACCCCGCUUAGCUGAAUGGGAACCAAGUGUAGAAGGAAAUAUAUGUUACUUUUGACUGUUUCACCUUUAUAGGAGGAAAUCACGGAGUAGUACAAACCAAAAAGAUGAAAAAUAGAAUUCCAACUUACCUUUGAUAAUUCAUUGUCAGUUUUUCCAUGUGCUGAUGCAACUUUAGAGAAGUACUUUUGUGUUAAGCAAAGAGAAAAUGGAGCACCUUUCCCCAUUCCUUGAAGGGCCUCAUCAGCCCAUUGUGCCACUGAAGGAAGACAAAUGGAAUCAGAACUGUGGUGAACAUCAACACAAACCUAAUCAACCCAGUAUAAUCAACGCCACUUUAACAUCGACCAAAAAAUUUCUGAGGACACCAAUGUCACUUAUUACGUUGUUCUCAUUUCCAUAGACAAAACGGCUAAAUAGCUUACCUGAAGUCUCAGUGCUUGAUUGAUGUUUCUUUAGCUCUUCAAUUAUCUGCCUAACUGACUUUUCUGAACUAAAGCAUGAAGUAAUUUGAGGCAAAAGAAGCUUCAGUGGGGCUUCACCCUCAGGGUCACUGCUAUAUUUUGCCAAAACUGCUACAAUAUCCUGAUGCGGAUCUUCGGAACUGUAACACCAAUAAUCAUUUUGACCUUUUAGUGGCAGCUGGAAAUCUAAAAAUUGCAACAAUACGCAGAUGUUUUGAUAAAAAAACAUGAAUAAAUCCCAGAUCCAGAAAGUAAAUACAUUACAAAAUUCACUUUGUUAGAACAAUUUAGCUUUAUACAAUAGAGAAACAAUGUUCUAGACCUACCACCUACCAUGAGAACACUCAGCAAGAACAAUACAAAACUAAAAACUUCACAGAGUGAUGGAUCUCUUAUUACCUCACCAUUGCUAAAAUAAAGGAUGUCAAUAACUGGAAUUUGUUUUAAUUUAAGCAAUCCAAGCACUAAAUGUGGAUUCAUUUCCAUUGAAACAAAAGAUGGAAUAUAAGAUAGAAAGAUAAUUGAAGACAUACAAGGUAACUGCCAAAAGGGCCUCCUUCAGUGAACCUAAAUUCCCCGAUGGCACAUAAUCCGUUCCAAGUCCAGCAAAGAGUGCAUCAGAAGGUGUGGAAAUUCUCUUUCCCGUCAUACCAAGAUAAGCACCUGCAAUAUUUUAGGAUUUCAAGUGACUGAACAUUCAACAACAGAGCAUCAACUAGAGUCACUAGACAAUCAGUUUUCUGGAAGAAAGACGAGAAAGAAAUCCAGCAUGAACGGAGAGGUCCUAAUAAAUUCACAGAGGCCAAGGUCUCACCAAACAAGCCAAAAUCCCACCCCAUUUUUUAGAGCAAUUUUUGAAAAAAAGGGAGAAAAGCUAAUUAAAACGACUUGCUCACUAGCUAGAUAUUAUCCACUUUGGGCUUCACACAUUUGUCCUUCACCCUCAUAUUUUUGUUCUUGGUAUGGGUCCAAUCCCACCUGAAAGACUGCUUUCUAGUUUAAGGAAGGUCACCCCUUCUAAGCUCAUUACUCAGAUCCUCCCAAGCAAUGUGGGAUGAAACAGUUAUGUCAAAUAAAUUAUUAAGGCAACAAAGAUAUAAGUUUGAAAUAUUUAGAUGAGAUGGUCAGAUAACAGGUUGGAAGGUAGGAAUACAUUUAACGUGAUGGAAAUGCAAAAUUGAUUUUCAAACUGAGAAAGAAUUAGGGGGUUCAAGGAAAUUAGAAUAGAGGCAAUCCCUAUGUUAGUCCCCGACCAAAAAAAAAAAGACAAUUUACGACAAAUAGAGAAAAAAAUAUCACAUUGUUAGGAGAUAAAAAUCUUAAUGAAGAAAGAUUCGAAAGUAGCUCGCCUAUGAUCCCACAUCCAAUCUAAAUGACUAAGAAACCAUACGAUGCAUGCAAAUUCAAUAUCAGGCAACAAAAGAAAUCUAUAUGCACCAUUCAGAUAAGAAUAACCAUACCAACAGAUCCUCCUCCAGGACCUUUUGCUGCUAUGUAUGAAAAUCCAACAUCCGGGAACAAGCCAAUUCCAUUUUCUGGCAUGGCUAGAAGAGUUUUCUGAGAAGUAUUUAUUUUAAAAAAAAGAGCUAAAAUGAAAAACUAGUACAGCUUUUAAAACAUGAAAUUGACACCACUGUGGACAUGUCAACACCAUUCAUACCUCUGUUACAAUUCUGUAGCGACCAUGACCGGAUAGGCCGAUUCCAAAACCCAUUGUUACACCAUCCAUUAAGCUUAUGUAUGGUUUCUUGUACUCAGAAAUUUUGCAUAUUAGAGAAUACUCUGCAGUGAACACCUGAGAGAAAAUGCACCACAAUGAGGCGUAUUAAGUUAAUUUAAUGGAACAUAUUAAAAAAAAGAGGUUAACAUAACAUAACAAACUAAUUAAGGAGACAGAAUAGCAUGCAAACACAAGCCUAAAAAGUCAAUUUAUGCAAAACCACGCACAAUAUAAAAUGAAACUUGAUAAACAAUGAGAUUGAAUCCACGUAAUAAGAAUGAAAUGCAUGCAUCAAAAAUAUAAAUCUAUAAAACUGGUAGACAUAAAUUGCCUGAAACAAGUCAAUGAUCCGAAUAUAACAUUUAUGCAUAUGCAUGUCAAAUUCCAAAUACUCUUAUUAUCUCAUUUAAGAAGAAAAAUACAUUAAUUCAAUGUAAAACUUUAAAUCAACAAAAAACAUAAAACCAUAUUUUGAUCCUCCUACAAAAACCCAAUAUUCAUCCGAGAGUCUAAAAAGCAUGUUACAUCAGUCUUAUGUUAUACAUAAAUGAUAAAAAAAAAUAAAAAUUCUGCCAUUCAAAAUUCGAAUAUAAUUAUGUGAGGUAUCAUCAAAUAAAUUUCUCUUAAAAGAAUUUCCACGUCUUAUUUUAGGAAUACACCUAGGGAUACGACAUUAAGAGCUGAUAAUGACUGACUGCAACUGUAAGUGGUUCAAGGGAGAUUGACUGCAGGUAACAGUGUUAUUUGGAAAAGAUGAGAUAUUGGAAUCGAAGCAACUAUGAUAGGAAAAAUAGUUAUUUUGAACUUGACUAUAUGUUUAUAUUGGUGAAUAACUUGUAUUUCUAUAUUUCUGAUCAGAAUACAAUAGUACAAAUAUAUAGCUUUACAAUGAACUAAUUUAGGAAACUAUCCUAGCUAAUUGAGGAAAGUAUCCUAGCUAAUUGACAACUAUACACGCAGCUAUUCUAGGAAACUAGAUCAAUUCUAAUAACUCUAUUUUUGGUACAAUUUCCUCUGGUUUGAAUUAAUAUCUUGCAACACUCCCCCUCAAGCUGGCUUGUAGAUGUCUUCCAUAGCUAGCUUGCUGACUAGUAGUUCAAAAUGUCCCUUGUGUAGUCCUUUGGUGAGUAUGUCUGCUAUCUGUUGUGCGGUUGGUACAUAGGGAACACAUAUUACCCCACUUUCAAUUUUCUCCUUGAUGAAAUGCUUAUCAACCUCAAUAUGCUUAGUUCUAUCAUGUAGAACUGGAUUGUGGGCAAUAGAGAUGGCAGCUUUGUUAUCACAGUAAAUCUUUAUGGGAAGAGACACUGGAAUCUUUAAAUCUGAAAAUAGUCUCUUUAUCCAUAUUGCCUCGCAAAUUCCAUGUGCGAGUGACCUGAAUUCUGCCUCAGCACUACUCCGAGCCACAACGCUUUGUUUUUUGCUCCGCCAUGUAACGAGAUUUCCCCCAAUAAAGGUGCAGUAGCCUGAAGUUGAUCGCCUGUCAGUUGAGCUACCAGCCCAAUCUGCAUCUGUAUAGACUUCAAUUUGAAGGUUGUCCCGUUUCCGGAACAUAAGACCCUUUCCAGGGGUUCCCUUUAGAUAUCUUAGUAUCCUAUAGGCUGCAUCAAAGUGUUCCUGUCCUGGUGAGUGCAUGAACUGACUUACCAUGCUUACAGCGAAAGCUAUAUCAGGACGCGUAUGUGACAAGUAGAUCAAUUUCCCUACUAGUCUCUGAAAUUUCUCCCUAUCAAUCACAUCUUCAGCUUUAGCAGGAUUAAGUUUUAAGUUGACUUCAAUGGGAGUCUCAGCAGCCUUACAACCCAGAAAACCUGUCUCUUUGAGAAGAUCAAGAAUGUAUUUUCUUUGGUUUACAAAGAUACCUUCCUUCGAUCUUGCAAAUUCCAUACCAAGGAAGUAUUUUAGCACACCCAAGUCCUUGAUCUCAAAAUCUCGUGCCAUUUUCUCCCUAAGAUCUGCCAACUCUUUAGGAUCAUCACCUGUUAGAAUUAUAUCAUCCACAUAGACAAUUAGUAUUGAUAUCUUACCACUCUCUGAGUGUUUAUAAAACAUUGUAUGAUCAGCUUGGCUUUGAUUGUAGCCAUAACUCUUCACAGCCCUUCCAAAACGUUCAAACCACGCCCUUGGAGAUUGUUUAAGGCCAUAUAGGGAUUUUUUAAGUCUGCAGACUUUGUUUUGACCGAACACCUUCUCAAAUCCUGGUGGUGGACUCAUAAACACUUCCUCUUCUAAAUUCCCGUUCAGAAAGGCAUUUUUGAUAUCUAACUGGUGUAAUGGCCAGUUAUAAUUUGCUGCUAAGGAUAAUAGUACCCGAAUGGAAUUUAUUUUGGCGACAGGGGCAAAGGUUUCUUGGUAAUCAACCCCAUGUGUUUGAGUAAACCCCUUAGCCACGAGUCUGGCUUUAAAUCUCUCUAUACUUCCAUCCGCCUUGCACUUCACUGUAAACACCCAUUUGCACCCAACUGUUUUUUUAUCCAUGGGUAGGUCAACAACUUCCCAUGUCCCACUUUUCCUCAGAGCAUUCAUCUCUUCCAUCACCGCUGAUUUCCAAUCAGAAUCAUUAAGUGCUUCUUGAAUGUUUCUUGGCACAUGCAGGUUAGAGAUUUUAGAUAUAAAGGCAUUGUGUUUUUUCGAGAGUUUACCAUAGGAUAGAUAUUUGGACAUAGGAUGAGAAGUACAAGAGCGUUUUCCUUUUCUGAUUGCUAUUGGAACAUCAUAGUUAUUAGAAUUGUCAUCAAGCAUAGGAUUGACAGUAGGUUCAGAUAUUUCAUCAGGAUUAGGAACAAGAUUAUGUGAGGAAGUUUCUAGAGUACCUGUAUUUCUUUCAGAUUCUUCACUCAGGGUGUCUGGUUGGCCUUGUGCUAAAGGAAUAAUAGGUCUCUUACUCCUUGUAUGGUUCCUCCUUGAAUAAGUAAGAAGCUCUUUGUCUUGUUCCUUGAUAACAGAAGGUAGUAUUUCUGCCCCUGUCACAGUCUCAGCAGUGUUUGGCAAAAUAGUCUUGGUAUCACCAGUUUCAAAAACAACAUUAGGAAUAGCAAUCUUUUCAUUAGAAAACUCAUUUUGAGGUAUAGGUUUAGUAAUGCAAUCUAGGGUUUUAGGCAGGGGAUUGGAAAUAUCAUCCCAAAAAUUUUCUUCUUCUCUUAUUUUCUCCCCCUGAAGAGAAAUUUUUUGAAAAAAAAGGUUGAUUUUCCAGAAAAGUGAUAUCCAUAGAAACAACAGUUUUCCUAGUUUUUGGAUUAAAACACUUAUAUCCUUUCUUAUUUGGUGCAUAACCAAUAAAAAUACAUUUUUCAGCCCUUGGAUCGAGUUUAGACCGGUUUUUAUUAGGUAUAUGAACAUAAGCUGUACAUCCAAAAAUUUUCAGAGGAAGAUUAGAGUGAAUUCGUGAUUCUGGAAAAUAUUUUUUAAAACAGUCAAGUGGUGUAAUGUAGUUUAGAACACGGGUGGGCAUCCUGUUAAUUAGAUAGGAUGCAGUUAAAACUGCUUCGCCCCAAAGAUAUUGAGGAACAUUCAUAGAAAACAUAAUAGCACGAGAAACUUCAAGUAAAUGUUUAUUUUUACGCUCAGCAAUACCAUUUUGCUGAGGUGUAUCAACACAAGUAGUUUGAUGGUGAAUACCUUUUUCUGCAAAAAAAGUUCUAAGAUUUUGCUUAAAAUAUUCAGUUCCAUUAUCGGUAUGAAUAAUUCCAAUUUUAGUUUGAAAGUGGUUUUCAAUCAUCAAGUAAAAUAUUUCAAAUAAGUUCUGAACCUCAGAUUUUUCCUUCAUUAAAUAAACCCAGCAUAGGCGAGUAUGAUCAUCAAUAAAAGUCACAAACCAUUUUUUCCCUGAAGAAGUAUUAAUUUUUGAAGGACCCCAAAUAUCACUAUGGAUUAAAUAAAAAGGCUUUGAGGCUUGAUAAGGCCUUGAAGGAUAGAUAGUUCUAUGACUUUUUGAUAAAAUGCAGUUUUCACAAUGGAAUUCAGAACAAUUCAAACCUUUAAAUAAAUUAGGAAAUAAUUUUUUAAGAUAAGGAAAACUAGGAUGCCCUAGCCUAUAGUGCCAAAGCAUAAUUUGAUCCUUAACUUGAGUAGAACUAAUACUACUAAAGCCUUGAGCUUCUUUAUUCUUAGAUUCUUCAUCUUCAAAAUAGUAGAGACCAUCUAUCAAUUUAGCACUGCCAAUCAUCUUCCCCGAGUUCUGUUCCUGAAAGACACAGUGGUAUUUGGAAAAAAUAAUACGACAGUUAGAGUCUCUAGAUAAUUUACUAACUGAUAGCAGAUUACAGGUAAGUUUAGGAACAUGGAGAACAUUUUUAAGAGAGAUGGUUUUAGAUAGAUUUAUCAAACCGUUGCCAGCUAUAGGGGAAUAUGAACCAUCUGCUAUACGAACUUUUUUAUGACCAGAACAAGGGGUGUAUGUAUGAAAUAAAUGAGAAAAACUUGUCAUGUGAUCAGAGGCUCCUGAAUCUAUAAUCCAAGGAGUAUGAGAAAUAGGUAAAUGACAAGAGAGAGCAUUUAAUUUACUACCUGCUUGAGCAAUGGUAGCAUUAGGUGUACUUAAUGAUCCUGAGUUAGAUUUCAGCAGCUUCAGAAGGUGAUCCAUCUGCUCUUUGUUAAAGGGCACAGACUCGGCCUCAUGUGCAGCAGGAGUACGAGUGAAUCUGCCUUCAUGAGAACCCUUCCAAUUUGCUGGUUUUCCGUGGAUCUUCCAGCAAGUCUCUCGUGUAUGCCGUGGCUUAUUGCAGUGAUCACACCAAACGCGAGACUUUUCAUCAGGUUUCUUUGUAGCAGUUCGGCCAGCAUUAAUACUAGCAGCAAGGGCUGAGUUUUCAAUAGUGUUAACGAGAUUCCUUUUUCCAAGCAUAACAAGACGCCGACUCUCCUCACGGCGUACCUCAGAAAACACUUCUCCAAUAGAGGGAAGCGGCUGCCUCCCAAUAAUCCUGCCUCUAACUUGGCGGAUUUCUCCGAGUUUCAGAGUUAACUCAUAUACUUGAGAUUGAUUUCCCAAGUCAGAAUACAUUUGGUUAAUGUUGUCCCAAAGCUCCUUGGCCGUGUGAUAACACAUAUAGUUGGAGCUUAUGUCCUCCUCCAUAGAGUUCACCAACCAAGUCAUUACCAUCGAGUUCUCAGCAUCCCAUGUUGGAUAGGUUGCAUCGUCAGCCGCAGGCUCCUUUGUUUCUCCAGUCAAAUACCCGAUCUUGCCUCGACCACGGAUAUACAUGCGCACAGAUUGAGACCAACGCAGGAAAUUUUCUCUAUUCAGUUUAAUGGUAGUGAUCUGAAUGGAGUGAGAUUCCGUGGUUGAAGCCUGGGUUUUAGGCUGCGCAGCAGUAGGUGUUGGCAGGCUUGUAGAAGCAUUCUGGGUAUGUUGAAGGGUGUUUGUAGACUCAGAAACAACGUCGGACAUGAUGAAGAGGUAGGACUGAUUUUAGGGUAGAAAAGAAAGUAGGAGAACGGCUAGGUUUUCUGCAGGUAAGAGAAAGGACAGAAGAGCAAUAGGGUUUCCAGGAAUUAAAGGAAUUCCUGCUCUGAUACCAUAUUGGUGAAUAACUUGUAUUUCUAUAUUUCUGAUCAGAAUACAAUAGUACAAAUAUAUAGCUUUACAAUGAACUAAUUUAGGAAACUAUCCUAGCUAAUUGAGGAAAGUAUCCUAGCUAAUUGACAACUAUACACGCAGCUAUUCUAGGAAACUAGAUCAAUUCUAAUAACUCUAUUUUUGGUACAAUUUCCUCUGGUUUGAAUUAAUAUCUUGCAACAGUUUAACAAAGCAAAAAUGUGUUAAUGGCUUGAUGAUUUAUGGUUAGAAGGACUCUAGAAGACCUCAAUCAUUUCUGACAGUUGAUUUUGGGUUGUGGACUGUAAGUGGUUCAAGGGAGAUUGACCACAGAUAACGGCGUUAUUUGGAAAAGACGAGAUAUUGGAAUCGAAGCAAAUAUGAAAAAUAGUUAUUUUGAACUUGACCAUAUUUUCAACAAAGCAAAAAUGUGUUAAUGGUUUGAUGAUUUAUAGUUCGAAGGACGCUAGAAGACCUCAAUCAUUUCUGACAGUUGAUUUUGGGUUGAGAUCUCCUUCACAUCACCACCUGCAGAUAAACUAAGAUCUAGGUUAUGAACUAGACAGGCAUUGAACGAGUCAAGUUAUAACAGUAGCAUAAUAAAAAGAACAGCAAAGCAACAUUAAAAAAAUGAAAAGAAGAUUAAAAAAAAAAAAAGAAUGGUGAGCAACAGUUCAUUUAAAACAAUCAACAACUGUAUCUAGCAAGCAAGGGAUAUUCAUAACAAAAGACAUGCAUUUUAAGGGAACCUUUGGUACAAGAGGUGUGUUCCUGUCUUUUUGAAUUUCAGCAACAACCCCCUUGAUGUCCAUUCCUGCAUUUUCCAUUAAUGGUUACCUUCAAAACCUGCCGUAGCUCUGAAUAGCAGAUAGCCCAAAAAAAUGUAUAUGUAUGCAUGCGGACCAAUUCACAUGCAUUUGUAGAAUAGCAUCAAGCUAAAUGAAGCUUAGAAAAGUCCUUUAAUAGAAAAUGAUUAAAUAAAUGACUGAAAGAAGCUGUCUAAAAGGAAACUUAUUUUCGUUAAUUACCAGCACAUAAGGCACGGGGCGCACUCCCCUCAAUGAGCACACACUUUACCCUUGGAUCUGAUUCCCAUUUGUCAAGAAAACUUUUGUAUUUUAUGUCCAUAUCUGCAUCACCGAAAGCCUACAGGUUAAAGUAAACAACUAGAGAAAAGCACCAAAGAAUACAAGCUAAUAGUAAAUAAUUAAACAAAAAAGAGUUACAAAUUAAUAGCAGUUCUGGCUAAUAAACAAUAACUGCCUUUAAUAAAUUAGCAUACAGUCUGAAAUAUUUUUGAAAUCCAAAAGAUCUUCUUCUCCUUCUCGCAAGAAGCUUUAAUUUUCUACAGAAGAUUUUGCGUAAAUAUCAUAAAGUUGUUCAAAACCUCACAUCAAAAAUUGGUCUUGUCCAAGGUCCAACCCAGAUAAUAAAAAAAGUUAGGAAAUUCAACCAAAACUCUUCAACUGAAAAUUACUAGCCCUACUAAAAAGUAACAAAAACACUGUCAGUCUUAUCAUUCUUCUAAUGAUCUACAUUAUUCGCACUUUUCAUUUUAGAACAGAAUGACCAGUAUUACCCAAGGUGCGCACCUGGGGGGGGGGGGGGGGGGGAGAGGAUCUCACCUCAGUUAACACGUGCAUUUGAAUAAAUCACGGGUUGAAAAAACGAAUCAUAUUUCAUUUUUGGAAACACAUCAUUCUUUUCACCCAGUAAAUAAGAACCAGCACCGGUCAACAUAGUAGAGAAGCAACAGAGAGUUAAAAAUGAAAAUUAAAAAAAAAAAAGAAUAUCACCACAGUUAACACAUGCAUUGGAAUAAACCAUUGGUUGAAAAAAUGAAUCAUACUUUCAUUUUCGGAAACACAUCAUUGAUUUCACUCAAUAAAUAAGAACUAGCACCAGUCCACAUAGUAGACUUAAAACUUUUUUCCUGUGGCACUUUAAAGAAUCUCUUCAUUCUUGAAAUUAUUCAUUUAUUUUACCCAGUAAAUAUAUUAUCAAGUAACAAAUACAUAUAGUAUAUCACACAAUUUUUCACUAGUCACAUUUGUAUCCAAGUUUAAAUUCUGGUGUUAAAAAACUAGAAUUUUGCCACAUGGAAAAAUCUCUCUUAUUUUCUGUUCAACAAUUUUCAGCGCGUACCUUAAUUAUGUACUAAUGGAAAUUAUUAAUUUAGCCUAUUAUUCUAAGUCGGACCUAAAAAUGUUAUCUUAUAGAGCAUUAAUUUAUAUAGGUUAUAUUGUACGGAUAAAUAAAUAAUACUCUAAUUUCAAAAAAAAUUAAAAGCUUAAGUUACUACAUAGUAUUGAUCGCCCUUAACAUACUAAGAAAAUAAGCAAUUACAAUUAAUUACAGUAUUGAUGAUUGAUUACACGAGGCAUCGCAAAUUAACGCACGCCAUUUUACGAAUCAAAAAAAAAAAAAAAGCGACAAAGUAGAAAUGACCACUGAGCAAAUCUUAUAAAAGGAAAAAAAGAUUGACCUAGAUUCAUGGCGUUGAGAGCUUUGGGACGAUCGAGAGUGAUGACAGCGACGCCGUUUGGAUGAACAUUUCCUUUGACGAACUCUUCGGCUCCGGCUGCAGCCAUGGACGCAAACGUUCUGGAAUUACCAGAGGUUUGUGGAUUGCAGAGAGAUAAUCUGAUGAAACGACAAGUUGAUUGGUGUCGUUGAGAGCGAGUGAUUGUCGUUUGGUUAAAGAGUAGAGUUGAUGAUUUGGUAAAGAUUUGGGAGACUGAGAGUGAGAGUGAUAAGCUUCGCAUGUUAAAUUUUGUGAAACUGUUACUCCCUGAGUAAAUGAUAGUUUUGGUUGCCGUUGACUGUUGAUUGCCCGUCAGAUUCUUUUUCCUGUUAAAAUUCGUAUAAAAUCCUUAUUUAUUUGAGGGUGAGGCGUUAUUUAAAUUCAUUAUAAUAUUUAUUAAAUUUUAUUCCUCAAUAAAUUGAUCUACAAAAUUUUAAGAUUUAUCUUUCACUGAAUAAAACAUCUCUAUGCUAAAUAUAAAAUAUUCCUUUUAUAUAUGCUUGAAAAGUGAAAAUCUAUUGUUCACGCUUGUUUUUCACUAAUUUAAAAAUUAAAUAAAUGGGACAAUAUAAAGAAUAAAAUACAUAGAAUUUAUAUGAUCUAGAGCUUGCCUUAUAUACACCGGAUUUAAAAAAACAACCUUCACUAUUUAAUAAUAAUUACAAUAUAAUUUUUUUUUAGCUAUUUGCCUCUAAAUUUUUGCUUGCCCAUUAUGCAUUAAGGACUUUCUAUUUACAAUACAAUUUUUCAAUAUUUUAAAUCGUUGAUAUUUCUUAUUGUAAUAUGCUUCCACUAAUUAAUUAGAGUUUAAUUCAGAGUCUAUAUUUAUUUCAUUCUCAAAGUUAGUCUCUACAGCUUCUAGUUUUUUUUUUUUUGGUUCACCGUCACUUUAUCUUGUACGCUCAUACUCUAUUUUUAUUAAUUAUUUUAACUUUUUAUGCUCCAUAUUCCAUGGCCAUCAAUUGGUAAAACAAUUGAAAUCAUUGGAAUCAUGAGGCCAGGAAGGUUUCUUUGUUUCCAAAGAAUAUACAUGCCUAUCAUGGCACGAUCAGGCUCAAUAGAAAAGGAAUACACUUAAAAUUACUAAGUAUAUACCUAAGAAAAUGGUGGAAAGAAAAGUCUGACACCAUGUGUAAAAAAAUUAUGAUGCAUGGUGAUAACUUCUAGAGGAGGAUGACUAGGUUUGUCGUUUUCUCUAGCCCUUUCCAGAGAAAUUGAACGAGGUAUAACAUAAGAGAUCCGAAGAGAUUAGAGUGACAUUUCACCCAUACAAUUAACCUCUUCAUCUAUGCUCCACCCAAUAGAAAUGGGAGGAAGAAAAUAAAAAGAAGUGGGGGCAAAAUUUACAACGAGUGGUUGAGUAGCUACAUGCCGAUUAUCAUCUCUUUUGUAGGAUAUUCACAAAGUUCAGAGUCAGAGAAAUCCUAAGAAUAUGAAGACAUUAUUGAUAUAGUGACUAAGGAUUAAAAAAAACAACAACAAAUACUCACCAAAGAUUUUAGUAACCUGACUUUAAGAAGAGAUGGAAAGAAAGUUGGUUGUUGAAUAUGAGAAAAAAUGAUCAGUUUAUAUAAGUGAGAAUUAGCUUGAUUGGUGGGUAUAAGAGGCAGCAACCAAUAUAUAUAAUUGAAGAGAUAGCUCUUUUAAGCUUUGAAAAUCAAGCUCCAAGAGAGUUAAGGAGCAACUCUUAUCGAGAAAAGUGAAAUAUGCAAAGUCAUGUACAAAAGUGAAGCAUACAGAGCCAUGCACAAGAGUGAAGCAUGCAAAGUCAUGCAUAAAAGUGGAGUAUGGAGCAUGCAGCAUGAAGCAUGAAAAAUUAAAUAAUUAAUUAAAAUGGAGUUUGCGCCUACAAGAUAAAGUGACGAUGAACAAAAAAAGAAAAGGAAAAAAUCUAGAAGCUUCAAAGACCAAUUUUGAGAAGAAGAUAAAUAUAGACUCCGAAUCAAACUGUAAUUAAAUGGUGGAAACAUAUCAUAAUAAAGAGAUGUCAACGACUUAAAAUAUUGAAAAUUUGCAUUAUAAAUAAAAAGUCUUUAAUGCAUAAUGGGCAAGCAAAAAUCAAGAGGCAAAUUGCUAAAAAAAAAAUUUACUGUAAUUACUAUUGAAUAAUGAAGAUUGCUCUUUUAACUCUCGUGCCUGUAGGUUAAGUGUUGAAUCUCGUAAAUUCUCUGUGUUUUUUUUUUCUUUAUAUCGUUCUGUUUAUUUAAUUUUCUAGUUGACCAAAAGCAAGCAUUAACAUUAAUCAUUAGAAUAUUCUUAAAAAAGUAAAAACCUAUCAUUAGUUGAGUGAUGGUAGAAUUUUCAAUAGUUCAUAAAAAAUUGAAAUACAAAAAUUUCUUUUACUACAAAUUUAUUGUAUGAAAUGAAUUUUUUCUGACAAUUUCCACACUGUACUAACAAGCGACAAAAGCAAUUUGAAAUAAUUUGCGAUUUGGGUCACUAUUUUUCAAUAGCAAAGCACGAUUAGUGUAUGCAACAAAUGAUUGUUCAUGAUAAUUUUUAGGUAGAAGAUAGUUUUGUGGGUUUGUAAAAAAUUAAAAGGUGGGCGUUGAGAUAAUUUUUAUUUUAUUUUUUAAGUUGUCUUAUUUUAAGUAAUUUUACCUUACGAUAUUUAAGUAAUAAAAUUUUUACUUAAAUUAUGGGUUUAUAAAUAAUUUUGUAGUUUUAAAUAACUUCACUUUCAUUUUGAUUAUAAACAUUUUAAUAUCAUAAAUACCCUUAUUUGUUCAAGCCCAUUUAUUUUUUUUUCCAAUUUUCUCACUCGUAAAACAAAAAAGAAGUAUCCUAAGACAAUCUAAAGUCUAACACUUUGAUUAGCAAUGAUAGAAGAUUUGUGCUAAAUUUAAAAAAAUAUAUAUAUAAAUUAACUGAACUUCUAUUCAUCAGCUUACUCGGCCAUACAUCCUUUGUAACCAGCGCGUUAAGAGGAAAUAGGAGAAAGCAGGCCGCCUUUUUCAGUGGGGCUAUUUGAACACACCAAGCUACUCACUGAACCCACUUUUGAAAAUAAUUUUUUAUAAUUAAAAUACCCCUCAAUUAAAUUAAAAUUAUGGACAUUAAAAUAUAGUAAAAAAAAUUUUUUUUUUACUCUUUUAAACCCAUCUUUACAUUCAACAUAAUUUUGUUAACCAGCUCUCGUGAUGGUCUUGAUGGCAUGGUGCUUGCUUGUUCUCCAUGUCGUCAAGGCCUGUGUUCGAGAAGCGUCGGUACCAGAAGCUACAAUAGCAAUCGAAACAAAAAAAAAACAUAAUUUUGUUAAACCUUAAUCAUAUUUUUAUUAGAUCCUAAUCGACUAGAGGUGUGAUUCUUCUUUCAAGCCACAUAUUUUUGUUAACUAGGCACGUGUGAUUAGAUUUAAGGUAACAAAUUUGGUGGUUAUAUCUUUAUUUGUAUUUGAAGGAAAGUUAAAAUGAACAUGGAAUCCAAUUGUAAAUCAUUUCUAGAAACUUUGGAAAUAUUUUUAUAUUUAAUGAUUGAAAGAUGAAAUUUAUUUUGAUUAUUGGAAAUCGAUUAUUUCAUCGAUGAUAGAAUCUCCCAUCUCUCUGCAUAUUUGCCCUUUUGUUUGUUGGAAGUAAUUCCAUUCUUCUGUUGUGCUGGAGAAAUCCAAGUUGAUCAUGUAGGCAGCAUUUGUAGCAUCUUCCUAUUGCUUCCCCAGCGAACAUAGUUGCCUGCUAAUGAUGUUUGCAAGCUCUUCCAAACUCAAAAAUUUGUGCAGAUGCUUCUAUCUUUUGUAGUUUCUAACAUUUAUGAUAAUGGUUUUCUUCAUGCAAUCGAACAACAGCCUCUUGCUCGGCAGCAAGACUUUGAUUUUAUUAUUAUUAUAAAAAAUUAAUGGGUUUAGUAAGUAAAAAUAUUAUUAUUAGGUAUUUAAGUGAGUUUAUCGAGUAAAAUUUAAAAUUUCAAAAUUUGAUGGUGGGUUUACGUAGUAAAUAGGUUUAGCGAGUUCAAAUAACCCCACCCUAGUUAUGAUGAUGAAUUCAACAGAGCCAGCUAACUUAUUGUUAAGAUAUUGGAUAGUUGAGUUUUGGUCACAAGCUCUUCAAAUUUUAACUUUUUUCAACACAAUAAUAGUAUUUGAGAUUAGAUGGUUGUAUUAUCUAUAAUGUAUUUUAGAAUUUUUCCAACUAAAGAUUGCUUCUUGAAUCACGCCCUUCUCUUAUGCAGGUGAGAGAAAUAUUUAAUUGAGUUUAAAUGGAAUUAUAUGUUUGUCCUUAAAAUGUAAUUAUAUGAGGAAAGGGCCUUAUGAAGAUAAUGGAGGGUUGUUUGGCAAGAGAAAUAAAACAUAAAAUAAACCCUCACCAUUGAUUUUUUUUUUUUUUUUUGUGAAAUGGACCAUUGCUUAAUUAUUUAACAAAAACUAAAUUCAGCACUAAAUCGUAAUCUUUUUUAAAUUCACUACUGACCUAAUUUCGGAGUGAAUCUAUUGACAUCCCUUCAUUAUCCUUUUAAAACCCCCUUAAAUAAAAUAUUCUAGGAUAAAAAGAAUUAAAACGCACUUAGAUUUUUUUCCAACAAAUUACUUGCAUUCAUAAGCAAUCUUUUUUUUUUCACCUACCACUUCCUAAUUCCUUGAAAUAGUAUAUACUUUUUUCUAUUUGUUAUUGAUUAAAUAUUUUUGUAUUUAAGAGUGCUUUCAAAUUAUAAUUUAAAAUAUUUAUAAUUUAAGUUAAUGAUUGACAAACAAAAAUUCAUCCUCCAAACAAUCUUCUAAUUUGUGUUUAGGAUGACAACAAGAUUGCAAAAGGAAAAAAAAAAAGUAUAAUACUUUUUGAGUUUUUAACAAUAAAAGAUUAUAUUAAAAACUAGAAGAAUGUAUUAAAAAAAAAAGAUAUUUUUGAGAUAAACUAAAAAUAACUGGGAAAAAAGGGUUUUAUGAGAUGAUUAGAGGGUGUCAAUAGUCCAACUCUUAAUUUUAAAGCACAAUUUGUUUAAACUGAAGCCCACGGGCUUCUGAUUGAUCUCCUCAUCAAGAUGGCAAAGAUACAUGUAUUUACCAAUACUUCAGAAAAUGAGAGAUUUUCUAUGGAGCAGAUAGCACAACCAUUUCAUAUAUGGGUUUUUUUUUUUUUUUUUUUUUUUUAAAAAAAAUCUUUUCUUAUAAUUACCUUGAAGGAUUCCCUCCCCCCCCCCUCUCUUUUCAGUAGCACAACAAUAGAAAGGAUGGGAUGAAUAAUAAUUUUAUCAAAUUCGAUUCAUGUAUUCUCAUGCGACUGGAAAAAAUUUCCUUUGGCUUAGAGUUUUCAACAAACUCGUUUAUGACGUUAGAUUUAUGACAUAUUUUUCAUAUGAAACUAUAUACGAAGAGUUUUGCUAAAUUUGGCCGAAAUUUAUAGGAGCCUCAGUAGGUCACUACAAUUUUUUUUUUGUUUUGUUUUAAAUUAGUAAACAAUGAUUAUGGCAUGUUAAAUAAUCAUGUUGGUUACACGAGGUCUAUUUACAUUAAAAAAAGAAAGUAUGUAUGAAAAUUGACAAAUAAACGAGUCACAUUUGUGUUGACUCAAAUUUAACAUUACAUGAUACAAUAUUUCUUACUAAAUUAUCACUUCUAAUAAGGGGCAAAUCUACUCUUGGCUUAGUGCAAGUGUGCAGGCAAUCAACCCACUAAAAUGUAAUUUUUCCUUAGAUUUUAUUGAAUUAAGUAUUAAAAUUGUAUUAAUUUAAGGGAAAAUAUGUUUCAGGGCAGCAAUUUUAUGAACAACUAUUUUUACUGGAGAGUCAAUUAUUUUGUUUAUCACACGUGUGACAGAAUCGAAAAUAAUUACAGAUUUUUUUAUUUUUUAUUUUAAAUCUUCUCACCCGUAGUUUAUCUUCCCUGUCUGCCAACUAUCGAAUCCUCUUUUUCACGUCCCUGAUAAAAUAUCCAUUUUAAAAUGCUUCCCAUUACUGUGUCUAAUCAACUACAAGUCCUACAAGUAAGUUUAAAGCUUUGAGGACAAAAUUCUUUUUCGUUCAUUUACAAGUUUAUCCAUUUGGAUAUUUUAUUUGAAAUGAUUUUUGUUUAUAUGUGGCCUCUUUUGAGACAAUUUCCUGAAUCGGCUGCUGCCUCUACUACCAUAGGGAAUCCUUAUAUGGCCAAGCAUAACACAACGCUCAUUCUUUUGCAUAAAGUCAAUACAUUUGAGACUCUUCUAUGUUUUGACUUUUUUUUUUUUUUAAUUCUUUGUGAAAAAAAUUUAGUAUCCGUAUUUUGCUAUGUAACCAAAUAUAUAUACAUAUAAUUAUGUAAAAUCAUUUCGUAAAAUACAGAUGCCUGAAGAAAAACUUUAUAUCCUUCUUAUUUCCUAAAGUGGUUUAGCCAGAUGUUGCAGUGUAGAUUCUUCAUUAUUGAUUCCAAAUGUUUGUAAAAAAUUUAUCACCAAAAAAUCAAAGAAUGUUGACCUUAUGGAGAGCAGCGUCCAUCUUUAAGAGUAUAAUGGGAUGAAGUUAAAUAAUUUGAUGUACAUUCUCCAAGUACUAAUUAAUCUUCAGAAAAAUAUGGCAAUCUUUACUCAACUAGUGGAAUAAGCUAGCACUCAAUCACCUAGCACCGUGUAGCAGGUACUGUAUCAACAAUCUCCCCCUCAAAGAUCCACAUGCAACUCAUUCCACUAGUUGACUUCUACACAUUGGCAGAAAGGCAUGCACAAUAGUGAAGCUUGCAAAGUCAUGCACAAAAGUGGAGCAUGGAGCAUGGAGCAUGAAAGAAAAAGUGAAGCAUGCAAAGUCAUGCAUAAAAGUGGAGUAUGGAGCAUGAAGUAUGAAAAAUCAAUUAAUUAAUUAAAAUGGAGUUUGCGUCUACAAGAUAAAGUGACGGUGAACAAAAAAAAAAAAAAAAAAAAAAAUCUAGAAGCUUCAAAGACCAAUUUUGAGAAGAAGAUAAAUAUAGGCUCCGAAUCAAACUAUAAUUAAGUGAUGGAAACAUAUCAGAAUAAAGAGAUGUCAACAACUUAAAAUAUUGAAAAAUUGCAUUAUAAAUAAAAAGUCCUUAAUGCAUAAUGGACAAGCAAAAAUCAAGAGGCAAAUAGCUAAAAAAAAAAAAAAAAUUAUUGUAAUUACUAUUGAAUAAUGAAGGUUGCUCUUUUAACUCUCGUGGCUAUAGGCUAUAGUUCAUUCCUCAACUAAAGUUUUUCUUAGAUGUUAGAAUAAUCGAAGGUAGCAAAAUUAUUUUAAUUAGUAGCACUAAUCCGGUAAUAAUGAUUAGCUUCAACUUUGGAAUGUGAAGCUCCCUCAUUAAUGACAUGCGACUGAGUUACAUUACCUCAUGGGGCCCUGGUUUUUAUCUUCUUAAGCCGGCCGAAUAUAUGUAUAAGAUUUUGACUAUAUGGACGAUGACUGAGAGUUUUAUCACUUGUGUGAGCUGUGAUCAGCUCACACACACACACACACACACACACACACACACACACAGAAUGAAUCAUAUCAGUUUAUAAUUCUAGAAUCAACUCAAAAAAGGAUUGCAAAUCACGACUACUUAAUUUAAUCACAACAAAAUAAUUACAAACAACAAACAAACAAACACUCGAAAGGCCAUCCAAACAAGCACGAUUGGCGGCCUUGCAAUUAUUGAUUAAUCCUAUAUAUUAUAUAUGUAUAUCUUAGUUAUUAAUAAUUCAUUAAACAUCAAAAGCCUAACACUUUAUUCAACACAUCAAUAAGCUGGAGAUGAGCAGUAAGCUGUGGGAAAUGUCCAUCGGCCUCUAUAAUCUCCACCGUUGAUUUUCCCUUCAUCUUCUCCUGCAUGUAGUAAGUCACUGAGUUCGGCACAACAGCGUCGUUACUGGGCUGGACAAUAGUGCAUGGUGUCUCGACCUUGUCGAGAAUCUCUCUUUCGUCGCUAUAAAACACAGUUUUGGCCAAAGGAAGAGCAAAUUCAUGUCUCAUUCUUUUCAAGCAGUUUUCAAAUUUCUCGACCGAGGGAGCAUCUUUAGUAUCCACAACAAGACGUGGGAAGCUUGAAGCCCAGCUAGCAUAAUUGGUUUCUACAUUUGAGAUGAGAUUUUCAAUAUCCGAAGGUUUGAACCCACCUUCAUAAUCAUCUGUGUUGAUGUACCUAUACAUAAAUUUGCAAGAUAAAUUUAUAAGAUCUCGUUUGCAGCAAAUAAACAUGAAAAAAAAAUGGACCAAAUAGUUAUAUAAUAAUUAAGAGAUAGAUUAUUAUUUUUCACAAUCACAAACAAGCUUAAGCUAAGAAGCAAAAGAACCAGUCCAAAAAUUAAGGAACUUGUUUGCUAAUAUUAAGCUUGCUAAUGAUUGAGGACACUAAUACUUGAACCAUGCGUUUAGAACUUCCAUUGUCCACACAAUUGAAGCAGAAGAUAGAGAAGCCGGCAAUAUCUUUAACUAGAUCUCUUGCGACCACAUGUUUGUCUCGAGAUCGAAGGCAAAUGGAUAACACCAAACGACAACUUUCCGUAGUCAAAGCAGUUAUGUUAGGUAAAAUAUCAAAAACAUGGGGGAAAAAUAAACUAAAAUGAAAAACAAUCUGAAAAUAUUCUUCUUCUUUCGAUUAAAGCCGCAGCAAAGUUACCACAGAAUUUACAAAACAUGUUUGUUUUAAUUUUAUUUAGCCAUGAGUCAAUAGUUCACAAAAGAAGCUUUGUGCAUCCAGUCACCUGAAUUCGGAUUCAAAUGUUAACAAAAAGUUAUAAAGAUUACUAUUUAGUGGAUGAAGUUUCUUAUUUUCAUCCAAAUUUAAAAAAUAUAUAUCUAAAAAAAGAAAAGUAAAAGAAUCGCCCUGAAAAUAGAAGCCUUAGCAUAUGCGCAAGUAUAGGGAAAAAAAUAAAUUUUCUUUUUUUUGGUUUUAUUUAUUUAUUUUUUGAUGGUUCUCUAGAGAGAAAGGCAUGAGUAUGUACCUAGGAGAAGUUCCAAUGAGUAUGAGCCUUUUAAAGAGUUCAGGUUUCUUAACAGAAGCAAUGCAACCAAUCAUACCAGACAUGGAGUGGCCAAUGAACAGGGUUGAUUUCAAGUCAUUUUCUUCUAAAAGAGUUAUCAAAUCAUCGGCAAAAGCUUCGUAUGAAGAAUACUUGACAGGAUUAUAAAGGCUUUGAUAAUCUUUACUUAGUAUCGCUCCAGAGAAAAGCCAGUCAAAAGCUAAAACCCUGUAAUGCUGAGACAAAACGGGUGUGAUUUUGUCCCAAAUAGACUGGUCUCCUCCAAACCCGUGUGCAAGAACCAGAGUUUCCUUGCCUGAGCCUAUGAUUUUUGCGUUCAUGGCAGCCGAGAGACCUUGUUCUCGUAUCACCAUCUUUACUGCCGGGAAAACCAAAAGCUAGAAGCAAGAAAAGAAAUAAUAUAAGCACUGCUAAGCGUUGAAGGAGAGAGCUAAAGAUAUAGAGCAGUAUUUGGUACCUUUUUCUGCUGUGGUUUGGCCUCUAUUAUAUAGAGAGAAAGAGAGGGAGAGGGAGAGAGAGAGAUGGGGGCUUAGGCUUAUUAGUAAAUACUAAUUAAUUAAAAACAAAAAUGAUAUUCAUUUAUUUGAUUUCUGUUGUAAUAAUAAACCCAAAUAGGUAAUAACCAGAAACCCUUUGAUAGAAUGGUUUUCACAUAUUUUCUGCCCUUUCUUUUGUCUCUUUCGUUUUCGCUACAAUUAUAUCUCUUUUAUUUCAGGAAAUCAAUCCUACCCUAUUCAUAAAUUAAUUAAUUAACCCUAAAGUUUGUGGGUGCUAGUUAUUCUAGUUUAAUUGGUGGAAUCUCUUAAAAUUAUAAGAUAAGUAGGAAUUCGAACCCUGGUCAUGUGAGUAAAAAGAAUAUUAAAUUGGUAUUUGGUUUGCUAUGAUUAAAUGAAACAAAAAAAAAGAACUUAAUGCUUACACUUUCUUAAAUUAUUUAUUACGAAAGUAUAGGAUAAUCGAUAAAUAAAGCAAUUAAAAAUUUCACUAAAAAAAUAAAAAUAUUAGACUUGACCAUCCAGUAUUCUAUUAAAUGUUAUUUGGAAAUUCAACUUAGACAUAUUAACAUCAUAGAUAAAAAUAUGAACUCUCAUGAUUUGAUCAUAUUUGAAUUGUUAAAAUUUUUUUGACACAUACACAUAUAUAAUAUGUGUGUAUAUAUUCGAAUUAGGAGAGAAUCUAGAUCCCAUCAUUAUAUAUAUAAUAAGUAAGUUUGGUCUAAGUGAUAAAAAAUACUUUUGAAUGUGAUAAGUUUCAGCUUUUUUUUUUUUCCUUCUUAAUGACGAUUUAUUAUUAUAUUAUAGCCAAAAGAAGUAAAAUCAAACCAAUGACAUGACAAACAGAUGAAAAAGGAGGAGUUAAAAGAUUUACUAAAAUUGCAAUGAAUUACACAUGGCAAUAAUUAAAAGAGACAAUCUCGGCACUAUACAAGCAAAUGAUGAUCAACAAGUCAAUUGGAAUCAGAAUUAAUACUGUAGCCAGGGACCGAGCAGAUCAAAUUAAUUGUGGGCAGUUGGGAUCAUUUAGUGACUUUGCCAUUUGAGUCUUGAGAUAUGGCAAUAAGGAGCCCCACACGUUACCAUACUCUUAGCUACUGGCCUAGCAGCUACGCUAGCUCCGUCCAGAAAGAUCGUCAAUCAUUUUUAUUUUUUUUUACACAAAUAAGAAUGCGCAGCAACGGAAAAGUGUAGUUGUUCAUGUUGAAGUUAAUGUUAAUUGCUCAAUUAAAGCGACUUUGAAUCUCGUCCUUUCUAUUUACGUUUGUGAUUUGUAAAGAAUACGGGUUAGUAAAAAUCUUAUUGAUUAUUUAAACAAGUCCCCAAAAUCUCAAAUAUAAAACACUUAUUACGAGUUAAAACAUUUUAUAUAUGAGUAUGGUAAACAAGCAAUACAAACUCAUAAUUCCGUUAGUUAUUUUUAUUCAAGUUUGAGUUAUUUUCAGCUUAAAAAAUUAAAUUUUAGUCUAUACAAAGAUUUAGAACCGCUUUCAGUGUUAAAUUUAAGGGUAAAAAUAUUUUUCCUCUACCUGUUUUGUGUUUCCUUCUAACCAAUACAGUUUUUACAAUAAUUCCUUAUCUCUUUAAAAAAAAAAAAAAAGUGUGGGAAAUGGUUGUUAAGAAUUUUUCUUUAAUAAUUUUGACAGCAAAAAUUAAAGUAACAGAGUAUUAUGAAGACAGUAGAAGUAAGAUGAAAAUGCUAAAACCUAAAAGAAGAAAAGUGUCAUGCAUCUCCUUCUACAUCUGAAAAUUUGAGUAAUUAAAUAUUUUUAAUCUAAAUUUAUUUUAAAUAAAGUGUCAUUUAUUGAAUAAUAGGUAAUUUUAUACAAAAUUUAGGUGAAUUAAUUAUAUUAUUUUAUUAAUUAAUUGAUGAAUGUUAAAUUAUUUAAAAUAUUUUUUAUGAUAAAAAAUUUAAGAUAUCUAGUACUAUAUUUUAAAUUUUACAAUAUACCAAAGUUUACAGUUUAUCGUAUUUAAAUGUGUGUUAGAUUCGGAGGAAAAAAAAAAAGAAGAAGAAAGAAAUGUGUUUUAACAUAGUAAAGAGGAGCAAAUUAUUGAAAAUAAUAUAGGGUUGGAAGGAAUGCCAAUGAAGGACGAGAGAGUGGAGGAGGGCGUGCCGCCUAGUGGGGGCCGAUGAGAAGACAGCACAACGAUGGGAAAAGGACUUGAAUGGCCGGAUGUGUUCAGACGCAAAAGGUUCAUUUUGUCUUGUUGUGCCUAUUUGUUUUGGUUUCUUCUUUUUUUUUUAUUACUCGUUGAGAUAAGUCCAAGCCCGACCUUUUCCGCUCAUCAAUGUUUCUCUUGCCCCCACCAUGUUCUGCCCCUAUCACAAAAAUAUUUUAUUUCUACUUUAUUUAUUAUUUGUUAUUUCACAGGUUCCUACGCAUCCACUUUUUUUUUUUUUUUAAUUUUUAAUUUAAUGAUAUAUGAUUGCCGCAUGGCUUGUAUAGCACAAUGCUACUGCUAUAGCCUCAACAUUAUUGAGGCACUGAUUCAAGCUUUGAUGAGGCUCCUUUAUUUUUUUAUUUUUUAAAAAAGAAAUUAUGGAAUAAAAGUUGAUUUCUCACGGGAAGUAAAUUUAGGUAAAAAAUUUUAUUAUGAUGUAAAUAUAUAUUUUUAUUUAUAGUCCCAUCAAGUCUCAAAUUCUAAUAUAUUUAUAAAUUAUAGUCAUUAAAAAAAAUUAUAUUUCUUUUUUUUUCAUUAUUACAUUAUAAAUUGACUGAUAAUAUUGUCAUUGGCCUCAAAGACCAGCACAAUAUAGUAAAUGUGAUAAAUUUAUUAGAAGAAAUAACUCUAUGACUCAAACCUCUGAAAAUACUUAUAAAGACUCGUGAUCUAUUAAAAUUGAAGUCCAACUUGAAAAAUCCUUGAAGUCCAUUUUUUAAAAAAUAUGUAUAGUAGGAAGAAAAAUAUACACCCACACACAUAAGACGAGACAACAAUAUAUGUGCCCAUUACUUAAUUAUGAAGUGGUUGGCUGCUACAUGUUAUAAAAUAUUCAUGUCAUUAAAUUAUAUUUAAUUACAACGUUACUCUUUUUUUUUUUUUUGGUUGGAGGUGGGGGCUAAUGGAAUUGCCUUCGCAAUCAAAUUCAGUUUCAGAGGAAGCUAUCCAAUAACAAAAUAAUGAAUCACUCUCUUUUUUGUAUAAAUAAACAAGAAGAAAUUUGAGUCUCGUCCGUAUAAGUAAAGUUUAAUUUCAUUUAAAAAAAUUAUUAAUUAAAUUUAAAUUGUUUUAAGUUCAAAUUUUUUGACUAUGCAACCACAAAUUUUAUUCUUAAUUUUUUUUUUUUUUUUGGAAUCAAUCACUAUGCUACCGCAAAAUUGAUUUAACGAAUUCCAAUAACUUUCUGAAUAACUAUCAAUAAAUUGUUUUACAUAAUAUUGAAAAAAAAAAUCAGCUUUGGAGCUUUUUUGGACAGCUAGCAGAGAACUUCAAACGCACAACCGGAGAGUAGAAAAAGAUGGCGGUCGACUAGUUUAUGUGAACGUUUAUCAUUUCAAAUCUAUGGUCACAAUCAGCGGACAAAGAAGUUUCACAACCGAAGAUAACUUGUUUCAUUUUGGUCCAACCAGAAGGUGAGUCAAAUUAAAACACCUUUAAGAUUUUUCCUUUUCCGUUCAUAUUGAAAAAAACGACGGCACGUGCACAUCGCGUGAUGUAGUGUCGAGUGUCAGACUGUUGAUGUUGCCCCAUCAAUUGCGUGUGGACGGCGUAGAUAUAUAGAAGCGCGAUUCGAUGAGCCUCACAAAGCUUUGGUGAGCCCAGUACACGCUCGUUGUAGGUCACUCCACGUCAACUGGGUGAGCCAAAAGUCGGUUACUGCUACAUCAAAGAUGAUGUACUAAAAUAGAAAGCUCAGAAUUAGUAGAGUCCUUCACGCAAAUGGUGAAAUUUUAACACAGUUAUAAAUGUUUAUUUAUCGGUUACCUCCCCUUAGGUUUAUGUGUUAUCACUUACUUAACAAUAUUCAUUUUAAUGAGCAUUUACCUCAUUUGCUAAUCGCCAUUAAUCGAAUUCAAAAUUUUAAAUCGGAUUAAGAUUGUUUAACGACCUAAUUAAGCUUCUCUUGAAGAACAUUCACCUGAGCAAUUAGUGGUUAAUAAAUAAAAAUAUAACAGUACUUGAACCUUAACAAAUAUUUGAUCAUUAGUAUUUAAUAGACGCAUUGGACGUGAUCAUUAAAAAUAUAGAACAACUUCAUUUGAACCAUUUACGUUAUUGGUCAAAUAAUAGACAUAUAGAGCACUAUCUCUUUAAAAUAGAGGGAAGAGUUCAAGACUUUAUGCAAGCUCAAAAUUUAUAGAUUAUAAUAAAUCUCGCCUCUAUUUGACAUAUAAUUCUAAAUUAUACUCAAUAAACCCUUAAAUUAUGUUAUAAUUGAAUGAAUUUAAAUUUUUAGUAAACCUUUGAUUGUAAUAUGUAUAUAUAAAAUAAAGGUCUAAGCCCUUUUUGCGUGGUAUGUAUUAUCAUUUAUCACUUUAAUAGCUAGUUAAAGGAAAGGGACUAGGGAGGUGAAGGCCUAUUACGUGAAACCCGUGGUCUAAUUCAUAAUACAAUAAAAAUCAUGGGAAGUAAGUGAUAAGUAGACAUUUAUAAUUUUGUGGAUGACUCCAUUUACUUUGCAAACGAAAAGUCAAUUUUUAAUGGUCUACUGACGGAGACGUCACUUUUCAGUCUUCGCUCGUGAUAGAAUCUACCUUUUUGAGCUAUUAUUAUCACAACGAGAUUCUUCAAUCGAAAAUCACCACAAAAAUAAUAAUAAUAAUAACAAACCAACGAAUCCUGAAAAACAGAUUUUUUUCAAGGGUUCCCCACCUCAACUUUGAUAUUGUAGUGAUGCAUUUUUAAUUCUAAGUUUGUUAUGAAAUGAAAAUCAUAAUUGUAAAAUAAAAUUUGACAUUAGUGUUUAAUAAAUAUAACCAGGUAGAUGAUAAUAUCUUUGAUAAUUUAAUAGUAAAUGUAAUAUAAAUUUUUAUUAAACAAUAACGGUAAAUGUUAUCAGAUAUUUUACAUCAGUAGUUUAAAAGCUACAGAAACACUUAAAUGAUCAUAAUAAAUCGUGACCUAAUUUUUUUUUUUUUAAAUCUCAAAUCUUAUCUCGAUCAAAAACUAUAAUAUAUAAAAGAAUGUCCGACGAACUCCGAAGAGAAAUUCAUUCCUUCAAUAUACUUUUAUAAUAAAUGCCGACAUCAGAUAUGGAAUAUUGAUAACAAAUUCUUCCGGAUGAUGCUUACAGAGUAUAGACAAACCAGAGCAGAGCAGCCAAAUUUUGGAUUUUACAAACAUGUCCUUCAAUUUAAAAAAAUAUAAUAAGAGAAUAAUAUUAUAUUACGUGAGAAGGACAGCAUCAAAAGUGAAUUUUUGGCUCAUCUAUUGGGGUUUUAUAUGUUGUGUAUGUUCAUUAGAUUAAUAGAUACGUAUCUUAAGAGUACUCAUUUUCAAUUCUUCCAAUUAUAAAUAAAUCUCAAGUGGGUUUUACUUAUAAAGUUUAAAAAUGCAUCCACACCAUGGAUUAUUCUUUGGUAAUGAGUACAUUAAAUUAAUUACCAUGUCUAUCUCUUUCUCUCAGCUAAAUUUCCAAGAAGCAGGCGUCUUAAAGUAAGCAUGUGGAAGUGUCUUGUUUUGCCUAGCAGUACAUGUUCAAACAAAACAUGCUAGCUAGCAUCUUGCAACUUGUCGCCUUAAAAGGCCGACAAAAGAAUGAGACACUACGUUCUUUCAUCUUUGGACCAAAAUUGGAGCAGAAUCCUCUGAAAGAUUUUGUUGACCAGUUCUCAGCUGAAACAGUGCAACAAUAUAACAUCAACAAAUGCUGCCGUGGCUCUUUUUAAUUUUAAGCAAGAUUAAUGACUCUUUAUGUUUUGUACACAUUCAAGAACAAAAAUAUUGACUUCUUUUACCAAUUAUGAUCUUGCUUUUUGGACUUACUACUCUCAAGUCUAGAUAACUCCUCAAACAAGUCCAAUUAAUCUUUAAUAAUAGGGGAAAAGGAUGUAUGCAUAAGACGACGACGACAACAAAUAAUCAUCAAUGAAACGUGGGGAGUGAAAUAAUGUUAAGGCUAUACAUGUCAUAUGUGACAUUUACUGGUUAUAUAUUAUGAUCAUAUAUAGUCGGAGCAAAUUAAAAAAAAAUGCUUGAAGAUUAUUUAUUGAGCAUUGUCAAAAAACUUUUAGAGGAAUAUAAUAAGACAUAUUUGGAUGAUUACAUAGGUUGAUCAAUAGCGGAUUCAAUUUCUAUUUACAUAAUACUUUUAAAAGAAUUUAUUAACUAGAUGGAUUUGCAGAGGACAUAAUACACCUCUCAUACCUAAGUGCAUGUAUGAAAUUAUUGGGUAAAUUUUUUAAAAUUUUUUAAAUGUAGGUGUGGGCAGCUCCUAAUAUAAUUUUAAACUACUUAUCUUCUUAAGAGUUGAACUUGAGUGACUAACCAAAAAAAGAUGUUAAAAGCCACAAAGUUGUCCGGAGACUUAAUUUCAAAAUAAUCACUCAUUUGAAAAGUUUACUAUUAGAUUAUGGUCAUAUUUGGGAUUGAGAUGUUGUAUUUUUUAAGUUGUAGUUAUUAUGGAAAAAAAAUUAUAAUUAAGAAACAAAAGUUAAUAAUAUGUAGUGAAUAUAAAUUUUAAAUAAUAAUUUUGACAAACUUAUUAAAACUAUAAUAAAUUUUUCAUUAUACAAGUGAAAAAUCAUAUUAAGAUAACUUUCAAACUACAGCAGUAAGUGUUUACCAAAUACUUCAGUGCUUUAACUUUUAAACUACAGCAGUAAGUGUUUACCAAAUACUUCAGUGCUUUAACUUUUAAGCUACAGCUACUCAACCUUAAUUCUAAAUAUACCAUAUAUUGAUAUUAUUUAUUUAACAAUUAAUAAUGUGUUGUGUGCAUGUGGUGAUAAGAACAUCCCACGUCAAUUAUGCUUUGUUAAAAAAAAAAAGAUAAUUUAAAAUUGGACUAUUUGACAAUCAUAACAUAAAUUCCAAAUCUCCUCUGAGAUUUUCUUCCCAAAAAAGAAAAAGAAAAAAGAAAAUAUAUAUAGUUCAAUUAGGUUACUUUAUCUUCAACAUCACUGAAUGGACCAAAUAACCACUAUGAAAAAGACUCCACAAUAUUGCUAUGAUUACGUUUUUGCAACAACUUUUUAAUGAGUGGAUUGAUUGGCGCAUCGAUAACAGUAAUGUCCUUUUUACAUUAAUUACGGGCAUUAAUUGUCCGAAUAGCAACAAAGUCAAGGCCCACCAACUCCAACUACGUGCGCCUAACCGUGACUCCUACCUAAAUCCUCACAAGUUAAUACAAAAACGGAAAAAGUUGUUUGAAAGUUAAAUUUAUUCGAAGCCAAUCGAACAACUCAACUGGCGCUAACGUUAUAUCUUUAGAACUGCCUGAGCAAGUGGUCCGACCACCGACGAUGCUAUAUUCUCGUGAACUUACCAUGCAUAAUUGAUUAAUUAUACAAAGUCUUAAUUUGAUUUGAUGACCCCUACGUUGUUUUUUUUUUUUUUUUUUAAUCACCAAAAGUGAGUUUCGCAAUUCUAAGCUAUAUUUCAUAUAUCUUACAUUCACUUACAUGAAUAAUUAAUGGACUCCACACCACACAUUAUUCAUGUGAGUGAAUGUAAGGUAUAUGAAAUGUAAUUUAGGAAAUCUUUCAAAUAAUUGUAUGAGAACUAUUGUUGAAAAUGAUUAUAUUUUUUUAGUAGUUGUUUUUUUUUAUAAAAAUUUUCAUUUAAAAGGUUGAGAGGUGGAUAAAAUUUAAAUUAUUAUCAGGGGCGGAGCUAGUAUAAGGCUAGAGGGUGCCAUGGCCCUGUAGAAUUUUGAAAAAUUUUAGGGUUUCUAAAGAAAAUGUGAAAAAUUAAUGUAAAAUAUCUAUAUUGGCCCCUGUAGAAUUAGAAUUUUACAUAUAUAAUAACAUCAAAAUUAAAAAUUUAAAUUGGACCCCUAUAGAAUUUUUCCCCUAACGCCGCCCCUGAUUAUUAUCAUCAUCUACGAUAGACGGUGCUAUGAAAUCCGAUACGACGAUGGUCAAUGCCAUAAAUUUAUACAUGCCAUCAGGUUGGAGUGAGAUCAAUAAAUAAGUUAGUUUGAAUGUUUGAAGAAGGCCCGGCAAUGAAUUGAAUAAUGGACAAGACUAAUAGGUAGUUUGAAGUAUUUAAAGCUAAAAGGUUUGAAAGAAAGCAACAGGCAGCUGCCAUGCCACCAGUGGCCUAACCCUAUUGGUCUCCAGCCAUGCCAUGGACAAUCAAGAAAAUGACACUGUCUUCAAGCAUUCAUAACUGCGUUUCUUCAAACAUGAAUAUCGAAUUCGAAAAUGAAGAUUAAUGCAAAGAGUUGUGUCAAAAUUUAUUUCUUUCGAAAUUAAAGAGGACGGUUCCUAACGUUUUAAAUAAAUAAUAAAUAAAUGAUAGGAACCGGCAGAUCUUUAUAUAUGUGUGUGAGGCUACUGUUAAUUUGUUCAAAUAGAAACGACUGCACGGACCAUACAAAGAGAUCAGACAAGCUUUCAAGUCAGCUAAAGCAAGCUAGCUUCCAGGUUUAGUUGGUGCUUGUAAAAACUGCUUUCAGAUUGGCACGACUUUUCUCGUCGUUUUCCUUUUACAUGGCCUGCAAAUUAAGUCUGGAGGGGAGUAGUUUGCUCACCUACUAGCUAAUGAUCAAUUUAUUACAAACAUAAAGCAUAUAAAUGUUGGAGGGCCGGAGAAUAUCUAACAUUUGCUGUGUCUAUUCCUUGGACUAAGAAUAUAAUUAAGGUUGUGAUGUAGGAAGGUUUUAGAAUAUUUUAGAAUAUUGUUAUUUUAGUCCCUUUUUUUUUGUUAUGUUUUACAUUUUAAUUAGAGUUUCAUUAGUUAUAUGUUUUAAUCUUUUAUUUUUAAUAUAAUUAUGAUUUAUUUUUCCUUUUUUUUUUUUUAUGACAUGAGACUAUUGCUCAAAUUACAACUCAUAUUACAUGAGAGUAUAACUAAUAUGUACAAUUAUAUAUAUAUACUGAGACCUAUUGACAUUAAUGCUGAUAUGGCACUGCUCAAAUUUUUGUAACUCUCUCAAAUAUUCAAGGGACGUCAAACUCCCAUCCUGGGAGAAAGAUUGCCUUCACUCGAGCUCUGUGGCUCCAAGGAAGGAAAUAUAAAUUAAACCCCUACAAUGCGACUGCGGAGGCUCGAACCCCUUCCCUCACAUAUGUGAGGGAGUGGCUCUAGCCAUGAUUUAGUUUUCCUAUUUGAGUUAACUUAUCCUAUUAUAAAUAGGGAUGUCUUGUUAUUAUUAUUAUCAUCAUCAUCAAUUCAUUUAUUUAAUAAAAUUAUCCCCCUUUGUUUUUUUAAUAAAAAAUCUCACAUUGUUGAGUCAUUUAGAUUAAAAUAAUAUCUAAAAUCAUUUUAAUUAGACCAUUAUCUAGUCACGUUUGCCUACAAUGACAUCUAAUUUCAGCUCUAAACAACCAGUGUCAGCUUGAUAAUGCGUUUUUUUCUUUUAUCCUAUCAAUUCGUUAUUUCUUUGGUGUCAGGUUAAGUCAACUCUCAAGUAUUCUUGGAUUAGCUUUUGAGUAUGAGUUAGACCAACCGACUUCUAUAUGGUUCACACUAUCUUUUCACAUGAUAAGUAUUAGUAAAAAAGAUCAGUCAAAGAGAAUAUCUCACAUCCACUAAGAACAUAGACAACACUCAACUCUUUAGUUAACUCAUGAUCUGUAUGGACUGUACCUGUAGGCUUCAAAAUUUACAAGUUCAAAAUUUGCAGCCAUUAUAAUUUUAAUCAACUUUCUAUUUUCCUACUUUUUGUUUAAGCGCGCUAAUUUACUUGACUUGAUGUGCACAACAAGGCCGUCCAACUUCUUGGCUUCUUGCAUGUGUUAAGUGUGUUAUUGUACUGUACGUACAUUGGGUAUUUGGGUCCUCGAUAAAUCAUAAGAGUAUACUUGUUACUUAGCUCAACUAGUAAUGUUUUACAAUAAUACAAUAAAUUUGAAUUUGAAUCAGCUUAAAUGAGUGAAGAGUUGGUUUGAUUUCUGUUCAUGACAAAAUAAAAGAAAAUGACAUAGUUUGGGGCAAUAAAUAUCCUAACUUCUACAAUGUCCACAUUCCCACAUUAACUACUAAAAACUGACAUUCAAUGCUUAAUUAGGAGCAAACUACAAUGACAUUUGAGACAUGACUGAGCUAUAAAUAAAAAUUUUGAUGCAAUAGAUUAAAGGAAAAUACUCAUGUGAGACAAUUUUUUGCCUUGUCACCAUGUUUAUUUAUUUAUUUUUUAAUUUUCAUCAACAACUAAUUACAACAUGUACGUAUAUAUAAUCCAACAUUUCUCUUAAAAAUAGGAUUAAAAAAAUUUAAAAAAGUAUCUUGUUAUUUGUUAACAAGAAAGUGAAGGAAGAUAAUAAGUGAAAUAUAAGCUAGAAAAACGCAACGCUCAGUUUUUUUAUGCCACCUAGGGGUGUCAAAAAAGCCCGCUCGGACCGGACCCGGCCAAUCCGGUCCGGGCAAAACCCGGACCGCAUGCAUAUAAAAACCGGACCCGGGUUUGAAAUUCUCAAACCCGGACAUUUCCGGUCCCGGGUCCGGGUUCAACACAAAAAACCCGGAACUCGGACCGGACCCGGUUUUUUAAUAAAUUUUAAAAAAUAAAUAUAUUAUAUAUAAAUAUAUAAUUAUGAAUUUAUGAUAUAUUGGAUGUUAUUUAAAUUUAUUGUGUAAUUAUUGUGUUGUUGAAUUUAAUUUAUUUAUUUUAUAUAUAGAUUGAAUGAGUUUAAGUUAGAAAUUGGAUGAAAUUAGGUAAUAGAAAGUAGAUUGAAAUAAUUUUUAUUUAUCAUUUGUGCAAAAUUUGCAUUGUUAAUGUGUUAUAUAUUUGUAUUUGGGCUUUUGCUACCUUACAUGCAAUAUAAGGUACAGCCUCUCACAAGGCUGGUGGGUCCAAGUGGAACCCACAACUGAGUUUGUGAGAGGCUGUACCUUACAUUACAUGUAAGGUAGCAGCUCCCUUGUAUUUGACUAUUUUCUUUUUUAAAGUUUGAGAUUGAAUGAGUUUAUUUGAUUAUUUUCUUUUUUAAAAUUUGCAUUGUUAGAGAAAUGAAAAAAAAAAUUAAAGAAAAAAAUUGAAAAAAAAUUAAAUUUAUCACAUGCGGGUUUAAAAAGCCCGGAUCAAAACCCGGACCCGGAAGGUGCCGGGCUCAAGCCCGGACCGCACCCGGAAAACCCGGGUUUUAACCCGGGUCCGGGCUUGCAUUUCUCUCAUCCAGUCCGGUCCCGGGCAACACCAAAACCCGGACCGGACCCAGAUUUUGCCAAGCCUAAUGCCACCUACUUAUUUCCGGAUUUAUUGAUGAGUUACGGUUACCAAUUUAAAUUCAAUGCUGAACGAGCUUUGUGCUAAAUUUUUUUAUAAAAUUAGAUUGCUAAUUAUUUGGAUAAAAUUAUAAAUAUAAUUAUAAAAAUAACAAGCAAAACCACAUUUGUACAACGAUUAUAAAUAUAAUUUGUACAUAUGGGUGACAAAAAUAUCUUGCUAGGCCUACUCAGGUCGGAGGUGGCAAUGGUACCAAUCCUAGUUUAAUUCACUUGUGAUCGUGACAACUAUGUAAAGCCCCAUGUUGCAUGUUAACUUGUCUGUAACAUGUCCUGUUCUUUUUCUUUUUCUUUUUCUUUUUUUAACCUGAUGAAUAAGUUUCCUAUUGUUGCAGGCUCAGGUUUGCAAAUGGCAAAAUGAUGAUGAAUAUGGGCAAAAACGAAAUUGCAUUCAUCUAUUAGAAUUUCCACUAUUGUGUUUCUGAUGCAUGAUGUUUCAAAAUAAAAAAGAUGAGGAAAGCAAAGCAGAAAAAGGGAAACAAUACCACUAAAUUUUCUUGUCAAUUUAGGAAGCUAUCAUAAGGUAGUAUCAGACUCCAGUUUCUAUCCAUUAAGAGCCGCUUGAUGUGAUCAAUCCUUGGUAGUAGAGUCAAAAUUACUAGCUAGGGGGCUCAAAACGCUUCCAUUCCCAUCCACACAAUAGUAAACUGAGUAAUGGCAACAGAAUCAUGCCUACACAGGCGUUGGUUGAGGGACAUCGACCAACCGCUCCAUUGUCUGCAGUUGAUCAUAGGGUGCUAUCUGUACCAUAACCAAACAAAAGAAUCAAAUGAGUGUAGAGGAUAAAUGUAACGCUUAAAUGAGCUAAGUACUGCACAUGCCUCAGCUCAAUAUCCGAAGAAGACAGUAAUAUGAAUUUAGACAGCAUUUUUGAAGGGUAAAACUUAAAUAUUUAAGUUCAAUAUAUAUAUAUAUAUAGAAUCUGAAUUUGUAAUGUUAAAAAAAAAAUGCAAACUUCAAGAAAUUACUUUAAGUCACUAUAUUAAAGCUAAUUCCCCGCCAUCAGGCCAAUUUUAAAGUUGAUAACAGAGUCAACUUUACCUAAUGCUCACUUGCUCAGUGUUGAGCCAAAUGCAACAAGGCAUAUUUCCAUAUUAGCCAGUGCAACUGUAUGGUUGGCCGUAAUUGUAUAACAGUAUUUGAAUUUUAUAUUAGUAAUUGCCCAUUACGACUGGCAAUAAAAGCAUUACAUGAUGGCCAGCGAUCUAGAACCCUCUGCCCACAGGCAUAGAGUUCCCAUAGCAUCACUAUGUAAUGCAUUUGGUCAAAGGGAGGUUUUCAAUUUCAUAAAUGAAACUUCACCACUGUCCUUGCAUAAUUGUAGUUCCUUUCGGAAAUCCCACUCUUUGAACAGUAAAGAUGCCAUACCUAUGCAUCAUAGAAAUUUCUUAACUUUUGCUAUGAAACAAAAUAAGACAAACCACCUGGCUAAAUCCAUCCGGCCAUGUAAUUGACACGGCAUAGUUUCCCAUAGGCCGAAUUUCUUCGGGUUCAAUAUCUUCUGGAACAUCAGUGUACUGAAGCUUUUGGUCACCUGUCCAUUCAUCCUGUAGUGAAUCCAGACCAAAGAGAAGGGAGGGGUACGUGAAAAAGUCAAGCACAUGUUGGAGAAAAAUAAUAUCCAAACUUGGGGAGAAUCAAAGCUUAUGACAACAAUCACUAUAUUAAAUUCUUUCUUCCAAUAAAAUAUCAUUUUGUUUGCUACCUAAUCCAUCAAUAGUUCAUUACUUAUCUCUUAGAAGUCUUCAAUUACAAGUUUUCAACUUCAACCUUAUCUCUCAAAUUUAUUCAGGGUGUGUGAUAUCAGGAUUGCUUACAACUCGUUCGUGAUCAUUUUCCAAGUUAUCUGAAGAAAUUAGAGCCUAGGAAAUAAAUGUCAACAAAGAAAAGCACCAUAUGGAAGAGUGUAUGUUUUAUACCCAAGUGAGAAAUCUGUAGGUUCUCUACCAUUUCCAAGAAAAGAGAACGCAUAGCUUAUGCUAUCUAUAACAUUCUUGGAAAACACAUUGUGCUUGUCUGCAACUCCCAGGCCACAAUUAAGUUUAGGUAGUAUCAAAUUUAUUGCUGAGGGCCUAGGUGUCAGAUGCCAAUAUAUUACAUCUCUACAUAUAUGUAACCGAACUGUUUUUUUUUUUUUUAAAAAAAUCCCCACAUACCACACUUUGGGCAGAACGGUCAUUCCUUCUCACAGUUGCAGGAUGCAGAAAGAAUUCUUCAUCUGAUUGUGGUACCUUAACUUUGAUUGCUUUGAUUGAUUUAUCAUAGAUGACAGCAGUUGAUACUAGAAUGAAAAAGAGAAUAGAAACAAAAUUAUUUCCUCAAAAGUAGGUUGAAGGUUUUGCAUCAUAAUCCACAAAAUCUAAACAUUCUAUCUCAAUUUCAAAGCUUAUAUUCUUGCACAUGAUUACGAAUUUUGGAGAACUAAUGAAAAUUCUUUGUAGUAACGGUGCGGCAUUGCAGGUCCAGAUGUAAUUCCAAAUUUGAAAUUUAAAAUUAUUGGUAAGAUGUGUAUAAAUAGAGGCAGGUUUAUUUCAAGUACCUCACUAGAUUAUGGUUUAACAAGUUCACGGGACUACAUGUGGACAGGAGAUACAUACCUUGUUGGCGAAUCUUCGCGCACUGCUGUACAACACAUACUCCAAGAUCCUGAAAGGUAUUGGCAACUUCACCGCAGGGAUCAGCCGCGACUUCAGGCAUUCCACUAUCUCCAGAAGCAGAUAACUGCCAAAGUAAAUGAUACAAGAACUUUAAAAGUGGCAAUGCUUUCCCACCACAAUAUAAUUUUCAAAGUAUUAUUGAUUCAUAAAAUUACAAGGGCAGCAGUGCUUAAGAAAAGAUAGACAUGCAUGAUUAAUAUUUGUUUAGAAUGCCAAGCCAAUUUACUUGAUUUGCAUAAAAGGAUUCCAUGUGAAUCCGAGACAAUACUUUAAAUGAAUUGCCGAAAGAAAUAGAUGAAUACUGCACAGGAGAAACUCUUCCAUUGCUAAAUAAGAGUUCUUUGGGAGAAUGAAGUCAAGUUUACAUCCUUGACCAAUGGGUACUUGAUUCAUACAAAAGUUGCAAAUUGCACACCAUGAAGAUGAGAGGGGGGAAAAAAAAGAAAACAAAAGAACAGACAAAUAAUUUUGACGAAUAAUUCAGAACAAGUCAUAGCAGAGUAGCUUAAUCACCCAGAUACGUCUCAAAGUAAUAGCUUUUAUAAGCAAACUUAUAUCAUAUAACUCACAGUUGGUCUGAUGGGAAGAUCAAAGAGAUGAGGAAUUCCAAACUGUUGGACAACCUGCAAACGUAUGGGCCGAAUUUUCAAAGUAAACAGAUAGUAGCGACAACACCUGAAUUGCCAUCAAUAAAAUAUUUCCUUUUUUUUCAAAUCAAGAAAACUAACAGUUGGAUAACGUGCAUACCCGAGAACCAGAACCUCUGCCAAAUGGAUAAUAGCGUUUCCCAUCAGCAUCAAAGUGGCACAUGUUCUCAACUACAGCUAUACAAGGUACCUAUAUGAAUGAAUGGAUGGCAUUUAUUCUUAUAGAUUUGAUAUGUAAUAUUAAUGUUGAAUCGAACAGAUGAUCACAUAGUAGAAUAUCACACCUUAAGCUUUGAAAACAUGCGAACUCCUUUCGCAACAUCAAUGAAUGCAAGCUUUUGAGGGGUGGUCACAAUAACAGCAGCUGUUAAUGGAACAACCUGAAAUUUCCAUUAUAUAUACCUCAAAAUCUACAAGUAAAAAUUUAAAAAACUAUUUAAACAAGAACCUGUGCAAAAAGCAACGUGAAAAAUAAAUAACCUAUGCAAACAUGCUUAUCAGAAGCACAAAAAUACUAAUUGACAAACACUGACCAAGGAAAAUUUAAGAAUUCGAACUACACUAUCAGAUAUAUAUAAUAGUUUUCUGGUCCAGGAUUUUAAAGUGCGGAAAGUCGAGCAAACCUUUAAAACCAUGGGAUUUAAGAGGCCUAAAACUUAAAACGCAUAAACCGCACGGUUUAUAUGUUUUCCUGGACUUUCCCACACUUUAAAAUCCUGGAUUGGAGCAUAUAUAUAUAUAUUCAAAACGAGUGCAAGAAAAACCAGAACCUGACAUAAAGUAAGUUGGAUGUCACCAGUUCCAGGAGGCAUGUCAAUAACAAGGUAGUCCAGCUCUCCCCUGCAUAUCCAGGAUAUAUUAUUUAGCCAUAGAAUUCAUGAGCAGCACUUGAAGUUAACCAUUUGUUUUUUAUCACGGAGAUGCAUACACAAUGUGUAAGAGGGGAAAAAAAAAGAAAGAUUUACUCCAGAACUGUAACUCUUACAAAGAUCCAAACUAGUUCAUGUUUAAGUAUUAAUAGAAACACAUACCACUCAGUUGUUGUCAGAAGUUGGUUGAUGACCCCAGAAACCAUUGGACCUCGCAUUAUUGCACGACCUUGCCCAGCAAAUCCAAAAGACACCAACUUGACUCCCAGGUAUUCAGUUGGAAUAAUUGUUCUCUUCUCCGGAUUCUGCAAAAAGUUUUCAUAUUGUCACAAUUGAUCACUUCGCUAUACCACAUCUACAAAUAUGUUAGAAUUUUCAAGGUCUACCAUCUCUAGCAGUUGAUUUUCUGGAGAGACCAUUGUUGGUAAACUCGGACCAUAGACAUCAGCAUCAAAGAUACCAACCCUUGCACCCAUACCUGCUAAAGUGUAAGCAAGAUUUACAGCUACUGUGGAUUUCCCUACACCUCCCUGCACAAUUUCAUUAAUUAUAUUAAUGAAAAUGCAGGAAAUGCGAUAUUGCAACAGUAAGUUAAAUUACGUAUUCUCAUAGAAAACUACAGGGCCAUUAUAUAAACACGCUAAUGCUGUAUUUCAUCUGAAACAUUUCUAAUAAGUAAAAAGUCUCGUGGUAAAAAGGUAAAAUAAAUCACAAAAAUAAUAGAAACUUGUCAACUUUGCCUUCACAGUUAAAGGCCAUGAGAAACUUGGAGUUCUUUUCCAAUAAAAUCCCAGGGAUAAACAAUAAUUCUUUGAAGAUAAUCAAAUAAGCUAGAAAGCAAUAAUGCAUAGAUAAAAUUGGCUCCACACAAUUAACUAGUGGAUAGCCACCCUGUCCAACAUGUUAAUGCACAUAUUGAGGAAAGAAAUAAGAACGGUAAGCAGGCAUGUCUACCUUGCAACUUGAAACAGCCACAAUAUUUGAAAUUUUCUGUAAACCUACUGGAAGUUGCUCUGCAAAAAUAGGUCUGGCUGGUUGUGCUGACAUAGUCACAUUAACUUUGUUGACCCAAGGAAUUGCAACCACCACCUCAUUUGCCCUUUGCUCAAACUGACAUGCAAUCAUAACUUAUUACACUCUUUAUAUCAUAAGGGGCUCAUACUGUCAACUUAAUCAAUCUAAGCUAAAACACAAUCAAGUUAUACCCAUAAAAAUUUGUAGAUACAGCCAAGAAAAUUUUUCCACAAGAAGGAUGAGGAAAAAAGAAAGUUAAAUGCAAUUCGCAUUUUAUAAUAAUCCCCAAGUUUUUUUUUUUUUUUUUUUAAAAAAACUAAAUAAUCUUUGGCAAAUUCAUGAAACAAAUAGUCUACCAUUCCAAACACACGUCACUUCUUGAUCAAAACAAUGAUGAUUGUGUCAUUUACCAUGUCCUUGAUUGGACAUGCUGGAGUUGUGAGCUCUAACCGAAAGGAAACCUGACAUUCAGAGUAAAAAUGUUGAAGUAAGGACACUAUCCUUGAAAUGUAUGUUAUUAAAACUCACACUUAUGCUCUAAAUGACCUCUCCCAGAGCUUCGUUGAUUUGCAAAUCUUUCACAAAACCACAUGAGACAAUAUCUGUUCCAAAGUCUGGAUCAAUAAUUUGCGACAAGGCUUUCAGUACAUCAUUCUCAGCUGUUCCAGUAGAUACUGCAGAAACACCAGCUAAAGAUAAGGAGGAAAAGGAAACGUGUAGAAAAUGAAAAUGAUAAAAGUCAGACGAAGCAAAUUGUUAAUAGAAAGAAUAGAAAUGAUGACGUCAACGUUACAAGAAGCAUAAAUUCAUCAUCACACGGCUAGAAUGCAACGUAUUAGCCUUUUCAAAGUUUAGCACGAUAGAGAUUAAUACUCUUAUUGGGUGCUAGAAAUUGAUACUCUUAUUGGGCCCUAGGGUCUAUUUGUCAAAUCCAAAAGACUAGCAUAUUAGUUGGAAUCAUCUAUCCUGUGGAUUUUCCAUUUACUAGCUAAUGUGGGAACUGUCAACCUCCAUCUCAGACAAAAAGUCCACCAGUCCAGCACUGAGACCAACACAAUCUGGCUAGGAGUCUAGCUUUGGUUAUCACGGUUAAGUUACAGCUUGACCUAAAAACCUUAAGCCGGUAGCUAACAGCCCAAACAGUAGUUUUAAGCUCUAACAUGAAUCAGUUUCUUAGAAAAAGAGAAAGAAGAUAAAGGUAUCAAACUUAUCAGAUAACAGUCAUGUGAAAUAAAAAAUAAUAUUGACUUUAAUAAGAAUUUCUAAAUUUAUAGUACCCCUGUGCGUCCUACAUCAAAGCGGCGUAUCUUACUUGGGGUAUGUUAGUAGGUAAAGUGUACUUCAGUCUCAAGCAUACCCUUUAAUUCAGCGAACAACGUAAUAUUUUUAUACGGAUAUGGAACUUAUCAAAACAAAGUAAAGAGCUUUAUGGUUUGUCUUGGAUAAGGAAAAAGACUACCUUCAACAGAAGUAGCAUUAGUUGAGCCACAGCCAAAAAUGGACGGUCUAUGUGAUACCCAAAUGAACUUUUCUAACUUUGAGGGGUGCAAAGAGAAGUUGAUAGCUGAUAACUGAAGAAAUCUGUCCGGUGGAACUAAAGCUAUAGAGGAACCGAAUUUCAAAGGGGGAAAAAAUUAAUACAGUGAGAGAGUAUUAAAUUAGCAACAAAGAAACAAAAGAAAGAAAGCGUAGGAAAUUACCAAGUAUUGAUGGUGAUUUACAGCCUUGAAAAGGGAGAUGAGGCCAACAUGGAGCAUGAAGCAGUUGCAUUUUAAGAUAGAUAGAUAGAGAGAGAGAGAGAGAGAGAGAGAGAGAGAGAGAGAGUGAGAAGUGGUGUUGCAAGAACUGGGAGCUGGGAAGUGGAACGUUGAUGAUGGAUUGCAAGAACUAUGUGAACCUCAUGUUUCAAUAUUCCAGUGAGAUCAUACCAGCUCAAAUUUCCAAUCCUUUUAAACCAAAACGGCGCGUUUUGAUGAGUUGCCUUUAUUUGCACGUCAUUAUUCAAACAGUUCAAUCUGUAUUAUGUAAUUUAUGUUAAAAAAAAAAAGCCCGUAUUUACUUUUUUUUUAAUACCCAAGUUUUAUUUCAUAUUGAUUUAUAUAUAUGAUGAUAAUUUUCAAAAUUUAAAAUAUAAUAUAAGUUUCCAUAUUUAAAUAUGAUUUUGAUGCAUUGCACAGAUUUUAAAUUAAUUAUUAGAAUUAAAUUAAAAUUUGUAGAGUUUUUAAAGACUCCUAUCUCAAAUAAAUGGCACAAAUACUAAAUUCUCUUUUCAAAAGGCACAUGCUCCAACUGAUCUCUUUAUAGAUCAGUCAAUGUGAAAAAAUGCUUGUACAAAGAAGAGUGAAACAAUCGGAGGUAAUCCUCUUUUUGAAAGGAAAGAAUAAUCAUAAAUCAUGAAGCAAAUAGCAACCCUGUAUCCUUAGAAUUGCUUUCCCUGCCCUAAUCUAAUGCCACAGCUUACUACAGAAUCCAUUCCGUGCCCUCUUGUUUGAUACAAUAUCUGAAAAUGAGUCAACCAAUUGUCCUGCUAAGCUACUUGGAUCAUCAAUCAGUGUUUGAAUAAAAGUAUUCACCACCCUACGUUCCUGCUCAGUCGAUCUUAAGCUAAACCAUGUCAGCAAUUUCAAUCUAAAAUCCUGGUUAAUGUGGCCCUCACAUUCUAGCCACCGAAUUAUCUUCACACAAUACUCAAAAUUCUCAUCUAGGCUACCUGAAGAACCAUUUGAAAUGUGGAAUGGUGAACCAUCAUUAAUCAAAGUGCUAUCACAUUCAUGUGGCUCUUCGUUUGGAUGUGCUCUUCUUUUCCCGCAUAAAUCUGCACGGGAAUCAACAGCAGGCACUUCUCCAGCUGGCCCAUGGUUCCAGGUUUGGGAGUCACCACUACCAUGUGAUCUUGCUAAACGGUUCUUCUCUAUGUCAUGGGAAGCAGCAUCAUCAUCUGCCUCAACAGCCUGUUCAAAAGUGCAUCCAUUAUCUUCAUCUCUUGAGGACUCAAAUGGUGGGGUUAGUUCUUCAUUCAAGUCGGGAACAGAUACAACAUUUAAGUCCAGUCCACGAGAAACAGAUGGCAACCUUUCUUCUUCUGCAUUUUCAGGCUUGACCAUUUUCUUUGCUUCACCUCCACAGCACUUCUCUAAAUCAGCACUGCAAAACCCUUCAAGACAGCCUUCUUGUUGAGCCCAAGCCAGUCGCAAAAACUUUCCAAGGUCUCGAACCUUGAAUCCAGAAGAAUUCGGCCCCAUCAUACUUCUGGAUUCCCUUUCAGCAAAAGAACCACCCUCAACAUGUGUAUUUGAUUUCUUACGAUUCAAGGCCACCGUAGAAUUAGGAUUCCUGUGAAUUAUCUCCACACUCUUGGUGAAACACUUAGCCUCAGAGUGACCAAAAUCACCUGCCUCUGUAUAAGAAACAAUCCGAAAACUGUACUCCGUGCAUGGCUGCAAAUUUGAUAUCAAAAUCCUUCUCUGAGCCCUCGGAAAGACACAAAUAGGCUCUUUUGUGUGCAUCUCUUCUCUACUCUUGCAAUACCACAGCUUAUACCCCUUAAUGUCAUUAGCUGAUACGGUAGACAAUUCAAUUAAAAUAAUUACAACGGAGGAAGAUGUCACUUCUUCAAAUAGGAACCUGCAAGCAGCAGGAAGUGAAUCCUCUGCCAAGGAAAGAGUAAAAUUUAAUUAUUGAUUAAAAUAAAUUUCAUAUCUAUCAUUUACAAAUCAGGUGAAAAAGAGUUAUUAUGGGUGCUACCUCUGCAUUUUGGAUUCACAUUAGAGACAGUUGCUAGCCAUUCAUCUGCUUUCUCGAUGGCAAGCAAACAAAGUUUCAGCACAUCACCAGCAACAGAGAGUCUGCUGACAAUCCCACGCGCCAUCUUUGCAGACACUCCAUUCACUGGACCCACUUCUGUUUCUAGUUUGGACUUUGCAUCUUUUAUGAUAUCAUGCAAUUCUUUGAAUCGUGAAGUCCCAUCUAGGAGCCUAUAGCUUAAGUAAAUCCUAUAGCAGAGUACAUCAACACGACGGGCAUCUUUAGCUACAAUUAGCUGCUUCUUCCAACAUCUGCCAGUAACAAUCAAAUCAGACCACAACAUUCCCAUCAGUCCAAGGGUGGAAAAUCCUAUUACAGGAAAACAAAGAGCAGUGCACAGAUCUCAUUUUUCUUCAUGUUUUGGUUCAAUCUCAUAACAGGACAAGCAAGAACUCUCCAUACUCAACAAUAAUUUAGUUCACUCACCCUACGUCUAAAUUGUGAUGCAGCAGUGUUUGAUAAUGCAAAUGAUUUUUUCAUGCCAAUCAAAUCAGUAGAAUGGCUUUGCCUCAAAUAUGUAAUGGAAUAACUUUAUACAAUAGAACAAACAGCAUGUUUUGUGAAGAAAACUAAUUCUAAGUUGUCAAUCACAUCACUCCAAUGUUAUCAUGAUUUAUAAGGCACCGAAAUGGAUCUUGAAUCAUUCCUGGGCAACGAAAUCAGAAUCCAAAGAUAUGUAGGUGCAAUAAUUACUUACCCAAGUAUCCCAGAAACUUUACCACAAGAAGCACAACAAUAACUGCCAUCCAGCUGCAUCAAUUGCCCAAGAUCAACAACCCCAACCUUCUGGCGUUGAAGAGCACACUCAAUAUGACAAGAUAACCCACAAGAGUCCUCCUCACCAGAAUCAGAUGUACAAACCAACCAAAGGCUAGGGUCUUUAUUGUCAUCAAAUAAGUGACAGAUGCAACAAGAACACCUCUUGCAAAAAGUGUCAUCACUGGACAGAACAGCCCUACAGGCAGAAUUUUUACAGAUCCAAGAAUUUGAAGAUCCAAAAUCUGAAGACUGCUCAGAAGCAGGAGGGAGUCGCAUGGGGUUUUCUCCCUUCCGCUGUUGCUUCCUAGAAGGCUGAUUAUUGGGGCUAGAAGAAACUCUUUUCGAAUCCUGCUUCUUAAUUGUCUUGAUAUUAGCCUUUGGAAGUUCUGUCAUUUUGCUUUUUGAAGAAGCUGAGUUUUUCUUGUCCUUAUCAAAGCAACUUCGGAGAAGUUCCUUCUUUGGACCGGAUUUCAGAAACUCCUGGAGGAGUUCUGGACUUCUUGAAGCAUCAUCUGAGUGCCCAAGUUUCUCUGGGGUGCUCUGCACACUGGAAGAAAGGCUUUGAACACCAGAAACUGGACCAAAAACCAAUACAAAAACAUGAGCAACUCUUUGCCGAAAUAGGUAAAAAGGUCACUUUCAAGUCUACAGCAAACACAUACAAAUUGGAUAAUCCAGCCAAAUACAAGUGUAAGACUUAGUUUGCACAAUAUCCACUAUCUAAUAUGGCAUUGAACUUUAACAAACCCAUUCACAGUGGCAUUGGCAUUUGCAAAUAUCAACUAUCUAAUUGGGUUCAUUCUGGAAUCUGCUUGGAUCACCAACAGCCUAAACUCAUUUUCAAGCCUACCUUCCCAAUUAUUUUAAUCAAACAAGAUAAAUGUUGGCCAUAUUUCUUCUCCUCUAUACAAGCUAAAUGUCGAACAGAGAAGGACAACAAAGCUUAUUACCAAUCAUUCUCAUCACAUGGUGAACAGACGUACAAUCACAUGAAAAAGCCCGGACAAACUCAUGACACUAGAUUUCCCCGUUGUCUCAAGUCACUGUCUAAUACCAAAUUUCAAAGUGAUGUAAUAGGAUAAAGACACUGCAGUUACGUGAUGAAGCAACAUUGCAUUGAGCUGCUGCAUGCCAUUGGGUUCUUAAAGAAAAAAUGAUAAGCAAAUGUUGCAAGACAAAUUUGAGCAAAGAGGAAGAAACAACAAUAUCAAUAUCAAUGAGCAAAGUAUGCUAUAGUAAGAAACAUAAAUGCUAUGCAAGAAAGAUUGAUUUUGACAUAUUCGACAAUGUUGAAAACUGAGUCAAAACAAAAGCUAAUAAGAACAGAAAAUUGAAUCAACUAGGCUUAUGCUGGAAAGAAUUGCUGCCUAUUCCUUCAUUUUUUUAGGCCAAUUCCUUCAUAUAAAGUUCAAAAAGAAUUUUUAUAAUAUAAUUAGUUAAUUUAACUCAAAUCAGUUCAUAUAGUGAAAUGUACAACAAAAAAUAAUCUAUAAGUAAAUAAUGCCCAUUUUGAUAAUCUACGAAACUAAUACCAACUAAACUUGAUUUUAAAACAUAACAAGGUAUCAGAAAAUAACCAAUCCCAAUAAAUUAUUGCCUACAAAAAAUUAAUAAAGAAGUUGAUCAUGUAAACAAAUUCUCAUCAUAUAAGAAAGAAAUAUUCUUGAAACCCUUUCGCUUAGAGAAGAAAAAAGGAAAAAGAAAUCCUUGCGUGUAAAAAUGUAUCUAUGAAAGCAGCAUCACAUAGAAAUCACAGAUCUAUAUGACGAACCACAUAACAAAUGAAUUUAAAUUGGGAAGAGAUUAGGAAGAAGGUCCUUGAACUGAAAAUAAUAGGAAAAGGAAAAUGAACCAAACAAGAGGAACUGCAGCAGCAUCCACAAGUGGGUUGUAGUCCUCACUCCUCAGCGGCGAGCAGCACAGGCAUGGUAUUUCAGGACUAUUAGGUUUUUAUAUUUUCAAAUAAAAUUUAAUUGGUUCAAGUAUUUACUGCACCACAUAGUCUAGGAUCCAAUUUUAAUUCACUAGUUUAUGGGCCUACCAGAUUUGGAUGAAAGACUCGUAAUUAUAUUGAAAAUUGGAAGCUGCUCAUAAUAAUCAGCUACAAACGGUAUUCAAAAACCGAUCUGUUGCCAGCCUGGAUUCAAAAACCGAUCUGUUGCCAGCCUAGUUGCAAUGACGUCAGCUUUAUGAAUAAUGACGUCCCUUCUGUAUGUAUAUUUGAUAACUAAGUAUCAUAUCUGCAGAGAUUUUGUAUGCAUCUAAAGCUGGGGGCAUCGUUCAACAUACAACCGCUUCAAGAUGACAGAUGAUUGACAAAUGCCCAACUUAUUAUGCUUGCCUGGCCAACUCUCUGUUCUUUAUUUGACACUCUUCCAUAGGGGCUUUAUACAUAGAAAAGUCGGACAUUCCACACCAUACGUCAUCAAACUAUGAGAUUUAAUGAUCUAGUUUGUAUAAUAUUUUGUUAUUUUUUUAACUUAAUUUACCUAAAGUAUAUAGCUACCUUUCUUAAAUAUAAAAGUGCAUAAGGGUGGCCAGAGGAAGGAGAAUUCCUCCUCUUUGAAAAGUUUGUAUCAUAAAAUUGGGCAUAUUUUAUUUUGGGUUUCCUCUCAAAGUUAACAGCCUGCGAAGGCGUCGACUGUGUAACAAAGGUAUUUAAAGCAAACCAUAAAUAACUAAGAACAUAUAAUUUAUUUUAUCACGUCAAAAAUUAGAAAAUGCUCACAGAAGGAAACUACGAUAAAAUAUAAUAAGAAAUAGCAAGAAAAUAUAGAAGUCAUAAUUAUGAUUUGGCUUUCACUAUUAAAUAUUAGCCAUCAGCCAUCAUAUUUUAGGUUCUUUAUUUUCUAUUCUAGCUUGGAGUUGUAACUAUUGGCCUACGUUACCCUUGAGAUGGUGUAUAUAGUAAGCUAUGAAAUUAAUUAGUUUAUAAAAAAAGAAAAUUCUCUAACAAAAAAUGAUGUGCAGAUACAAAGAUAGACUCCUAAAUGAAAGUCGCAAAUGAAUUUUAAUUUCGUAAUCAUACCAUACCCUUAUCAACAAUGCAAUCAUAUAUUGGCCAAAAACAAAGCAAACAAUGUCUUGUCCAAAUUAGUAAGCACACGUCCAUUUUCCUGAUCAAACUUUAUGUUGGACAACAUAAUAUUAAUUUUUGGCACAAACUUCCAUUAAGCUUUACAAAUUUGAAUAAUAACUUGUAAGUGUUAAUACAGAUCCAUUAUUUGAUUUUCAUCACACACACAAACACCCCCCUCCCCCCCUCCCCCCAAAAAAAGGGACUUGCUUGUUGUGCAUUAUGAAUAUUAAGGGAACUGCAAAUGCAUGUUCCGGUGAAGCGAAUGUUGAAAUUGCAAGUGCAGCUUCUAUAGAUGUCAAGAAAUUUUUCAUGAUUUAAAACAAUCAAGAGUUAACACAAUAGAUGAGACCAAGGCUUGGCUCUACUGGUUAGUGGGUAGCCUUAUCAGGACUUUGGGUUCAAGUUUCUUUAAUUAAUGAUUAAAAAAAAGAGUUAACGCAUUAGACAUGAGUAAGAUAGCGUGAAAUGGGAAAAGAAAAAUGCAGUAUGAAGUCAUCUUUUGUGAUAAUCACAGCAUAAUUACAUCAUUACUUACAGCCACAUACCAAAAAUGCAUGUUUCCAUCAGUAACCAGUCACUACUCACAAACGAACAGCCCAGUAACAAUGCAACAUGCCAUUCUCUUAUUUCUCUCUCUGGAUAGUUACUAUAUGGAUUAAGCCACUUUUAGCUCAUUCUUCGCUUAAGAGCCAUAGAAGAAGUUCCUUAAAAUGUGGGGUAUGGAAAAUCUACAAAUUAGAGUUUUACAAAACAUAUCACUUUUUCAUUUUCCAGCUUUCAUUUUUGUAUAUGAGGUUAUUAUUUUCAUUUUAUAUGAUGACAUGAGACCAACUUGGUAAAAGGCUCAUUGAAGACAGCCUUAGAGCCUUAACUUAAUAUAUUACUAUGCGGCAUAUGCCAUAAACAUGUUCGCAAAAUAAAACAAAAAUCAAUGGCUAUGAAAGUAGAAAACACUGGAAAUAUGAAUAGCAUACCUCUAGCAAGGAAUUUAUCUUCCAAAUCCAUUGCCUAAAGCUUCAAUGUAGUUUGUUAGCAAGCCUCCCUGUAAGGGUGAAUGAGUAUUCAAGCCUUGGCACACUCAUAAAUUACAGAGAAGAUACAAUAUGGAAAAAAGUUUUAAAACAUAAAUAAUUAAAUCAACUGUAAUAAUACACCAAUAAUGUAUACUCCAUCCAAGCAAUUCCAAUAUAGUUGAGCUAAUUUUUAUCUUCUUUAAAUGAAAACAUAGGAGAUUAAAAUUCCAUUACUUCUCAACAAGUUUACCAAAAAAGUUUAAAAUAAAUAAAGGUUUUAACUGUUUUCUCAUUUGCGACCAUGGUAAAUUUUCAUUCUCUACUCUCCUAUUUUAUUCUUUUUCUUUUACCUCAGCCGCAAUGCAGCUCAUGUUUGAAACAGAACAAGAGAGCAAGAACAUCAGAUUAUAUUGUAGAGCUGUAAACUUGACAAUUCGAAGCUUCAUUUAAAAAAAAAAAAAUGCUUCAAUAAGAAUAUAACUCCAUCAAAAAAAAUAAAACUACUUUUGCUAUCUAUCAUUUAAUUUCAUGCAACACAAACACAGCCAACUAAAUUAAAAAUUGAAAAAGAAAAAAACUCCAAUCCCGUUUUAGAAUCCCAUCGAAACAUAAAAAAGAAACAAAAAAAAUCCCCAAUUUACAUAUUAAAAACUCGACAAAACAGAUUCAAAAGCUACAUGAUGCAGCAUUGCUAAUACUAUUUCACAUGCUAAUGUUCAUACAUUGUGCGAAUUUAACAGUAAAUAAAUAAAAAGCGUUAAAGAAAUCAAAAUCAAAUGUCAAAAAGCAAAUAAAUUUCCAAAACUAAAGCACGAAAAGUUACGUAAAUUUAGAAACAAAAACGAACAGAGACGGAAACAGAAACAAGAACGGAUCUGAACGCGUAGAAAGAAUUUUUAAAAAAGGCAUGAUUUUUAUUUACAGAUAAAAUUCAAAAACUAUAAAAAAAAAACGAAAACAAAUCAAAGAAAAUUCAUGUACCUGUAAACAAUGGGGAGGAAUCUAGGGUUUUAACGAGACAAAACCCAAAGAAUUUUGCUUUAGAGAAGUCACGAAUCCAAAGACAGAGAGAGAAACUUCGCCGUUGUUAUUAGUUUGUUUUUUUUUUUUUCCUUUUUUUUUCUGAGAGAGAAAAGCUUCUGCGAGUCGUUCACGUUUCCAAGUUAAGCGAAUUGUGGGAGGUAAAGCUUACGCUCAGGUACGGCGCGUUGACAGCGAUCGGUGCUAAUGUAAAAGCAGGGUUGGUUCAGCGGAGCAGGGAAAAAGUGCAUGAAGCAAUGUCCCGUUCUAGGAUUGGUGCGUGUAUUACACUCGAAGCGAUGCUGGGUGUGGGGGAUGAUGGCGAUCCAUUUAGUUUAUCUAGUUUUUGCUUUGAUUUGUCACUGCAUGGCUUGGCAAUAUGGAUCUGAUGAUCUGAUCUAAACCGUCCGAUCUAAUCCUGUGACUAAGAAAGGGGGGGGGGGGGGAUUAUAGUUUUGUUUGUUACUGUUGACUGAAAAGACUAAUUGAGGAGUAACUGAUUAAUGAGGCGGGUAAUUUCCUGGAAUUAAUUAAAGGGAUUUUUAGAGUCGUAGGAAAUGGGAUUCCUGGAAAAGCACAGGUCUAAAAUUUUGAAUACGUGUCAGCAGAAUCUUCAACUGAGUGUGGGGAAAGAAACAGUCAACAAAAGUUGGUUGCCAUGUCAAACUCAAAACCAAGAGGUUUGGCACUUUUAAUGAUUCAUUCACGCACAUUUUAUUGUGCCUUUUUUUAACCAAUUAACACUUGGGGCGGACACCAACACCCCAUGUAGCCUCUCAUUGGCGGGUUUUGUGUUAAAGAUUCGUGAAUUUCAUGGGGCUGGUGAAGAAUUGCUGGCUUUGUUGACCCCACCCGCGCAAAGAAACUUAGAGCAAUAAUUUUUUAUUAUUUUAUUUUCGGAGAACCGAGAUAUUUUGUUAAUUCAGUACGGUAGAAAUCUAUCCAGACCUUCUUCGAUCUGUUUGUUACAAAUAAAAUUCAGUUCAAAAUUAUCUUAUGAAUACAGAGAAAAAGUAACUGCCAGAAUACAUUGAGAGGGACUUAAAUUAUCCACCUCAAUAGUGAAAUAAAGAAUAUUUUUUUAAUAAUAUCUGUCAUAUUUCUAUUAACUUUUAAAUUUUAAAAUAUUAUUAUUUUUUUCACUCUUUUUGUUCCCUUGUAAAAAAGUCUCGAGGGUUGGCAAUUGAAUAAUGUUAUGCUUUCCAAAAUAACUCUAUUGGGGCAGCGACAAUUAAUAAUGUGAACAUAUAUAGUGCCUGAUUUUGGCCUUUAUGGAAGAAGCAGGUAGGUAAUAGCCGUAUAGCUAGGUUGCGCAAAAUAGUGAAAUUAAAAUUAAAUAGAAUCUUAUGAUAAUGUGUCGAUAAGGCAGUGAUAGUGCCAUGUCCAAAGAGUUGGACAUGGGUUGUCCAACAAACAAUUUAUAGAAAUAUGAUGUGACCGCCGGUGAUACCACUGCUUAACUUACUGGAUACCAUUUAUGGUUUGAAUAUGCAUUUACUGAGAUUGUGAUACACACAAUUUUCUUUAUUUAUUUCUUUCUUUUUCUUUUUUUUUUUCCUUUAGGGUUUGUAAAUAGUUGUUGAAAAUGUUUAUAUACACAUAUGUGUAAACACACACACAUAUGAUUAACACAAUGAAGAUUUAUUGUAUACUUCAAAAAGAAAUAAUUGCCCGCCUAUGUACCCAAAGUAAUUAUAUGUUGACUUACAAUUAUCUCGUGUAUGAUUGAUCAUUGUAUAACUAUAACUAUAAACGAGAAAUAUGACAAAAUGACUAUUAUCGGUUACAACCAUGAUUUUUUAUUGUACAUUUUAACUCUCAGUUAGGCCAUCAAUUUUUUUCAUUAUCGUCUCUCAAAUACAUAAUGUCCAUAUGAAUUUCGGUUCAGUACUCUAGUGUUUGCAUGAUUUUUUUAUUUUUUACACACUAAUCUUUUUACAACAUUUUAAGUUGUAUCUAUGAUUACAUAUUAACCAUACAUUAUUAUAAAGUGCACAAUUUUUUUAAAAGAUCAUUGUAGCUUAGAUCGGUAUUAGAUCCAAAAGAAUUCAAAUUCUCUAUAAAGAUUACGAAAGAAACAAAGAUUUGAAAAAAAAUAUUUUUAAAAAUAGAGAUGAAACUUAUGCAAUGAACACGGCAUUGAGAUGCAUCAAAAUCGUACACAUAUCAGAAUCUUUAGACCCUACAAAAAGGCAAAAGGUGGCUCUGCAUUCCAAAGUAAAGGAGGGGGAAAAGCAGUUCUUGCUUAAAAGCAUGAACUUUCUAGAUCCUCUACGGAAAUGGAAACGAAGGAAUUAACCACUCAAAUGACAUCUCAUAAGCAACUUCUUGUCACAAGCAGCAGCAGCAACAAAUGCAGCUGCAUGCAAAUGCAAACGCUAAUUUAAGUGCUUUUGCAACAUUUAUAUGCCCAACAGCUUGCAGUAAUUGCCUUUUUUGUAUUUAUCUUUUCUAAUCUACGUGUAUAAAUGAUGAUCACAUGCAUGGGAUUAAUUGCCUUGCGCGGACCUGUGACCGCUUCACACCAAUCAUUGCUUUUUAUGUGCUUUAAUUUUCUGUCGUUUGUAAUGACAAGCAUCACUAAAAAAAAAAAAACAAGUCUACUAGAAAUGUAGUCCCCUUAAGAAGUUUGAUUGAAUUUGCUCUUCAUUUUGAGUAGCAGGAAAAUCACUUUAAUUGGGAGAACCUGUACCUCUCAGUUCGAGCAGGGACUUUUAGUAUGGGUUAUGGUACGGGCUUAAAGGUGACUUCCACAGUUGAGGUCCUCUCCAAAAUACUUCGUGGUUAAGACAAAAAAAAAAAAACAUCUUUAAAUAAAAUUCUACUUAUUAUCUGAAAAGUUAUACAAAUAAAAAUUAUUCUAAAAUAUUUUUCAAAUGAUAUUAUCUUUCUCUCUCUUAAUAUUAAAGAGGAAAAGAUAAUCUUAUUUCAAAAAUAUCAUUUGGAGAGUGUUUUAGAGCUUUCAAUUGAGUAUUAUCUCAUUCUUGAAGAAUGAAAUUAUUAUUUUAAUUGAGAAAUUUUUUAAUUAAAAUAUUAUAAAUAUUUUUUUUUUGAAAAGCCUUUUAGAAAAUGACUAAUUAAGUAUACUUUAAACUUUGACACAUUUUGGUGGUAGUUUUUGGGCUGUUAGUUAUAACUUAGAUAUAAUUUUGUAUAAUAUUUUUUAAAGAGUCGCACAAAUAAAGCAGCUGCCCUUCAAUUAAAACUUCCAAUUGCAUCGUAGUUUAACCAACAAUGUUAUAAAAUACAUAAAAAGAAAGUUCUAGACUUUUAGCAGUAGCACACUGCUACAAUAUGGAGCCAAAAAGCACCAUGCCUCGGAGAAAGUACAGUUGGAACCUCGUCGACCUUUUUUUUUCCUUUUUAUGUUUGCCCACCUUCUUCUUCCUUCCCUUAAUUAAUGGUUAUUUGUAAAUGCCGAUGUAAUUGGGAGGCAUGAGAGUAUGGUUUCGAAUGGCAUGGCACUCCCUGUCUAUUUAAUUUGCUUUAAAACAAUUGUUCGUACGGUACAUAAAUAGUAUAUUUUGCAUUUUUACUUUUUAAGCAGUUUUUUUUAUUUUUUUUAUUUAAUUUGAACCCGAGUUUGAAUUCUAAAAAGCGGAAAAUUAAAAAAAUAAUUUGAAUUUUGUCCACCUCCUUUUCUUAGUUAAUUAAUAUAUACAAUUCAUCUAAUUUUUGGGUAUCGGGGAAAAAAAAAAAGCAAGAUAAAAGUUGACAAUUAUUGUCGAAUUACGAGUUGAAUUAUGUAUAUUCUAUACAAUAUGGAAGUGGCAUUUCUAAUGGACCGGAUGAUGAUUAUUGUUGGAACGUAUAUCGUACAGCAUGCUUCUGGAUAUGCUCGUUUGUUGGCGUCAAUCCGAAGUGGUGCUUCGUGUUGCCUAGUAAUUGUGGCCUUGUGCGAGUAGGUAGAUGUGUGAGCUACUGCUCAGCAGAUUUUUAGGGUGUACUGCAAAUGUAGGCAUCUAGACUCCCAACAAAUUUCAGUUCACAAUGUAUCUGUAAAUAUAAUUAUACAAAAAGGGGAAAAAAAAAAAAAGGCCUUUCAUUCACACCACUUACAAACCUUUUUCGCUGCCUAUUUGUUGCAAGAUCCCCGGCCAAGUGAAUUGGGCUUGGGCUUUGAACACCGGAUCUUGCCCACUGGGCCUUAGUCCAAAAGUAAAGAAUGCUGGUUGGAACUUAUGGACAUGUUUGGUUAAGGUAUUAGAACGCCUCAUUGUAUUAAAUUUAUACAGACUCAUGUUUGGCAGUUAACAUAGCUACAGCAACAUUGCGUUAAUGGGCCCAAGCUAAUCGCCGCAUUAGCUUGGAUCUUCCUUUUUUUUUUUUUACUAAAUUAUCUUAUUAUUAUUAUUAUUAUUAUUAUUAUUAUUAUUAUUAUUAUUAUUAUUAUUAUUAUUAUUAUUAUUAUAGUAAUAAUAAUAGAUAAAUAUAACUUUUGAAUUUAAUAAAAUAUUAUGUAAUUUUAAUUUUAAUUAUUUAUUUUUACAUUAUAAUUAUUUAUAUAAAUUAAUAAACUUAUAAUUUAUUAUUCAAUAAUAUUAUAUUAUAUUUAUUAUUUUUACAUUUUAUUAUUAAAUUUAUAAUUUAAUAUAAUUAAUCAUUAUUUAAAUUUGAAUAAUAUUAAUUUAAAAUUAAUAAUAAUAUAAAAUAUUAAUACAAUUUAAAUAUAUGAAUAUAAUAGAAUAUAUUAAUAUAAUUUAAUAUAUAAUUUAAAUUAAUUACAAAAAAAUUAAUACAAUACAGUGCAACACCAAAUAUUGAAUAACAUUAUUAUAAUACAGUGCUAAUACAAUAUAACAUAAUACAAUACAGUGUGCCAAACACACCCUAUAAUUAUCUGGUUAUCUCAUGAUAUUUGCCCCACCUCCUUGGUAAUUUUUUGAAGCAAAGGUGCAAAGGACACAUAAACAGUUAAAAAAACCAUCGCAAAUAUCAUGACUUGGCUUUUUAUACCAAAAAAUUCGGACUUAACCAUGCUCUAAAAUGACAUGAAGGGAAAUUAAAUAGCACUAUUUCUUUUCUAAUCCAAGAAAUCUAAUUUUUUUAGUAUAAUUUAUUUUGUGAAAAUUUUGUAUUAAAAAAAGGCUAAAGACCUUUUUUGGGGGUAAAUAUUGAUUUAAAAAAAAAACAAUGCUCUUAAUAUAAAAAAUAAAAUCCGAUCAAAUCAAAUGUUGCCAACCUGAUCCAAGUCAACAACCUGAUCAAGUUGGCUUAAAAAAAAGGAAAUGAAAAACACACAUGUAUACAACACACACAUAUACAACAUACAACCUGAUAACUCUAUAGAACAAGAGUUAUCAUAACAUUUCUAAAUUUAAACUAACAUUACUUAGAGAGUAAAUGAUGUGUUUUUGUUACAUUUUUAGUUACAUUUUGCAUGAGAAUCUAUUUAAGUUUAAUUUUAAUAAAUUGAUUGUGUUUUAGAUCACUUUGUGCUCUGAUUAUGUGAAUGAUUGUAGGUGACCAAAAAGUUCAAGCUUAAUGGAUGGAUGCUGCAGCAGCAGACCUAUAGAAAUGACAAAGAACUUGUUUGCAGAUAAACUAAAACAAGUCUGACUCAGAGAAGAUGUUGUACUAAUUGCUGCAGCAAGCCAAGAGCAAACACAUACAAGACUACUCACAUGUUAACUGAUAAAGCAUGCUGCAGCCGUUACUGCGAUGUCACUAUCAUUAGCAAACAAAUGUGACAGGUGGCACAAAAAAAUAUGCGAUCCGAGGUUGCCAAAAAAAGAGACACGCGGCCACAUGCGUUUGGUUGCCUUAAUUCCAAGAUAUAAAAAGAGCACUCGUGAAAAAAAAGAAAAAGAAAAGGGGGUUGUCACAAAAAAACAACAGAGAUAAAAAGAAAAAGGAAGAGAAUAUGAGAGAGUUGAGAGCUGCAGCAAGAGAUUUUUGAGAAAAAAGAAUGAGAGAUCGCACAAACUUAAGAGAAUGACGUCUUGAAUUUAGCGGAUCUCAAUUUCUACUUUUUAUUUGCUUGUUUUUAUCUUUCUCUAGAAAUGUAUUUGAUGGCAAAAACGUGUGUUGUUACUAUUUUAUCGCCUGUCAUAAACUAAACUUUGAUAUAGUUGGGUGUUAAAUAAACUUAAUGGUUAUUUAACUUAUAUAUGUGUGUUGCUUAGAAUCUAUUGUAACAUUUUGUUUUGAUUUUACUUAUUGCAAAUCUUUAUUUGGUUGACCACCCAUUUAGUAGAUACUAUGUAAGAAAGAGCCUAAAAAAAGUCCGACUUAGUGGAAAAAGAUGGGUCUUUAUGUGUUUUCCAACAAAUGUCAUGUGUGACAUCUUAUGCGAUUGAGAAGCAAAUAUGAGAUAUGUACACUAUUUCGAAGUUUCAAGAAUUUCAACAAGAGUUGAUUGGGAAGAUAUAUUGUGAAUUUGUCAAUUCUAUGGGUUGUGAAUAUAUAGUUAGAGAGGAUGUCAAAGUUGGAGACAGUAAAAAAAAUAACUUUUUUUAAGUACAUUUUGAAAAAGAAAAUGGUGAAAUCGUUGUAAUUGUUCAAGGUUCCAGUUUAAAUGAAUUCUUUACAGACAUGCCAUUACAAUUAUGAUACACAAUGACAUAGAAGUACUUCCAGAAAAGUACAUCCUACGAAGAUGGAGAAAAAGAUGUGUGGAGAUGUCAUAGUAGGAUGAAGACAAGUUAUGAACAGUAUAGUUGCACAGAUGAACAUGAGCGAUAUGAGAAAAUCUUUAUUAGUAUUGCAUAAAUUACAAAUAUGGCUAUAACAAAUGUUGAAAGUUGUAAUCUUGUUUUGAAUUAGAUUGAGAAUGUACGGAAAUAUCUACCGAAAACAAUUUAGUGCGGAGGUAAUGAAGCAACUAUUGCUACAGGCCAAGGAAGUUGUAGUAAUAUCGUGGGAAUUUCAACGAAUGAUGUUAAGAUAGUACGUGAUCCAGUAGCUAAGCAUCGUAAAUGUCAUCCACUUUGUCAAAGAAAAAAGUCCAACAAAUUUUCAAAAUCUAAAAUGAAUUUAGCAUGUUCUAAUGCAAAGCUUAAUUUUAAAAUUUAUUAAAGUAGAAUAAUCUAUUUCAUAAAUGAUGUUCAAAUGUUAGUUUUGUUGACUUUGCAAGAUGGAUCAAGUAGCAACUGUGAUCCCAGCACCUCAAAAUCUUGAAGGAAGUUUUAUUGAUAGGUAUAUGUACCCACAUGGAAUUAUGGAUUAUUGUAAUGUAAGUUUUUUCACACUUUAUGUAUAUGAUUUUUUUAUUAUCGUUUCGUUAAAGUUCCAUUAUUAUAUGUUUGUUUUAGGAUCUUAUGAACUUGCAUCAUGUAAUUGGGGAUAGUGUUUAUCCAACAUCUACACAAAAUUCUUGCACGGUAAGUGGUGAUAAAUUUUGUAUUUGCUUAUCUUAUCUACUUUAGUAUUUGCUCAUCUUAUCUACUUUAUUUUCUUUAUUAUAACAAGAAAUUUAUUUUUUUAUAAUAGCAACCAUAACACUAGCUACAUGGACAUUUUCAGCAGCCACUCUUUCAAUAAGAUAAUGAAUACAUAGUUAAUAGGCAGUUUCAAAGUGAUUUCAUAGAAUAAUAUUGUAUUUGUAUUUUAAGAAUGAAGAAUGCAAAUGUCUGUUAUAUUCUCAUUCAUAUUAUGAUACAAACCUUUGGCUAUGAGUUGUGAGCUUGUGAAUUUGAUACAUGGACUUAUUCCUGUAAUGGCAUAUUUUUCCAUUAGUGGCAUAUUUGUAGUUUUAGUCGUGUGGUAUUGGAAUGCUUUUGGGUAUAUGUGUUGAUCUCAAUUACAAUGCAUUCUCUUGACAUUACUCAAUAUGCACCAAUUAUCAUUAAUUUCAAGUAUAAUAUGAAAGUCAACUAAUGAAAUAACAAAAGCUAAUAUAUUAAUCGGAGAAGCUAAUACAUUAACAUUACUGUCGUGAUUGCAUCUACUGAAGUAGUCAUGAUAUAUUUCUAUAAAAAAAAGGAUAACGAUAUAUUAGUUAAGUAUACAACUUAAAUAUAAUACAUAUUAAAAUAGUUAUAAUUAAUUGUGGGACAUAUUUUACAAUAAGACUUGGUUCUCUUUUUCGUAGUUCAUUCUAUGUCAAUUGCCUUUGAUCUUCACGUUGUUGUCUUUGUUGAAGUUCUUUCUCAAACAAUUGAAAUUUAAGAGACAAGCAUUUCAUUUCAUGCCCCAACUUGCAGACUUCUCAUAAUAAGAUAUCAAUUAUAAUCUCAUUCAUAUCCCGAUCUUUCAUUUCUCCAAAGUCAUUAGAUUCACCGCUCUUCUGAUCAUUAUCCCAUUCAAAAGUCUCACAUUUUUUGCACUUUUAAAACUUACGAUUCAAAUUUUCUCUUGUACAUGAAGUUCGUAAGACCUUACUACUGUUGCAGUAUUUUUCACAAGCUUUCAGCUGUGUUUGAUUUUCGCUUGUGGUAGAAAACAUAAUGAUUGAACAAAUUAUGUACAAAUAUAAACAAAAGCACAUAAUGAUUGUCAAGGUAAGCCAUUAUAGCACAUAAUGAUGAUUUCAAAUAUAAACAACACAUAAUAGUAAUUCUCAAAUGCAAAUACAAAUCAAAUGCUUUCUUUGUGCAUGAUCAGCUUAAUAAGCUUACCAAUAACUUAAAUAUACAACUCAUAGUCUGUCAAUAUUUGAAUUAAUGAAGUUAACGUUAAAAUUAAGCAAUCUUUAUCCCUUUCAGUGAAAUAGGCAUCCGAAGUUAAGCUUCUGUCAUUUUAAAUGUCAUUGUUCCGAUCCAAGAGCAAAACUAUUGAAUUGAAAGCUUUUCAAAUUAUAAUUUUAUAUAAAUAGGGAUCAUAUUUCAUUUGAUUAUGCUACUUUAUUUGUAAAGUUGGAAAGUAAUUUAUAGAAAUUUACUAAAGACACUAAUUGGGUGUAGAUGCAACAUAACUAUGUCCAAGCAUAUAUUUCCGAUCAUAAAUUCAACAAAAAAAGACAUAUAAAGGAUGUGAUUUGUAGCUAUAUAUAUAUAACAAGCUCUAGUUAUAGUGAUCAUGGUGUCAUUUCCAACACAAAGUCAUCUCAAUCAGUUCCUAAGACUAUAAAAAAUGCAAUUACAAAUCAAUCUAUUUGAACUCAUUUGCCUAAUACAAAUCAAUCUAAACUAAUUCAUAUGCCUGUUGCAACUUAUAUUUUCUUGCAUAAUCAUCCCAAAAUCAGCAACUCAUGAAGUGUAUAUAUCAACACAAUUUAACAAUUUCUAACAUCAAGUUUUAAUAGCAAAUAUCAAACAAUAGAAUAGCAUUUUACAAUUUCUAAUAGAAAGUUUUAACAAAAACUGUCAACACAAUUUAACACAAAUAGCAAUUGAAUCUUUACAUAUUCGUAAUCAGCACAACCAAAAUUUGGCAAUAAUGAAAUAAAUUACCUCGACAAAUUGAUUACGGCAGCCAAUGACAAGUGAAGCCGAGAGAGUGAAGCUGCAGUUAUCGACAGGGUAGAGAGAGAGAUAGAGAGAGCCAACAACUAGGUGUGGAGAUACCCAUAGCAAGAGAGAGAGAGAGAGAGAGAGAGAGAGAGAGAGAGAGAGAGAACGCCGACGGAGAGAGCACAGAGUAGUCAGAUGCGUGAGAAACGCUACAUUUUAGCAUGAGUGCAAUGUGAGUUUGUGUGAGAGCUGUGUGAGACGAGUGUGUUGUGCGCUAUAGUGACUUAUUUUAUAGUUAGUACAAAACGCACCGUUUUGUGCUAACUGUGGUGUUUAACAUGGGAUGAAUCUCAUUUUUUAAAAAAUAAUAAUUGAUUGGAAAAAAAAAAAAGGAAUCAACAACUAGCUCUUUAGAUGGAUAAAUUUCAAAUUAUCCAUUGUUGAAGCAACAAUUUUUAAAAUAUCUAUUUUUAAAUUAUUAUAAUUUUUAAUAUAUUUUUAUUUUUAUUUAAUGGGAACGACUUUAGCACUAUGUGAACUAGGCGGUCACUUAAAUCUCAUAUUUAGAAUGACCCCUAUUUUUCAGGGCAAUUAUUCUUUGAAAUUUCAAAGAUUUUCUUUUAAGUUAUGUAUGUAGGGAAAACUAAAUUUUUAGGCAUUUUCUUGUUAUUAUUCCCAUUCAUAAUUGUCUAAAGUUUAAAUUUUUUUUCCUCAUACAAAUACUAUAUUUGAUAAUUUCACGUUGAAACAAAGGCAACAUUUUUUUUAAAAUCUAAAUAUAUAUGAAUUUAUCUAAAGUCUGAGUGUGUCUAAAUAUAAAUAUCUAAACAACAUAUUUGUUUUUCUUUUUAAUAUCUGGAUACAAGUAGCAUUUGAUUGUUUUUAUAAAUAAAAAAAACUUAAACAUGUUUAUUUGACAUUUAUUUCCUUAUAAGUCAAAAUAAAUAAAGGGAUUAUGAUUUUAUAGUAUAAGAAAACAAAUAUAUUUAGGUGGUGUUUGGUUUCAAGAAAGGGAAGGAGAGGAGAAAAGGAAAAAAAAAAGGAGACGAGUGGAGAGGUGAUGAGAGGAGAGGAGUGCAAAAAUUCAUUGCUAUUGUUUUGUUUUACAUUAAAUUUGAGAGGAAAAGAAAUUACAUAUUUUUUAUUUGAACAAAUAUACCCAUUUUCUUUAAUGUUAAUAUUGUUAAUAAAUUUAAAAAAAUUAAUUAAACUAUGAAUUAAUUUAAUAUAGAAAAUAAAUUAAUAACAAAACAUUUAAUUUUAUAUUAUAUUUUUAUUCAUUAUUAUUUUAUAAUCAAAAUAAGUAACAUUGCAUAACUAGUUAUAUAUUCAAUUUAGUUUCUAAAUAUUUAUAAUUAUUGAAAACAAUAAUAUAUUAGCCUAUUGAAAUACCUAGUUAAAUAGAGAAUUUUUUUUUUAAAUUACAACACCAGGACUUGGACAGUAGUUGACCGCCGCAUCCGUCACCUAUGACUGUUGUUGGCCGCUAUUGAACGCUAUUUUUUCUCGCGUUAAAUACAUAAGAAUGAUUAGGGAUGUCAAAAUAACUCGGACCCGGCCCGGACCCGGAUAAUCCGGGCCGGGUUGAACCCAUACCGGAGAGGAAAAAAAUCCGGAUCCGGAAUGGGUUUUAAUAACCCGGAUGAAUCCGGGUCCGGGUUUGGGAUAACCCGUGUAUCCGAAACCCGGACCCGGAUUCAUUUUUUAUAUUAUUUUAUUAUAUUUAUUAGUAAAUAUAAAUACAAACAUAAAAAAAAAACCUAAUUCUAUUUCACAACUCAAACACACAAAUCGCGAUUUACCCAAACAAGACAAACCCUAGCUGUGCCGCCGCUGCUGCUGCUGCCUUCCGCCUUCCGCUAUCCCGCAAACAAGUCAAACAACUCUCGGCUGGGUUUGCCACCGUCGCAAGGUUGGGUUCGCCGUCGUCGCAAGGUUGGGUUCAAGAAGCUUGUGAAAAUUACAUUUCCUUUUACUAUUGAUUUUGAUUUCCUUGUGUGAAUUUUCUGGGUUGGGUUUUCUUAUGAGAAUGUUGGGGAUCAUUCCUCUGGGUUGGGUUUUCUUCAUGUGGUAGAGAUGAUGUUGAAAUAUCGUGCAAAGUAUGGACUGUAUGGUUAUCUUGAUGAUGUUGGUAUGUGGUAGAGAAAAGCUUGGGGACAUUCUCUAAUCUUUUACGCUAUGUUGCAGCGGCUGUCCAGUGUGUGUAAAUCUCAUCGUUUUUGUUUCUGUUAAUAUUUCCUUUAGUUACAUUAGUUUGUGUUUUGGUUCUAUCACUAAUAAUGAAAGUGAAAUUUGAAAUUUUAUUAUUGAUCCAGGUUUAAAACCCGGAAUCCGGGAACCCGAAUUUUUCCGGGUUAAACCCGGACCCGGAUGGAAAAAACCGGGUUUUAAUCCGGGUCCGGGAAAAAGAAAAUGACGUCCGGGUCCGGAACCGGGAAGGCUAAACCCGGACCCGGACCCGGAUUUUGCCAUCCCUAAGAAUGAUCAUAUAUGAAUGAUUUACUCAUUGGAAGUGUUAAUUUGGCAGAAAAUACAGUAUAUGGUCGGAAAUAUGAAAGUUAAAAUGUUCCCAAACAUUAAAAUAAUAUUUGAGGUAAAUAACAAUGUGUAUUAGCAUUUCUAACUCCAUAGAGUUGUAGAUCGGCUCAUAAGGAUUCCAUUGGUAUCGGUUUGAAUGGUGAAGCGCUUCUCCGGCGAAAAAUCAGCAAGUCUCCGAUGACUGUCCAGCGAUUCACUUUACUGCUUUUUCUUUUUUCAAAUAAGUUCAUCAUAUUAAUUUAAGAAAAUAAAUGUAAAUUAUUUGCAGUUUAACUUAUUUAAAAUUAAUUUUAUUUAGAGGAUAGUAUUGGAAUUUUUAUAUUCCAAUAGAUGAGGAAUUUGAAAUCCUUACCCAUUGAUAAGUAAUACAAAUUGCUCAAUUUGAUAGAAAUUGAAUUUCAAUUAAAUUUGGUCCAACCAAACAGUGGAAAGUGGAAAAGAAAUCAAAUUCUUUUCCUCUCCCCACUCCUCUACGCCUAAAGCAAACAUGGCCUUAAAAGAAUAUUUUUGGGAUACAGUAUUUACUUCACAUUUAAAUAAAAGUAAUAAAAAUUCACUUUUCUUAUUCAGAAGUAAUUGUCAAAAAAUCAAAUGUAAGUUACAAAAAUAAACAAACAAAUUUAAAAAAAAUAUUUAAAACUACUAAAAUUUUAAAUUUCAGAUAUUUAACAAACAUAUCCUAAGAUUUAUAUCUUUUUAUAAAAAUUCUAUAUUGUACUAUCUUCAUGGUACAAUUAAUGACUGUAACCCGUAAUCCUUUCGUUUGUUAAUCCUUCCAAGGAACAUAUUAAAUGCUUUCACUUUCAAGGAAAAAAAAAAGAAAGAAAAAUACUCCAUCAAAAUUAUUAAUGUUAGAAUUGAUUUUUUGCAUUCCAUUAAAUUAUAUUAAAAACCUAAAAAUCAAUAGACAUUAAAUAAACACUAAUCUAAACUAAAAAAAUUCUUACUUUAUUCUCUAUAAAGAAAAUUCUUCUUUACGAAAUCCAUUGCUAUCAUCUUAUGGUUAUUAUACUCAUUACAGUUAGUCAACUUUCCAAGUGCUAUCAUUAUAAUCAUUUUAUUUUAAAUUAUUAUUGUUCUUAUUUUUUUUACAAAUUUUAAUUUAUUUUUUGCAUUGACAUAUGACCAAAAAAAAGAGUAAAUUUUGAGCUAUUUUAUAUUUCUUUUAGAGUUGAUGUUGUUGAAUAUAUGAAGGCCUAAAAAAAGUUCGCUUAAAGCCUAAGUGAAUUAAUAAAUAUUUUUUUGCCUUCCCAACACAAAUAAGAGAAAAUUUGAGGUUUUCAAUAAAUUUAAGAUAUUUUGAAUAUUAUCAUUUGAUUGAGAAGAAUAAUUCGAAAUUAAACUUCAAUAAAAAAAAAAAAAAUCAAUCUCUCUAAUUUUUGCAGGCAAUACAAUGGCCCCGUUUAGACCUAUAUUUGGGGAAAAAAUUUCACCUCCUUAAUAGGCGUGGGGCAGGUGCGCUGGCGCCAAACGGGCUACAAGCAAUGUGGUCCUCUUGGCGACGUGGUCAUAACAAAGCUGAAACAGACGUUGAUUCACUGACAGUAGGGAUGGCAAUGGGGAGGGGAAGGGAGGAGACCAAUCUCUCUGUACUCAUUUUUUAUAUUUUGCGUAUGUUUCCGUUCUCUCUCCGUCUCCGUCAGAAUUAUUUGAGAGAAUCUUCAUCUCCUCCCCGAAUAAUAACAGGGGAUCCCCGAAUAACUAAUACAUUUUUUUUUCGAUUUUGAGUUAAUCAUAUUAAAAUAAAAAAAAAUUCAAAUAAAAGUAAAGUUCGAAAUAUAUCUUACAUUAAUAUCCAUUACAAAACUCACAUACAUUAAAUUAGUAAGUAACGCAGCAUGUAAGGGAUACAAACUUCUUUUACAAACUAUCAUGAACAAAUUAAUAGUCUAAUACAAAAUUAUUACAAAUAAAAUCGAAUUUAGAUUCAAAAUUAACUUUUUCAAUAGUGGCGUGGGCACUUUAUAAAUGUGGACUAUUCCCUUUAGAGCACAAUAGUUAAGUCGGAGCAAAUUAAGAGCAAAUAUUAGAUUAGAUUAGAUUAGAUAUUAAAAUUGUGAUUUGCUGUGGACAAUUAUAACAUCUAAAAAUAAAUAAAAAAUAGAUUUAAGUUUAAAAUAUUUAAUGAAUUUUAAAAUUAAAAUAAAAUUUUUGGGCUAAUAGAAUCUAUUCGGUCUUUUUAAUGUCCUAAAUAAAAAUUUAGGACUUUAAUUAGUUAAUUAGGCCUAAAAAUUUAAUAAUAUAAAUAUUUUGGUAUUUGUUAUUUUUAUCAAUUUUUAUAAUUUUAUAAUUCAAAUCUUAUUAUUUAUUUACUAGUAAUUUUAAAAAUAAAAAUUAAAAUGGGAAAUGGAUAGGGGAUGGGGAUUCCACCUCAUCCCUGUCCCCUCCCCGAAUAAGAAAUUGUUUAAAAAAAUUUACCCAUCUCUUUCCCGAAUAAGAAAUUGGGUAUGAAAUUAUUCCCAUACUCUUUCCAAAUGAGAAAAAUUUCCGAGAAUACCAGUCCUCAUAAAGAUUUUUGCCAUCCAUGACUGACAGCAGAGAUGUGACAUGCACAGACUUACGUAUAGACCUGGGCCUACUAGUCACCCACCGCCCCUGAGCCACUACUCCAAACAGUUUAAAAUUAUUUAAUAAUGGAUAGAUGCAAACAACAAAAAAAAAAAAAAGGAAAAAGGACAAAGGAAACGACAGCCUGGUCAUUAAUUGGCUGAAUUUCAGAUUAUUGCCGUAAAACAAAUAAUUUUUAAAAUAUUUAUUUUUUGAAUUAUUACAAAUUUUAAUUUAUUUUUAUUUUAUUUAAAAUAUAAAAAAAUAGAGAUAAAUUUAGCGCUAAAUAAAUUAGGCGGCGGUGUAGGAUCCCAUAUUUUUAAAAGGCUCUAUUUUUUGGGUGAUUAUUCUUUAAAAUUUUAAGAAUUUUUUUUUAAGUUACGUAGGCAGAAAAUUAAUUUUUAUUUUCUAUAUUAUUGUUAAUAGAUUAGAGAUCUAUAGAAUUGACUGAAAAAAAUGAUAGUAAUUUAAAUCUUUAUUUGCAACCAUCCGGUUUUAGAUUUAAAUCUAAAAAAAAAAAAAUCAAGGUUUAAACCCUAUAAUAAAUUAUCAUCGGAGUCUAAAGCAAAAGAUCAAAUCCGGUCGCAUACCCACAUUUUGCUAUUCUUAUUGAGAAAUUUUAGAAUACCUCUAAUGUAUUACAACCAAUUGAUGCAUGCAUGACAUGUGUGGUUCAAUUUAAUAUAACAUUUAUUUGUAUGGAGGUUUUUCAAAAUAAAAAUACAUAUGUCAGCGAAUUGAUUAUCAGAAAGAUCAAGAGUAACAAGAGAUGAGAAAUUGGCAAAAGAGAGUGGAGAAAUGUGAUGCAGUAGACAACCUGAGAAACGCAACGUGUCCAAAGAAUGGAGUGAAUUUGUGAUCAGUGGUCCAUCAGAUGUCUUGCUAAGAUCCACACCACUCAACUCAAGGUGCUUCAACAAAGAAAGAUGAGAUACCCAACCAAAAUCCUCAACAUAUAAUCCACCCAAGUAAUUAGGACGAAGGUCAAGACAUUGGAGAUUGGAAAGAUUUCCAAUUCGGUGUGGAAUAAUUCCUACAAAUCCGGCUCUAGAAAUGUUCCAAGUACAUUAAAUUCUCCAAAGAACCAAGAAAUCGAGGAAUUUGGAUUCCUUGAAAAUCGUUGUAGCUCAAGUCCAAGUGAAUCAAAUGCUUUAAACCGAGCAAAGACGGGUUUGUAGGAAUUUGGAUUCCUUGAAAAUCGUUGUAGCUCACGAGUCCUGAUAUUUUUUAUUUUGUUUGUUGCUUGCAUUAUCAAUAUUCUCGUUGUUACUAUUUGCGAGUUUGUCAUAAUCAUAUAAAUUAGUCUGAUUAAAAAAAACUUCGGGCAUAUGCCAAGAGUUGAAUGCGGAUUAACUUUCUGUUUUAUUUUAGAAAAUGAAGCCUAAAGAAUUCAGUUCAAAUUAAGAUAUUUUUUUAAAUUAAUUUAUUCAUCUCUAACUUUCUGAAUGCAGUAUGUAGAUACAAACUAUAAAGUAGAACAAUGAAGAGGUGAAGCAAGAAUCCCACGAGUUUUUUUAAUUUUUAAUUUUUAAUUUUUAAUUUUUAAUUUUUAUUUCUUUAAUGGAAAUCCAAUGAGAGCUUAAAUUACUAAACUGCAACCGUGGCUUGAAGCUUUCUAGUAACAGAAUCAAAAUUACAAUAAACUUUUUACGUACCUUGUUCCCUAAUGCAUCAAGACCAUAAGCACUCGAGUUCUAAUAAAUGAGUGAAUCAUCAUAAUUUAUGCUCUUUCACAAAAAUAUUAUGAAUUUAUAGAUUAAAACUCGUUAAUUUGGUAGAAUAUAAAAAAUUAACUAAAUUAAAAAAACUUAAAAAAUUUUAAAAAUAAAAAAAUUUAUUCAAUUCAAAUCUGCCGGCCAUAAUUGACAACAGCUGCUUGUGAAUGAGACCACUUGCAAUAUUGUUAUGUUAAGUAGGCCAAUUAAUCAAUCACCCACCGCUUCCAGUACCGCAAACUAUGUUUAGUAAUUGACAUAAAAUAAAAGAAGAAGAGGAGCAAAGAAACAACAACUAGAGCCAAUCUCCAAGCAAAUAUGGAUCUUCAAAACAGACAGAAGCUUCACAUAGCAAUGUUUCCAUGGCUGGCUUACGGCCACAUCAUGCCUUUUUUCCAAGUCGCCAUGUUUUUGGCUGAAAAGGGUCACCACGUAUCUUAUAUCUCCACCCCAAAAAAUAUUGAUCGCCUCCCACAAAUUCCCACUAAUUUGUCCUCCCGUUUGAGCUAUAUACAGCUUCCUUUGCCUCAACUUGAUGGCCUACCAGAGGGAGCUGAGUCAACUGCCGAAUUACCCAUUCACAAAGUUCCUUAUCUUAAAAAGGCCCACGACUUGCUACAACUUCCCUUGACAAACUUUCUCCAAGAUUCACACGUCAACUGGAUCAUUCACGACUUUAUCUCUCACUGGUUGCCUCCUGUCGCCGCUCAACUCGGCGUCAACUCAGUCUUCUUCAGCAUAUACAGCGCCGCAACUCUUUGUUUUACUGGCCCGCCUUCAGACGUGAUCGCAGGUCGACGCCAGAAGCCAGAGGACUUCACGGUAGUCCCUGAGUGGAUAGACUUUCAAUCUAAUCUCGCUUUUAAACCCUACGAGACGUUAAUCAACCAGGACGGCAUGGACGACUCGGUGUCCGAUUAUCUUCGCGUAGCAUUUGUGCUUCAAGAUUGCCGAGUCGUGAUUCUCAGGAGCUGUGCAGAGUUUGAACCCGACGCUCUUCGUUUACUCGGUAAGAUUCUCCAAAAACCGGUUUUGCCGGUCGGCUUUCUAGCACCAUCACUCCAAGAUUCCGCGGCGGGUGAGCAUUGGCCGGUGUUAAAAGACUGGCUUGACAGUAAAGAAAAUAACUCGGUGGUUUAUGCUGCAUUCGGGACUGAGAUGACUCUUAGUCAAGAGCUGCUGCAUGAGUUAGCUUAUGGACUAGAGAAAUCCGGGUUGCCUUUUAUUUGGAUAAUCAAGAACCGCCCACUUGUUGAAGGGGAAUCGGGCCUGGAUCAUCUUCUCCCUCCCGGGUUUCAAGAACAGGUCUCUGGUACGGGCUUGGUGUGGACAGAUUGGGCACCUCAGUUAAGGAUCUUGGCCCAUCCAUCUAUUGGUGGGUUCUUGACACACUCUGGUUGGAGUUCCGUCAUUGAGGCGCUCGGGUUGGGUCGGCCGUUGAUUUUACUCCCCGGAAGUUCGGAUACUGGGUUGGUUGCUAGGUUGAUGCACAGCAGGCGGCUCGGGCUUGAGGUAGAGAGAAAUGAGCAAGAUGGGUCGUUUACGAGGGACUCAGUGGCCGAUUGCAUUAGGCGAGUCGUGGUGGACCUCGAAGGUGAGCCACUUAGAGCGAAUGCACGGGCAAUGAGAGAUAUUUUUGGCAGUACGCAUUUGAGCUACAAGCAUUUGGACGAGUUCACUCGGUUCAUUGAGAAUUAUACCGCUUCAACUAAGUCUCUUUGAUCCGUGGAUGCUAUUUUUCAUUUUGCAGUAAAAAGUAUUGAAGGGCAAUGUAAAUGGAGGGAAACCUUGUUCCUCAAGUUUUAUUCGCAAAACAUCAUAUCUAUUGUACAAUGCUUUGGCAUCACCAUCUCUUUGAAAUUUCUACCUAAUUUUUUAGCUAAAAAUUUACAAAAUGUAUAUACGAAAACACAGUUCAAAACAAUCAUACCCAGAAUAAUUUCAGAACUCCAAUAUUACCAUUAUUCAUAAAGAGAAGAGACUGACACAGCCAUAAUAAAGGCUGAAAUCCAUAACCGAAUUUACAGAUUACAUGCAGGAAAAGAAAUACCGUGAGGAUUUCAUCCACCUGGUUAAGAUUGACAUAAGCAGUCUACAAACCUACAAAUUCAUUGCUUAGUGGCUAGUACUCCCUGCUUUAUGUUAAUAUAAUAUUAUUUCCUGCAGCAAACGGCAAGCCCUGCAAAGAAAUAUGAAAAUUCGUGACGCGAGUUUGAUAGAAUUUUUCGUCCAAUCAUCAACACCAUAACAAGUAGACUAGAAUGUGAAUUAUGCAUAACCAAGUAAAAUUAUGCAUGAUGCAGACGAAAGCAUUGUAGAAUGUGAAUUACGAGUUAAAUUAAGCAUAUUGGUAUAUAAAACAUAUUAAUGUGUACUAUGCUUACUAUCCUACAGAAUGGACAAUGGCAUUUCUAACAAGCUCAAAUAGGAAGUCUAUUUUUAAUAUGCAUGUCUUGGACCUCGUGGUAAAAUUUGUAAGAAGAAACGGUUGCUCUCUAGUCUCCGCAUGAGGCAUUCAGCAGAGAAAACUCCAUUGUCUGCAGAAAAGAACUAGAGUUUCCAGGUCCAACAUUAUUGCGAUAAAAUUUACUUGGCCUUAAUACUAAAAGUGUUCUUUUGCAACUCAACAUCAAUUUCAGCCGCCAAAUUCAGGCAUAAACACGCAUUCAUAUUUUCUAAAAAGGAUCUUAACAACUCUCCCCAUUACUAACUAUGAAGUAGAACCAUGAAGAUGAAGCUGUUAGAAGCUAUGAUCUAAUAAGUGUCUGAUUUAUUAUGUUCAACUCUGGCUUGUACUGUUCUUUGAACAGCAUCAAAUUCACAAUGCAAUAUUAUCAUACUUCCUCAUUCAUCAAUACCACAAUCACUUAAGGGUUCCAGUACGUGUACGAAUAACGCUUGAAUUAAAACCACUGAAUUGGGAUUUGGGAUAUGCCAUUUCCACUUCUUAUUUCCUUGUACGGUCACUCGACAAGACUUUCAGUUCCCUCGCCAAACUACAAACUUGCCCCUCCUACCACUUUCUAAUACAUUUCUAUUUAUUCCGAUAAUAAAAAUUAAAACUUUAAUCUAAAAUUGAUCAAUGUAACAGCAAUUAAUUAUUUUAAAAAAAAAUUGAAUUUUAGAAACCCAAACCUACAUCAAGCAGCUGAUUUAUGGCCGUCACACUCGGGACUUUCAUCAAAAUUCUUACUGGGAUACUUAGCCGUGACCAUUCCAACUUCAAACACCAAAUUAUCCCCACUUGAUCGGAUCCCCGUGAUGGCCCACCACUUGAAGAAAGCCCGGACCCGAAUCCCGUCCAGCUCCGCGAUGCGACCCUGCUCGAUUUUCCCCCUGAUUUUGUUUGAGUAAGUGGCCAGGUAGUUGUCCGGCGGGAGCGUCAACCUACACGCACCUCCGAGAUGAACGAAGAACUCGCCCGAGGUUUGGUUUAGAGUGUAGCUCUGAACCGAGGCAGGAAGGAGCCCGAUCGGGAACCCGUAGUUGGUUAGCUCCGCAUGGGCCAGGGUCGGCGGGUUCGGGUCCGAAGAUGACAGAGGUAUCAGGACGAGAAGAAUAGAGAGAAGCAGGGGGGAUUUGAGCAUUGUGUCUUUUUUUUUUUUUUAUACUUUUUCGCUUUAUUUUUUAGGAAUUGAGGAUCUUUUUAGUGCGUUUCCAAAUGUCCAAUCGUUUGGAUUCUUUCGGUAUCGGAUUUCAUUUAUUUAUUUAUUUCAAAAUUUUGGAGGAGGAAGAGAAGAAUGUGGAUAAGGAAAGGAUUGACUAUGGCCAGGCAAAUGACUGACGUGGUAAACAACGAAACUUCGCAAAAGAAGAGAUGCAACGCCAGCGUUUUGUCGGACUCGUCCACUUGCGACAGUUGAAAGCGAGCGAUUGUGAUGCGAAGUCCAAAACUGCAAGACGAGGAUACCAAUUGGGCUGGACAGGCCCGAUGACAGCUUGGUUAAUGACCCAUGUGAUUUUUUGUAGGGAUGGCAAUAACGAGGGAAGAAAAGGGUUCCGCCAUCCCCCUACUUAUUCUUUAUAUUUUAUAUAUGGUCUUUCCUCCUCGAUCCUUUUAGAAUUACCUGGGAGGAGGCGAUAGGUUCCCGAAUGAUAACAAAGAAUCUACGAGGUUUCAAUUCCUAAAUAAUUAAUAUAUUUUUAGUUUUUAAACUUAAUUUAAUUAUAUUAAAAUAAAUAAAAUUUGGUAAUAUAUCUUACAUGAAUAUUAAUUUAUUAAAAAAGUUACACUACACAAUAUAAAUUAUCAUAAUAAUUAUCUUAGUAAAUCUUUACAAUCCUAUAACUAAAAAAAAAAAUUACUUUUAUAUCAAUAAUGAAAUAAUUGAAAUAGAUAUGCAUACUUAAAUAAAUGAGAUGAGGAGGUAAUGUGCUAUUGAGCUAUGAUGAGAUGAAGACGAGAUAGUGUGCUAGUUGAGGUACGAAUAAUUUGGAAAGAAUGGGUGAGACUAUGAGCGAGUGGUUAAGGGUUUGAUUUAUGGAUUGUGCGCUUGUCGGUUAUAGUCUUUGGGCUGUUGUUGAGUUUAAAUCAUAUUAAAGUCUUUAUAUUCAUUAAUACUUAUGUCAAAAAAUCAAAUGUAAUUUACAAAAAUUAACAAACAAAUUUAAAAAAAUAUUUAAAACUACUAAAAUUUUAAAUUUCAGAUAUUUAACAAACAUAUCCUAAGAUUUAUAUCUUUUGAUAAAAGUUCUAUAUCAUACUAUCUUCAUGGUACAAUUAAUGACUGUAACCCGUAAUUCUUUCGUUUGUUAAUCCUUCCAAGGAACAUAUUAAAUACUUUCAAGGAAAAAAAAAAGAAAGAAAAAUACUCCAUCAAAAUUAUUAAUGUUAGAAUUGAUUUUUUUGCAUUCCAUUAAAUUAUAUUAAAACCCUAAAAACCAAUAGACAUUAAAUAAACACUAAUCUAAACUAAAAAAUUUCAUACUUUAUUCUCUAUAAAGAAAAUUCUUCUUUACCAAACCAUUGCUAUCAUCUUAUGGUUAUUAUACUCAUUCCAGUUAGUCAACUUUCCAAGUGCUAUCAUUAUAAUCAUUUUAUUUUAAAUUAUUAUUGUUCUUAUUUUUUUUACAAAUUUUAAUUUAUUUUUUGCAUUGACAUAUGACCAAAAAAAAGAGUAAAUUUUGAGCUAUUUUAUAUUUCUUUUAGAGCUGAUGUUGUUGAAUAUAUGAAGGCCUAAAAAAAAGUUCGCUUAAAGCCUAAGUGAAUUAAUAAAUAUUUGUUUGCCUUCCCAACACAAAUAAGAGAAAAUUUGAGGUUUUCAAUAAUUUUAAGAUAUUUUGAAUAUUAUCAUUUGGCAGAUUCUGUAACAUACGCACCCAAUGCAUGCACCACACCUGUCCUGCAAAUGGAGAAAAAAAUGCAAUUGUUUUUGUUUGGUAGCUAGCUAACCAAUCAGGAGCUGGUUAAGUUGGAUCUGUAUGUUACAGAAUCUGUAGCUUAGCCAUCUCCUAUCAUUUGAUGAGAAGAGUUAUUCGAAAUUAAACUUCAAUAAAAAAAAAAAAAUCAAUCUCUCUGAUUUUUGCAGGCAAUACAAUGGCCCCGUUUAGACCUAUAUUUGGGGAAAAAAUUUCGCCUCCUUUAUAGGCGUGGGGCAGGUGCGCUGGCGCCAAACGGGCUACAAGCAAUGUGGUCCUCUUGGCGACGUGGUCAUAACAAAGCUGAAACAGACGUUGAUUCACUGACAGCAGAGAUGUGACAUGCACAGACUUACGUAUAGACCUGGGCCUACUAGUCACCCACCGCCCCUGAGCCACUACUCCAAACAGUUUAAAAUUAUUUAAUAAUUGAUAGAUGCAAUCAACAACAAAAAAAAAAAAAAAAAGGAAAAAGGAUGAAGGAAACGACAGCCUGGUCAUUGAUUGGCUGAAUUUCAGAUUAUUGCCGUAAAACAAAUAAUUUUUAAAAUAUUUAUUUUUUGAAUUAUUACAAAUUUUAAUUUAUUUUUAUUUUAUUUAAAAUAUAAAAAAUAGAGAUAAAUUUAGCGCUAAAUAAAUUAGGCGGUGGUGUAGGAUCCCAUACUUUUAAAAGGCUCUAUUUUUUAGGUGAUUAUUCUUUAAAAUUUUAAGAAUUUUCUUUUAAGUUACGUAGGCAGAAAAUUAAUUUUUAUUUUCUAUAUUAUUGUUAAUAGAUUAGAGAUCUAUAGAAUUGACUGAAAAAAAUGAUAGUAAUUAAAAUCUUUAUUUGCAACCAUCCGGUUUCAGAUUUAAAUCUUAAAAAAAAAAUCAAGGUUUAAACCCUAUAAUAAAUUAUGAUCGGAGUCUAAAGCAAAAGAUCAAAUCCGGUCGCAUACCCACAUUUUGCUAUUCGUAUUGAGAAAUUUUAAAAUACCUCUAAUGUAUUACAAUUAAUUGAUGCAUGUAUGACAUGUGUGGUUAAAUUUAAUAUAACCUUUGCUUGUAUGGAGGUUUUUCAAAAUAAAAAUACAUAUGUCAUGCAUGUUAUAUGAUUGACAUAGUACCUAUGAUGUAUUCUAAAAUUUUUCAUCCGUAUUACCAAUUUGCCAUUCUUACAACUAAUUAUUCAAGAGGUUCAGCAGUUUUGAUAUUUUUCACUUAUUUGUUGCUUGCAUUAUCACCAUUCUUCUUGUCACCUUUUUAUUAGGAGGCUCAAGAGUCCUGAUAUUUUUUAUUUUGUUUGUUGCUUGCAUUAUCAAUAUUCUCGUUGUUACUAUUUGCGAGUUUGUCAUAAUCAUGUAAAUUAAUCUGAUUAAAAAAAAAUUUCGGGCAUAUGCCAAGAGUUGAAUGCGGAUUAAGUUUCUGUUUUAUUUCAGAAAAUGAAGCCUAAAGAAUUCAGUUCAAAUUAAGAUAUUUUUUAAAUUAAUUUAUUCAUCUCUAACUUUCUGAAUGCAGUAUGUAGAUACAAACUAUAAAGUAGAACAAUGAAGAGGUGAAGCAAGAAUCCCACGAGUUUUUUUAAUUUUUAAUUUUUAAUUUUUAAUUUUUAAUUUUUAAUUUUUAUUUCUUUAAUGGAAAUCCAAUGAGAGCUUAAAUUACUAAACUGCAACCGUGGCUUGAAGCUUUCUAGUAACAGAAUCAAAAUUACAAUAAACUUUUUACGUACCUUGUUCCCUAAUGCAUCAAGACCAUAAGCACUCGAGUUCUAAUAAAUGAGUGAAUCAUCAUAAUUUAUGCUCUUUCACAAAAAUAUUAUGAACUUAUAGAUUAAAACUCGUUAAUUUGGUAGAAUAUAAAAAAUUAACUAAAUUAAAAAAACUUAAAAAAUUUUAAAAAUAAAAAAAUUUAUUCAAUUCAAAUCUGCCGGCCAUAAUUGACAACAGCUGCUUAUGAACGAGACCACUUGCAUAUUGUUAUGUUAAGUAGGCCAAUUAAUCAAUCGCCCACCGCUUCCAGUACGGCAAACUAUGUUUAGUAAUUGACAUAAAAUAAAAGAAGAAAGGAGCAAAGAAACAACAACUAGAGCCAAUCUCCAAGCAAAUAUGGAUCUUCAAAACAGACAGAAGCUUCACAUAGCAAUGUUUCCAUGGCUGGCUUACGGCCACAUCAUGCCUUUUUUCCAAGUCGCCAUGUUUUUGGCUGAAAAGGGUCACCACGUAUCUUACAUCUCCACCCCAAAAAAUAUUGAUCACCUCCCACAAAUUCCCACGAGUUUGUCCUCCCGUUUGAGCUAUAUACAGCUUCCUUUGCCUCAACUCGAUGGCCUGCCAGAGGGAGCUGAGUCAACUGCCGAGUUACCCAUUCACAAAGUUCCUUAUCUUAAAAAGGCCUACGACUUGCUCCAACUUCCCUUGACAAACUUCCUCCAAGUUUCACGCGUCAACUGGAUCAUUCACGACAUUAUCUCUCACUGGUUGCCUCCUGUCGCCGCUCAAUUCGGCGUCAACUCAGUCUUCUUCAGCAUAUACAGCGCCGCAACUCUUUGUUUUCUUGGCCCGCCUUCAGACCUGAUCGCAGGUCGCCGCCAGAAGCCGGAGGACUUCACGGUAGUCCCGGAGUGGAUAGACUUUCAAUCUAAUCUUGCUUUUAAGCCCUAUGAGACAGUAAUCAACAAGGACGGCAUGGACGACUCAGUGUCCGAUCAUCUUCGCUUUGCAUUUGUGCUUCAAGAUUGCCGAGUCGUGAUUCUUAGGAGCUGUGCAGAGUUUGAACCCGACGCUCUUCGUUUACUCGGUAAGAUUCUCCAAAAACCGGUUUUACCGGUCGGCUUUCUCGCACCAUCACUCCAAGAUUCCGCGGCGGGUGAGCAUUGGCCGGUGUUAAAAGACUGGCUUGACAGUAAGGAAAAUAACUCGGUGGUUUAUGCUGCAUUCGGGACUGAGAUGACUCUUAGUCAAGAGCUGCUGCAUGAGUUAGCUUAUGGACUAGAGAAAUCCGGGUUGCCUUUUAUUUGGAUAAUCAAGAACCGCCCACUUGUUGAAGGGGAAUCGGGCCUGGAUCAUCUUCUCCCUCCCGGGUUUCAAGAACAGGUCUCUGGUACGGGCUUGGUGUGGACAGAUUGGGCACCUCAGUUAAGGAUCUUGGCCCAUCCAUCUAUUGGUGGGUUCUUGACACACUCUGGUUGGAGUUCCGUCAUUGAGGCGCUCGGGUUGGGUCGGCCGUUGAUUUUACUCCCCGGAAGUUCGGAUACUGGGUUGGUUGCUAGGUUGAUGCACAGCAGGCGGCUCGGGCUUGAGGUAGAGAGAAAUGAGCAAGAUGGGUCGUUUACGAGGGACUCAGUGGCCGAUUGCAUUAGGCGAGUCGUGGUGGACCACGAAGGUGAGCCACUUAGAGCGAAUGCACGGGCAAUGAGAGAGAUCUUUGGCAGUACGGAUUUGAGCUACAAGCAUUUGGACGAGUUCACUCGGUUCAUUGAGAAUUAUACCGCUUCAACUAAGUCUCUUUGAUCCGUGGAUGCUAUUUUUCAUUUUGUAGUAAAAAGUAUUGAAGGGCAAUGUAAAUGGAGGGAAACCUUGUUCCUCAAGUUUUAUUCGCAAAACAUCAUAUCUAUUGUACAAUGCUUUGGCAUCACCAUCUCUUUGAAAUUUCUACCUAAUUUUUUAGCUAAAAUUUUACAAAAUGUAUAUACGAUAACACAGUUCAAAACAAUCAUACCCAGAAUAAUUUCAGAACUCCAAUAUUACCAUUAUUCAUAAAGAGAAGAGACUGACACAGCCAUAAUAAAGGCUGAAAUCCAUAACCGAAUUUACAGAUUACAUGCAGGAAAAGAAAUACCGUGAGGAUUUCAUCCACCUGGUAAAGAUUGACAUAAGCAGUCUACAAACCUACAAAUUCAUUGCCUAGUGGCUAGUACUCCCUGAUUUAUGUUAAUAUAAUAUUAAUUCCUGCAGCAAACGGCAAGCCCUGCAAAGAAAUAUGAAAAUUCUUGACGUGAGUUUGAUAGAAUUUUUUGUCCAAUCAUCAACACCAUAACAAGUCGACUAGAAUGUGAAUUAUGCAUAACCAAGUAAAAUUAUGCAUGAUGCAGACGAAAGCAUUGUAGAAUGUGAAUUACGAGUUAAAUUAAGCAUAUUGGUAUAUAAAACGUAUUAAUGUGUACUAUGCUUACUAUCCUACAGAAUGGACAAUGGCAUUUCUAACAAGCUCAAAUAGGAAGUCUAUUUUUAAUAUGCAUGUCUUGGACCUCGUGGUAAAAUUUGUAAGAAGAAACGGUUGCUCUCUAGUCUCCGCAUGAGGCAUUCAGCAAAUAAAACUCCAUUGUCUGCAGAAAAGAACUAGAGUUUUCAGGUCCAACAUUAUUGCAAUAAAAUUUACUUGGCCUUAAUACUAAAAGUGUUCUUUUGCAACUCAACAUCAAUUUCAGCCGCCAAAUUCAGGCAUAAACACGCAUUCAUAUUUUCUAAAAAGGAUCUUAACAACUCUCCCCAUUACUAACUAUGAAGUAGAACCAUGAAGAUGAAGCUGUUAGAAGCUAUGAUCUAAUAAGUGUCUGAUUUAUUAUGUUCAACUCUGGCUUGUACUGUUCUUUGAACAGCAUCAAAUUCACAAUGCAAUAUUAUCAUACUUCCUCAUUCAUCAAUACCACAAUCACUUAAGGGUUCCAGUACGUGUACGAAUAACGCUUGAAUUAAAACCACUGAAUUGGGAUUUGGGAUAUGCCAUUUCCACUUCUUAUUUCCUUGUACGGUCACUCGACAAGACUUUCAGUUCCCUCGCCAAACUACAAACUUGCCCCUCCUACCACUUUCUAAUACAUUUCUAUUUAUUCCGAUAAUAAAAAUUAAAACUUUACUCUAAAAUUGAUCAAUGUAACAGCAAUUAAUUAUUUUAAAAAAAAAUUGAAUUUUAGAAACCCAAACCUACAUCAAGCAGCUGAUUUAUGGCCGUCACACUCGGGACUUUCAUCAAAAUUCUUACUGGGAUACUUAGCCGUGACCAUUCCAACUUCAAACACCAAAUUAUCCCCACUUGAUCGGAUCCCCGUGAUGGCCCACCACUUGAAGAAAGCCCGGACCCGAAUCCCGUCCAGCUCCGCGAUGCGACCCUGCUCGAUUUUCCCCCUGAUUUUGUUUGAGUAAGUGGCCAGGUAGUUGUCCGGCGGGAGCGUCAACCUACACGCACCUCCGAGAUGAACGAAGAACUCGCCCGAGGUUUGGUUUAGAGUGUAGCUCUGAACCGAGGCAGGAAGGAGCCCGAUCGGGAACCCGUAGUUGGUUAGCUCCGCAUGGGCCAGGGUCGGCGGGUUCGGGUCCGAAGAUGACAGAGGUAUCAGGACGAGAAGAAUAGAGAGAAGCAGGGGGGAUUUGAGCAUUGUGUCUUUUUUUUUUUUUUAUACUUUUUCGCUUUAUUUUUUAGGAAUUGAGGAUCUUUUUAGUGCGUUUCCAAAUGUCCAAUCGUUUGGAUUCUUUCGGUAUC
RNAcentral lists this long non-coding RNA (106290 nucleotides) under Citrus maxima (pomelo). RNAcentral describes it as "long non-coding RNA (CMAX_LNC001791)". Lineage: Eukaryota; Viridiplantae; Streptophyta; Magnoliopsida; Sapindales; Rutaceae. The record is from RNAcentral.